AAAGAAAAGAAAAAAGAAUUAAACAGCAAAAGGUAAGAAAUGUAACUUCUGUUUACUUAGUUCAAUGAUAAUUAACAGAUAGAGGCUCGAUAAGGCUCUAUGUGGAUAGGAUUAUGCGAUUCACUAUAUGUGGUUUAAGGUUUAAACAGGUAUUCAAAUUGUUCUUAUUGUUGCCUAUUAUGGAUAAUAAGGAUCAUCAAUCUUCAUCCUGUGGAGUACGCCCAAAGACCAAGACCAAGAUCAGACCAAUCAUACAAUGAUUGUAAUAAUAUACUUGUUCAUCUAAUUUAUUAAUAAAUAUAUUGUCAUUAUUGUUUUCUAUACUUGUAUUAAAAUAAAUUGGAUAAAAAUAAAGACUUAAGAAUGAUAUGAUCAUUCUCAUUCUUAGGUGUCCUUUGUAAGUAUUAUUGCAGAGUUAGACAACAAUAAUCAAUUGAGAUUAAUAUGUGUUUGAUUAAUGGCAAGCAUUGUUAUAAAUAUGUUAUAUCAAAUCAAUGCAUGAAUAUAUGUUAGAGAAUAAUAUAUCAAACUAACCCACCAUGAGAAUGCUUUUUGGAUUAUUAUGUAAUAGUCAUUACAUUUCUCAAAUUGGUAAUUCUAUGUAUGAUCCUUACACUUGAUAUCUUUAUUGUCUCAACAUCGUAAGUCGUAUGUUUUGACACAAGAUGGUUGUACUACAAAUAUUGAUGUUAAGUAUACUACAAUCUGUGUAGUGGAAUGUAAGUGAUCAAAUGAAUGAUCAUGCUCAAAUGAGUUGAUAUGAGAUAUCACUUACUUUUUUGAGGUUUGUUUUUUGCCCCCUCUGGGAAUGAUCCUUAUUUAUUUAUAAGAUUGAUGUGACAUACUAGGGAGGUAAUUAGGUGACUAUGGAAAAUUUGUUAACUGUAAGGAAUGUUUUUUGAUAUUGUCCUUUGGGACAGAGCCCUAAUUGAUAUUGGGCAAUCGAUAUUAGAAACAGGGUGAACCCAGAUAAUGUGUUACCCUUGGAGCUCGCAUGACCUCAUGGUGCUAUUUAUGAUUUGGGGUUGAUUCUAUUAGGAGAAAAGUAGGAGUAUAAAUUUUUUUUUGUAUUCUUAUUGUAAGUUGCGGCCUCGCAAAUGGUAUUUCCUAUCUCUCAGUGAUCAGGAAGGUUCUGCGAGCUCUAAUGUGAUUACUAAUGAUGUUGAUAGUAACCUUGUUACUGAUACAGGCAUUGCUUCUACGAGCUCAUCGGAAGAGUUUUAGUUACGAACUUAGGCACAUCAUGGACAUUGACUCUCUUAUGCAAGAUCUGCGAGGAAGAAAUGAUUCUGCUACUCCUCGCGAGGAUGGUGAUGCAGCUAAAAAGAAGCAGAUGGUGGUUGAAAGUCUCGAGUGUAGAAGAUAGAAGUGAUGAUGAAAUGAGACUAAGGGAAGCUCGCUGCUAAAAGGGAAGGAUAAUGCGACACAAGGACAAAAAGAAAUCGGGCAUCCUCUUGUUCCUUCUGUCCCUGUUCCAAGUUCCUUGCAGGGGCAACUAGUUGCUAGGUCCACCUUAAGUUCAGUUCGCAGUGUGUAACGUAUUGCUCAUGGUUGUUCGUCAAAAUUUAAGUCCUCUGAUGGCGAAGUGAAUACCUUUUUUGUUUGGCGUGAUCAGCUUAAUGUGGAAUGUUACCCUUUUUCUCCCAAUGAAGUAAUGUGGAAGUGGGAAGAACGUAUUCCUCGAUAGAUAGGGAAAAUCUUUUGUAAUCACGUUAGAGCUCACAGAAACUUCCUGAUCACUGAUAGAUAGAGAAGACUAUUUGCGAGGUCGCAACCUAUAAUAAGAAUAUAAAAAAAAAAAUUGACUCCAUUUCUCCUAACGGAAUCAACCCCAAAUCAUUAAUAGCACCAUGGGACCAUGUGAGCUUCAAGGGUAACACAUUAUCUGGGUUCGCCUCGUUUCUAACAUCGAUUGCCUGAUAUCCAUUAGGGCUCUGUCCCGAAGACAAUAUCGGAAAACAUUCCUUGCGGUUAACAAAAUUUCCAACAUCAAGACGUGACCCCUACACAGCCUGUCGUAUUGAGUAACCGCAAGACUACGGUCAAAAGGUUGAUGUUGUACACAAAUAUCAAUACUUAGAGGAGACCAUUUUAUGGGGAAAUCAAAGUUAUCCCUCAGACUUCUUUUUUACCCUUAUAUACUUACAAUGGUUAAUCCUAAGGUUUGACGAUCCUGAGAGCAAAAAUGCAACCUUCCCAUUGAAUUUUCUUUUUUUUUUUUGACGAAUAAACACAAACCAACUAUAUUAAGCUAUCAUAAUCGAAAAUUUUGUUGUUUUAUCAACCCCAAGAGCAGCUACGAGCUCCUCUGGGAUGUCGUCAAUCACCUGCAAAAACACAUAAUAGGGGAGGCUCAUCCUGUAGACCACAAUCAUGAAAAUAAGCAACCAAUGUCCACUAAGAGAAGCCAACGAGCUGUCUCAGUGUGAUUCCAUACUCUUGAAGAACUGUGCAAAAGAAAGGAUGAAGAUGAAAACCCGCCUCUAACAGAUGUAAAGGCAAUAGGAAACCCUCUUCAAUAUCAAUUAACAUUUUGUCCCCUUCAACAACCCGCCUCUAACAGAGGAAGGAUCGUUGUUCAGAUCACUUUUUGCCAUCAAUGUUUUCUGUUCAGACCGAUUAAGGCCUACUUUUGUACCCUUUUUUCAACCCGGUUUCUUUCUUCGCACAUAAAUCCAUGGGUUGGGAUCAUUAAAAUAUUCUUUUAACUACGCUACAGGGUGUAUCGAUGUUUCAACACACCCAUUACAAUUUACAAGCUCAAAAAUUCAAUUCAAGGGAUACACUUUUUUAUAUUUGAAUGGAGGGUUACUUAUGAAGGCUUAACCUUUUUACUUGCACUUGAGUAUAGAGCUAAUGUUAUGCAAAUGCAUUGUGUAUGAGGAGAAAUUUUUAGAACUUUUAAUAAACCAAUAAAAUGGGAAAAAAAAACUUCUUUUAUUAAUCCUUUUUAAAAAAAAUGCUGAAAUAAAAGAAAAUAAAAAAAAUGAUUGGUUAGAAAAUACAAAUGAAUACAUGAGAAAAGAAAGAAAUUAAAAGAAAUUAAAAAUUUUAUUUAUAUUUAAAAAUGAAGGGAUUAUAAACAAAUAUCGAUCAAAUAAAUAGUUCAAAAUUUUUUACAUGCAUUCAACAUAAGGUUCGAGAUUUUUGCCAAGGUUUUUUCAGCCUUCUCAAUUAUUUAAUCUUACAAGUUAAAUUCAUUUUCUCAAAAAUGAGUUGAGUUUCGAGAUUUCUGUGAGGUUGUUUCAGCAUUUUCAAUUAUUUAAUUUUAAAACUUGAAUCUCUUUUUUGAAAAAAAUACAAGAGAGCUUCGAGAUUUCUGUCAAGGUCGUUUUAGCAUUUUUAAUUAUUUAAUUUUAGAACUCAAAUCUCUUUUUUGAAAAAAUAUAAGAAAGUUUCCUAUCAAUCAUGUUUCUAGUUUUCCCAUCAAACAAAUCGCAUUUGAAAUGUGAACUAAAUCUUGUUUGGAAUGCGCAAUGUUAAUAAUUCAAAAUGAUUUGAAUAAGUAAUCUAAAAUGCCACGAACUCGAGAUGACCUGACUUGAAAAACGUAAAUUCAAGAUGAUCAAAACCCAAACUUGAAAUUGAUUUGAUUUAAUCUAAUCGAACCAUGUAAAUAACUAGUCUAUAUUUACAUCAGAUUUUUGUGCCACGCAGGGGCUGUUUUUGAUGUCAUGUCCGUUGCAUGUUUCAAUAUCAGCACCGAAGAGUGGGUAAGUUCCUUGCUUAGACGAGGGAUAAAAUUAAAGAAAAAAAAGGAUAUAUUUUCAAGUACACAUUGUUAGAAAUACUUUAUUUAAUCUGCAAUAUACGUAAUAAGAGGAAAAAUGCGAAAUGUUGCUGUUCCAACUUAAUGCUUCAUCUUUACCAGGUGAUACAUUUUAUAGAACAAUUAGUAUUUCUGGAUAUUUAUAUUUGCUAAUGUUCUAUUCCUUGUAAUUUUUGUUCUGUUGGCUGCAUUUAGGAGAGAAUCGUCAUGAGAUACAGUUUAAAAAACCGUAUCACAAAGGAAUCCUGCACGGUGUCAAAGUGUUCGUAACGUUGAAAUGAUGGCCCGUCUUGCUCCUAGUGCAUUCCCUAGUUGUUUUGUCUCGUGCUUAGCUGCAGUUUUCGUUAGGGAAAGUCCUCAAGGUUCGAUUUUCGGUUUUGCAGGACGUGCCUUUAGAAGGUUAUGAUUAUAGAAUGCGAUAUUUGGUGCAGUACAGGUACGCGACCCGUAUAUUGCGGUUAGAUAUUGUCUCUAAUCUUGGCAAUUGAUAGGGAAAAAGCUGAACUGGCAAUGCUAUAGUUAAUUAUCAUGAGACACUAUAGUCAUUAAAGAGGAAACAAGGAUUUUAUUGUCGUAACCAUUUUUUUGGAAAGGAUUUUGAAAAUGGAAACGAAGAACUGGAGUCGCCAUCGAUCCUUUUUGAUGAGGUGUGAUCGGGUCACCUUAAAUUAAUCAUUUUAAUAAAAGUUAAGAUUUACUAAAAUAAUAAUUUUUGGUCUACGAAAAUCAGAAAAUGAGUUCGGGAGUUGAUUACGCACGAGGAAGGAUUAGCACCCUCGUAACGCCCAAAAUUGAUACCUAAUUGAUUAAUUAGUGUCUUUGUUGUUGAAAUUUUGAAAACUUAAAAACUUGAAAGACUUUGAAAUACGAUCCAUUUUUUGCAAAAAAAUGCUCAUAUGUUAAAGACCUUCUUGUCUCGAAGUAAUAAAACACCUUGUCCAGUAAGUUAGGACACGGCAUCUCGAACUUUGAGAACAAGCUUGCCUUUUAUUUAAAAUUAACGUGUUUUAAGGGAUAUUCGGUUAGUUAGGGUGAACGAGGAAAAUCGAAACCCAGUGAGUUAGGGUAUGUUUCCUCGAAUAUCCGAACACCAAAUUUAUUUGCGAAAAAUCUUAUUUCGAAGUAACAAAAUGUCAUACCCGGUAAGUUAGGGCACCACACCUCGCAUCCCCGAAAAUAAGCAUUUUUAAAAUUCGUAUUGUGAUUUAAAAGAAUAUUCCGUGAUUUAGGUUAAAAGAAAAAAAUCGAAGCCCAGUAAGUUAGGGCACGAUUGUCUCGAUUUACCAAAUACGGAGUAUUUACUUUUAUGAAAGAAUUAUUUUGGGUUAAGGCAUCGGGAAAAACAUAAUGUGAUUUAUAGUAAAUCAUUAAAGUAAAUUAUGGUGCUAAUACGUAAUAAUAAGCGCGAUAGUGUUUAACAUAAUAAUACGAGCAAUUAUGAAAGGUGAAAUAAUAGCAAGGUUAGUAAACAAACGCAUGAGCAAAAUGAGAUCAUCGAAUACAUAGGCAAAUAAAUAAACAAAAUAAAUAAAUAAAACAUGGCAAAAUAAGAUGACAGUGACGAUAAUAAUAGGAAUAACAUAAGUAAUAAUAGUAAGAAUGUAAACAUGAAACGGUAAGGAACAUACAUAUAUGUAUAAUACAAGAUUAAAAGGAUAUAUAAGAUAUUUGUUGAAAACAGUAAUAAUAUAUAUAAAAAUGAUGACGAUAUAUAAAUUUAUACUUGUAUGUAUUAAAAUAUACGUAAUAAUAGAAAGAAAAAUAUAUAUAUAGUAUUAAAAAUAUAUAUACAUAAUAUAUAUAUAUGAAGGUAUAAUUUUAAAAUGUAUAUACAUGAUAUAUAUGAAAAUAUAUACAUAAUAUAGUAUUAAAAAAUAUAUAUAUACAACAUGUAUGGUAUUAAUAAUAGUAUUAAAACAUAAUACAUACAUAUAAGAUCGCCUAGAAAAAGAAAAAAAAAAUGCUAAUGCUAAUAACAGUAAUAAUAAAAUAAAUAAUAGAGAUAGUAUAAUGAUGGAAAUAUAAAUAGGUAAGAAAUAUAAUAGAUGAAUAAUAAGGAAAUGAAAACAAUAAUAAUCAAAAUACAAUGGUAAUAGUAAUUACAAAGAUGAUGAUGAUAAUAAUAACAUUAAAGUAUAGUAAACAAUAAUACUAUAUAUAAAUAUAUGUAUAUACGCAUGUAGUAAAAAUACACAUUACUAUAUAAUAAUAAUAAUAAUAAAGAAAUGCAAAAAGCAAAUGUAAUAAAAAUAUUAAAUUAAAGUAAUAAAAAAGCAAUACCAUAUGUAGGUGUAUAUAUAUAUAUAUAUGUGAAGAUAUACACUAAUAUAUAAUAAUAGUAAUAAUAAUAAAGUAGUAAAAAAUGUAACUAUAAUAGUAAAAUAUAACAAGUAGUAGUAAAAGAAAAUAAUAAAAUUAUCUAACUUAAUAAUAGAGGAGCUAAAUAACUAAACUAGGGACUAAAUUGAGUGUAGAACGAAAGUUCAAGGCCAAUUUGAAAUAAAAAUAAAAAGAGAAGGCUGAAUAAAACACGCGAGAUAAAUGGAGGGACCAAUUUCGCUAUUAUACCCUAUCCAUAAAACGAUGCCGUUCCAUCAACUAUCCCUCAAAUGGUUAGAGGAUCAAAUUAAAAAAAGAUUAAAAUUACAAGGCAGAAUUAAGAAAUAAAAAAACUGGAUUAAAACAUGACAGAAAUGCGGAAGGAUCACGCAAGCAAUUAUCCCAGUAGCAGCAAAACACGCGGAUCCUCAGGCGUCGGGUCGGGUCGCGCACGGGUCACGUGAAACGGCGUCGUUUUGGCGCUGUGAGUUAAGGCCCAAAACGGCGCCGUAUUAUGCCAUUAUAUAAACCCAAAAUUUUUUAAAGACAUGCAUUUUUUGCUGUUUCAGAAAAAAAAAAAGGGGAAGAGUUCUUCCCUUCUCUCUGGGAAAACCCCAGAUUCCGGCCAGGAGGGCCACCAUGCGCUCCCGCCGUCACCGAUCCGCCACCGUCGCCGGCCACCGCAAAGGUAUAUAUAUUUUUUCCUUUUUGUUUUCUAUUAUUAUUUUUGUUUACAAUAUAUGUAUAUAUGCAAAUAAAAGGGCGUGAAAAUAGAAAAGAAAGAAAAAAGAAAUAAAUCGAAAGAAAAUGAAAUCACCUUUGUUUUUCUGAUUUUUGAUUCUAUGUUUUCGUUUCUUCUUUUAAUGUUUUUCUCUUGAUUGGAUACUUUAUGCCUUUGACUCACUGAUUUUGUGUUUUAAAAUCAAAUGCUUCUUUUUAUUUCUCACCAAAAAACCGAAUGCUUUUUACAAUUUCGUUUUGAUUUAUAUAUUUGUGCACACUGCUCCUUUUUGCUUUCUGUCUUCUCUUGUUUAAUGCUUGCAGGUGAAUGGCGGUGGACUUGACCUGUCGGUGGGAGCAGAGGCGGUGGUGGAUGGGACAGGGAGCAAGUGGCUGAAGCAGCUUAGGGUUUUCUUAGCUUUUUUCUUUUGUUUUGUGUUUGGGUGGGGCUAGGGUUUUGAUUUGUUUGGGUAAGGAUUUUGGUUUAAGCUGGGUAUUGGGUUAUUUUAGUUUUGGGCCCAAAAUUGGGCUGUACAUUUAUAAUUAGUAGGAUGGAAACCCGGGUUGCUAUAUAUUACCUGCUUGAGUCAUUUCUAUUUUUCCUUUUUCGUGAGAGUGACAUGGGUGAAUACAAGUUGCCUGCUAUAGCUAGGCUAUUACCAGUUAUCGUCAAUAGCCAUGAUAACCUUUUAAGAUCGAAUCUGGCAAAGAUAUGGUUAUAGGGUUCAUUGGUUACGUGAGUAUUCAUGGUCCAUUUCCUCACUCUUUUAACACACGACUGGUCUACAUUCUCGGUUUGUGCCAACACCCUCCUCUAAAUUAGUCAGGUUCUUCCUUUCCUCCAUUAACAGCUAAGAUUAGCGUCUCAAUAUCUAAUGACCGUAAAUGAGUCACGUAUAUGAAUAUAUGGACCACUAAUAUACGUACAUGGGGUAUGCUUGGUCAAUGUUCAUGGCUGCCAUUUUAUACGCAUAAAUCAAUACAGAAACUGAAGCAUUCUCCUUGAGGUACCAUGUUGGGGCUCACAUAGAUUGACCAAUCUAUUAUCUGUACAUUUUGUAUUCACGGAACUCUUCAUUGAAACAAAUAUUUGUUCAAUGAAAACUUGUCUUAAUGUUAUUAGCAGAAUUUCUUAGACAAUUUUUUCCCUUUUUCCUGCCCAAAAUUUCCAUAUUGACUAUGAAAAGAAGCAUCAAUGGUGGUUGCUAAUAUCUUGUUCAGCUUUAAGCUUCAUCUUUGUGUAAUUUUGUGUAUAUACAGAAGCUGAAAUUAACAUGCAUUUGGGACCUUCCCCAAGACAAAACAAAAGACAGUGCUUUUCCAUGCCAACAACCUCUUGAUCUUAGAGGCAUGAAAAAACAAUUAUUUUGGUUGCUGUCUCUUCAAAGUAAAGCUAUUUGGGGGGCAAGAAAAAUGCCAACAACAGCCACCUAUGUUGGAAAACUUUGCAAAAAAAUAUGUCGGAAGUGGAAAACCAAACAUUAAUGUUUACACCAAUCAAGUGAGUCAGAUUAGUUUUGGAUGGAGAUAAGUAAGAGGUUAAUCCAGAUGAUUAUGGUUUGGGUCCAAUUUUUAUUUAUUUAUUUUAGAUUGCGGUUGGUUUUAUUUUACCCUGAGUACUAUUGGCUGUUCAAGGUUGGAGUUUUUCCAGUUAGAUCAUUGUAUAUUCGAAUUAUUUUGGGUUCUGGUCGUAUGAGUAGAUUUGAUUAAUUGAUAUAGGGGUCAGUUUGGGUUUAAAACAAAUUUUUUGGUCACUGCGGUUUUGGUUACUUCUAUUUUUGAGUCAAUUUUAGGUUUAGAUUAUUUCGAGUUUGAGCAAUUCUAAGUUAAUGUUAUUUGUGUUUUUUGAGUUGGGUCAAAAUGGGUUCGUAUCAUUUUAAGUUUAGAUCAUUUUAAGUAUAGAUGUUAACUUUUUAUGAUCAAAUUGAGUAGAGUUGAAUUUGAAUUUGUAUUGAUAGAGUUGAAUUUUUUUAUUCUGAGUCAUAUGGGGUACUAACAUUAAUGUAAAACAAAUGAAAAUUAGUAAAAAUAUGAUAACCAAAGAUGCUUAAUCGUGUACGAAACAAACUUCUUAUUCAUAUGAUUCAGCAGACAACACAACAAAAACAAACUAUGUCACUCUUUAUAGUCUCCUCUUUAUCCUUCAAGCUUGGAAUCCAAUUGAUGGCUACUUUUAAGAUCCCCAUUCGUACUGGAACAGAAGGUCAAAAUUUGAUUUUAGUCUUUCUAUUAUGUUCAAAAUUUAAAUUUAAUCCCUAUAUUUUAGUUUAGCAUAGUUUUCCUAUUAUCAUUAGUUAAUCCAAAUACAUAACACAUUUUGGUAAAAACACUGACUCUAAUUUUUCUUAAAAACAGUAUUUUCAACUCAAUUACGCAGACAUAUAUAUUUUUUGGUUUAUUGGAAGGGUGUUUUUAAGAAAACUUUAUAUUAGUACUAAUAACUAACAUUAUAAAAUUAAAAGGUUAAACAAUAAAUAAUUAAAGUAUAAGGAUUAAUUUUUUAAAUUCAAAUAUAAUUGAGAGACCAAAAUCAUAAUUUGGCUGAGAAUAGAAAUGCUGGCCCCAUCCAGUUCCGUCCAAGCCAUACCAGCUGCUUCAAAAAUUCAUGCAUGGUUUCCAACUAAAAACUUCAACUUGACACCCUAAUCAUCUUUCUUAUUGAUUAAAUAUAUAGAAAUUAAAAGCUGAGUAUAUUCUCAACCAAUGAAAUUCAAAAGAGUUAACCAUUAACAUACAGGAACGUGGAAUCUUAGCCUAAAGAUCCCCAACAAUAUCUGCAACUUGCUCCAUAAGCGUACAAGUCGCACCAACAUAUCAACACUUGUAUAUAUUAGAACGAAACUCUUCUGUAGCUGAUAGUUAUGUUGAGGGUUGAUUAAACUUAACCACGAGGUUAGGUCGUAUUCGAUUAUAUGGGUAAAGUUUUUCUAACGUUAUUUUCUUCAUUUGCAAGACUCGAAUCUAAAAAUUUAUUUAAAAAAGUAUUAAACUUCUUACAAUUAGACCAACGAAUAAUAUUAAAAUCUAUAAAUGAUACUCUCAAUUUUGUCAAAGGUGAUAAUCACAAAGCUUAAAAGAAUUCCUCUUACUCACUGUUGCUUGAAUAAACCGUUCACUUGUAAUGGGACCCCACGAUGAUACUCCUUGGUUUUCAGGUGGAAAACAAUUUUUUGUUGCCAUGGAUUCCAUAAAGUCCAUGGAUCAAAUUAUAAUUUUUUUGUUGAAUUAAAAUACAAUUUUGUUAUUAUAUUAUAUUAAUUUACAGAGCUUUAUAAAUUUUUUUGGAAGGACUUGGGUCCAAAACGUCUUGUCAUGAUUAAACCAUAUUCAUCAUUUAAGGAUUUUAGAGUUUAGGGUCAACUCAUAAACUUUUAAGGAUAAAUAAGAUAUUUAUAAAAUUCUAAAUUUACAAUUUAAUCCGUGAAUUUGAUUAAUUUUUAAAAAAAAAAUCAAUUUAAUAGACUUUAUUCUUGAUUGGUUUAGGUCUUAAUUUAUCUAAUCGAACCAACUUUUAGUCAGUUGGUUCAACGGAAUAAGUUAAUUAAAUCUUUUUUUUUCUCUGAUUUGGUUUUAAAUACGAGACAUAAAACACUAAUAGAGGUCAAUUGACAUUCUAGUUAAAAUUUUAUAUAUUACAUAUGUUUAUUAUAAAUUACAAAUAUAAUUUAUUUUUAAAAAUAAAAAUAAGAUAUAUUAGAGGUGGGUCAAUUCUAUCAGUUUAGUUAUGAAAAUUCAUAACCUAUAACCGAUCAACUUAGCCUAAUUUAACCAGCUACAAGAAAUAACCAUUAUAAAAUAUGGUUAAAUCCUACUAUUAGACCCUAUUUAAGUUAUGGAUUUAAUUUUUUUUUAUUUUAAUUUGGUCACUUUUAAUUCUUGUAUUUUUUUUAAUUUUAAAAUUUUAAUUUUAAUUAACUAUUAAAUUCAUUAAGUUCUACUAUUUUCAAAAUCUAAUGUGGUAAAUAUAUGAUCACAUGUGUAAUGUCAUGUCAUCUUGUUAUUUCCACAUAUUGCUCACAAAAAAUUCAGUUAUAGAUUUAAUGACAAUCGUUUAUGUCAAGAUUGAAAUCUCAUAGUUCGAAAAAUGUAGAGCUAAGAAUGAUCUAAUUGAAUAACAUAGACUAAAUAUAUAACUUUAGACAUAGCAUAUUAAAAAUAUAAAAACUACAAUUAACCGGAUUAAAGUAUAAGAACUAAUGCAAAGUACAUAAACUAAUAACAUAAUUUGAUAUUGUUGAUUUUAUCGGACCGACUAAACCGAAAACUACCGGUUAAACCAUUAACUGGUGACGUGGAAUCUAGCCUAAAGAUCCCGACAAGCUUUGCAACUUGCAUAAGCAUAUCAAACGUUAUUUAAAUUCAAACCAAUCAAGAAUAAAAACCUUAAAAUUUUGUAAGGUGGAUAAUCCCUCUCACUCACAGUUGCUUGAAGCAGCCAUUGAUUUAAAUGGGACCCCAUGAUGACUCCCUUGGUUUUAAGAUGGAAACAGUCCAUUAAAAAUGGGAGUCAAUGCAAUUUUAAGGAUUUAUUUCAAUUUCAUUCUAUGAGCAAUAGUGUUAGUGUUGCUUUCAUUGCAUAAUCUUGAAGAAAAAUAAAACAAGAUAUUUAUGAAACCUGGACAGAUAACCAUUAAAAUAACUGGUUUGAGUUAUCAAAUGUAAUUGGGGUUAAUUGCAUUAGAUCUCUGCAAGUUAUAGUCUAAAUUUUAAAUUGGUUAAAAUAUGUCAUAAGUUCCAGUACUCUUCUUAAAUUUGGAAUUUAGUCCUUAUAAUUUUUAGGAAUUUAAGAAUUUGGACCUAAAUUUUGAAAUAUGAAAAGUAAAGGGACUAAAUUUUUGGAUAUAAAAGUAAAUGGGCUAGAUUCUAAACUUAUGAAGAGUACUAGGACUUAUGACAUAUUUUAACUUUUUAAAUUGGUCCUAAAUUUUAAAACGUUCUAAUUGAAUUCUUAAAGCAGAUCUUCUGGCGGCGGAUUUGAAUUAUAAAUUUUUAGAGAGCUAAAAUGUAAUUUUAGGGAUUAAACUAUAAACAUUCCAUUUUGUAGGGACAAAACUAAAUUUUAAAUUUGAAGGAGUCAAAAUAGAAUUUUACCAUUGAAUUAACUUAAAAUUUUAUAAAUUUUUAGAUAAAUCAAAGGAACAAUUUUCUAUUUUGAGAGUCCAAGACCCUUGCCCGCCUCUUUAGUGCCACCCAUAUCUGAAAGUAUUAAUAUGAUAUUAAUUAAGUCUUUUUGUCAACUUAUUUAUUAGCUUAAGUGUUAAAUUGUAAAAUAUAUAUAUAUUUACCACAUGAAGAGAAAUAACCCUUUUUAAUUACAUUAUCUUAUUCUUUUAAUACAUUAAAUUCAAACUAUACCUACAAUAUCUAUAAAUAUGAAUGCUUCACCUUUGAUCUAUACCGGCAUUUAAAGCUUAAAAUGAUGAGUGGGGCUAAUAGGAAGUACCUAAUUUAUUCUGAUAUGUUGAGAAUUCAUUGAAGCUUAAGGACCGAUUUAGAAUCUCCAAGAUAGGUAAGGGACGUCUGGGCGAAAUUAACCCAUAUAAAUUUUUCAUAUCAUGGUACUGUAUUUGUGAAGUAGACAGCGUCAAGUUGGUUUAUCAAAUUUUGUGCAUCAAUGAGUUCACACCAUCUCUAGAAUUUCACUUUUUUAAAGUAAAAAAUAUCUGAAAUACUUUUUUAUUUUGAAUAAGUCAGAAAUUCAUCUGUUGAAUUGGAUUUUAUCAACUUUUCAAAUCUCAAAAAAAGGCCAAUUUACUACGACAGCUUGGGAGACCAAACUUACAUCACCAGUUUAAAAAUAAUUAAAUAAAGAGACAAUUUGAUAGCUGCCAUUGGCAGUUUAAUUUCUGGAAUUUAUUUUAACUACUAAAAUUAAAUUAUUAAAUUUUAUAAGGGUUAAAUUAUAAUUUUAUCAUUUUCGAUCAAUGUCUUUAUCAACCUUUUAACACCGAAUAUAUAUUUAUUCUAUUAUUUAAGUAUGUAAUUAAAUUUAUGAUACAAAUCAACUCGGCACUAAUUUAAUUAGUAAAAAUAUUAAAAGUAAAUUUUAAACAAUUAGUAAAUAUUAUUUUAGGGUGUUUUUGUCUUUUGAUUCAUUUAUAUAAAAUUUAUAAAAUAAACAAAUUAAACAUACGAAAAAUAUACAACGAUGGAUUUAAACCUAAGACAUCAAGAUUCUUAAAUUCAUAAUUUUACUAUUUUAAUCUUUUUAUUUAUAAUUCAAUUAUUAAAUAAAUAUUUUACAAUUAUACUUUUAAUAUUAGAUUUUUCUUUUAUUCAUAUUGUGGGUGGGACAUAUCUAGGAUAUACUAGUGAAAGUACUUAGUAUCUCUCUAUCACGAGGAUUGGAUCAAAUUAAUUUUUCUACUAUUAAAUUAAUCAAUUUAGUUAAUGUAUUAUUACAAUGAUAAUAAAAGCCCACCAAAACAGUGUAUUUAUGUUUUGACGAAUGUUGUUAAUGUUUUCCUUGGAAGAGGAUGGGUUGAAAGUUGAUUUUAUGCUUGAGAGACUGAAAGGACUUGUAAGGAAAAAGAAAAAAAAAGAAAAAAAGAAAAAUUAAGGGACAUUGGAGUUUAUGUUUCAAAACAUUCUUUGAUUCUUAGUUAGAGGAGGAAGAGAUGUUGAGGGAGAAUUUUAUCAAAGUAACAAUAAAGCUUAGAGAUUAUGAAUUAAAGAGAAAUGUAUUUCAUUUUUAGACAUUUGGAUUUGAGAUUGUUGGUUGCAUGAUCAUAUAUGUAGGCCAAGUUGCAUUUUUGUCACAGGUUGUAGGUCAAAGUCCAUAACGAAUGCACACAAAUUGUCUUGUAGAGGUUAACUGAUUAAAUAUAGUUUAUUUAACUAACUUGAAUUGGCUCGAUUCGUAAAAUAUAUGGAGAUGUCCAUCUAAUUGAAGUCUUGGUAGCCCAAUGGAACGCUCCAGUAAAACUAGAGUUACGAUGGUUAAUUAUUCGUAAUCUUAAGGGAUAAGAUUGUAGAGUUUAAAUCUUUUAGGACUCUCAUCUUAAACUCUUAGGACUCCCAUCUUAAUCUUGACCAUCAAUGUAAUUUAAUUUAAUUUGUGCUGCUGGAUUUGGAGGAGCUCAACUAUAAAGAAAGUUAUUUCUCUUCAUUUGUAAUCAUCCCUUUAAUAGUAAUUGAAUACUAUUGAGAGCAUUUAUUCAAACACUUGGUGUGCUAUUAUUUUCUUAUGACUUUUUAAUUCGAUUCGAGCUCUUUUGUCUUUUCGAGUUGCUUCCGCUUUAUUUCAAUGCCUUAAAAGAAAUUCUUCUUGUGAAUACUAAUCCCAUUACACUUGCACAUGAUUGAAAAAUGUCAACCUUUAGUAGAUCAUACCUCUUGACCUAUGGCAAUUACUAUUGUCCAAGCCGAUAACGACUUGUUGCCCAAAUACUAUGUGUUAGCUAAAUGUUCCUAGCAUUUGGUAUUCUUGGGCUAUAUUUCUUUGCUCUUGAAAUCUAUUUUCUUGAAGUGGUAUAGCAAAUAUAAUAAAACAAAUUUGAGGUAAUUUGUAAGGGAAACUUGUAGAUAGAGUUAAAUAGGUAGAAAAGUACUAAUUCCUAACUACAUACCUUUUUUCAACUUUUGUUCACUUAAGCUUUAAUAAAGGGUGGAAAUUGAUACUAUUUGUUAAUGUGUAGGCUUCAAUGACAAUUAUCUUUGAGCAAAUAUUACUUCUUUUUAUCAUUCCUUUAUAAAAAGAUUGGUUUUGAAUCAAAAUCACCAUUAUAUAUAUAUAUAAGGAAAGUGAUUGACAUUUCACUAGCCAUGAUCUGCCAUAUAAUUUCUGUCAUGGUUUUUGGUUUACUUUGGGGCUACCUUUUGUGAUUGUUUUCAGCAUGAUAUAAUGGUUGAAAUUUUGGUUUUGAAAUUUAGUCAUUAUACUUUAAUUUUACAUAAUUUGAACCCUUUAUUUUAGGCAUGUUCAAGGUUAGGUUAUUUAUCCAAAAAUUAAGAGGGUUUGAACAAGAAUAUUAAACCUAAAACUUGGGUUUGGGCAAAAAAUAGGCAUGUUUAAAUUUGGGUCAGGCUUGGAUUCUAAUAUUCAAAGCUCGAGUUAGAUAUAACCAGAUCAAUUUUCAACGUUAUAAUAUGUUUUUUUUUUCUUUUCUAUAUUAUAUAAUUUAUAUAGCAUAAAAUUAAAAUAUACUACAUUCUAAUUAAUUAUUGAUAAAAAUGUUAGAAAAAAUAUAUUGUAAAAGGUAUAUAAUUACUAAAUAAUAAAUAAAAUAAUUAUAUUUUUAAAAAAUAAUAUGUGUGGGCCUAAAUAGGUUUGUGUUGGCAAAUUAUAAAUACAAUCAAGUUUGGGCAACUAUGUAUAGUAUUAAUACCGUGUAUACCUGGCCUGGCAUGGCCCAAUAACACUUCUCCUGUCUAUUUUUAUAAUGUUUUUUGUCACAUUUAAAUAAUUAAUAUCGUUAAUUGUUCUGAUUAAAAUAUGUAUAUAAAUUUUUUUCUUAAAACAAACCCUUUCAUUUCUAUGCAUUUUAAUCAAAGUAGUUCACGACAUUAAAUAAAUAGAUUAAAUCUCAAAUUUGAGCAUAAUAGAGAGUUCAAAACCAUAAUUUGAUGAAUUUAAAUGCAUAAAAAUUAUGUAUAAAUAUGGUAUUGAGAAACUUAAUAAAAUUUAAAAUUCGAAACUUAAUAAAAACAGUGCUAAAAACUUUAUUUAAAAAUUCUUAUUUUCAUUCAAUAUCGAAUUUAGGUAGUAUUUGAAAAGUCACCCAGUAAAUAGAUUUAGGUGUAAUUUUUUGUAAUUACACAAUAAUGAAAUGUUUGAGUAAUCAUUGUAAUUGGUAGAUCCCACCAAAUCGAGUGUAAUUGGAGCACCCUAAUUACAUUUUUCAAUUCUUAGGGGAUGGUGAGAAUAAAGUAAUUACACUCAAAUCUAAUUUUUAAAAAAUACUUUAUACAAGUUAUAAAAAUUAUAAUAUAAGUAUAAAUAUGUGUAGGUAUUUGGGAUGGUUAUGACCAAAAGUUUCUUAUAUUAUUAAUCCUAAAAAAUUAUAUUAUAAAAAUAAUUUGUGCAUUUUAUAAAGUUAUAACAAAAAAUAUAUUAAUUAAAUCCUAAAAAAAUCUUAAGUUAUGGUUAAAAAAUUUAUUAUAAAAGAAUAAUUUACAUGUUAUAAAAGCAUUAUAAAAUACUUAUUUAUAAAAAUUAAUGUGCAAGAAAUAUGGGCAUAACUUAUUUAUAUGUCCAUGUUAUAUAUUAUAAAAAUAAUAUAUUUAUUCAUAAAUUUUUUUUAUCCUAAUUAAUAUAACUUUCUAAUUGUGAAAAUCAUAUUAUUUAUAAAAAGUAUUAUGAAAGUUAUUGGACAAUUUAUAAAAGUUAUAUAUAUUAUAUUAUUUUCGCUUAAUUUACAUAUCAUAAAAAGAUAUAUAAUUUAGUAUAAGUUUUUUUUACUCAAAUAUACUAUUUGGACCGUGAACUCAAAUAUUAUAAGGUUGAUACUAAUUAUAUAAAUACAAAAUAUUUUUUUACUCCAUACCGUGGGGUAUGGUAUCAUUUAAAAGAAUAGUGCUAGACACAAGCACCAUAGAUAGUUCGCAAACUAUUUAAUUUGAGACAUUCAAGUCUUCGAAAUGUGGUUGAGAAGACAUUUGUUAUUCUAAACAAAAAUUAUUUGUCAUCUUAACAACAUCACCUUAGUAUAAUAUAAGAAGAAGAAGAAGGUAGGAUUGUAAUAGCAUGUUACAUAUCUUACAACUUCAUUCAUAGAUGGAAUUAAGAUAAUUCAUACUUUCAAGAGUACAUGUAAGAAGGAGAUCUUAAUAAUGUUAAUGAUGCCCUUUAAAAUUUAGAUGAUGAUGAACUUAAUCAAUGAUCAAUAGAUUAUGAUAAUGAACAUAUGUUAAAUAUUAAAGACUAAACAAUUAGAUAGAUAAAAUUGCAUAUGAGGUUUAUUUUUCUUCUUAUUUUUAUCAGUAAUCGUAUUAUUAACUACGUUUUUAGACUAACUUAAUACAUAUGAGAUUUGAUUUUAAUUUUUUUAUUUAUUUAGAAAUUAUUUUUAUCAUAAUAAUAUUUUUUACAAUAAUUAAUAUAAUUUAAAAAUAUAAAUUAUAUAAUAAUAUAAAUACAAUUUAUACGAUACGAUGUAAUUACAUCCUGUGAAUAAAAUACGUCCCAGAAAUUAUAAUUAUUUAUAAUUACGCUUUCGUUGAAUUAGAUUAUGUUUAUGUUAGAAAUGGUAAAGCUUCAAUGAUGGAUGAAUGCUUUGGUUAAUUUAAUAUUUCGUUUCCUCCUGGCCUAGCAUGUGCCUUUGUUGCCCAAUCUCAUUAUAAUGGCUAAACCCAUUUCCAAUGCAAUAUUUAAUUUAUUAGUAUUUUUCUUGUAACAUAAUUUAUUUGUAUUAAGUAGUAAUAAAAUGCUCUAUAAUUGGUAGCACCGACAUUUUGUUUCCUUUUUAUAAUCUCUGCUUAUUUGUUUAUAUUAAUUAAUACAUGUAUACUUCCCCCCUAACCCAAUCCUACUUUCCGGGAAAGUUUGAGUAGAAACACAAUCAUUUUUUUCCUUAGGAACAUAAUACCUGACACGUUAGAUAAGAUGAAUCAAAUAGUCGAUUGCAUAGUUAAGAUAAUUUCUGAUAAGAUAAAUGGGGUACGAGUAUUUGAAGAUAUACCUAAACAACUAGAUAAGCAUGAUUAUGUGCAAAUAAAAUUAAUGGCCUUUUAAUUUAUGAUGAGUUAGCUUAAUAUAUUUGGGUUGUUUUCUUUUUUCAGGAAAAGAAAAUUAAAAGAGGGCUAUAGUGUAAUAUCUAGAUCUGAUCGCCACUUCCUUGUGAAAUAAAUGACCAUGUUUAGGACUUAAUUGGAGUAAAUACCGUAAAUAUAGGGUCAGAAGUAAAUUAGUUUAUUUUAAAAUAAAUGGGGUAAUUUAAUCAUUGAGAAUGAAUGAAGCAGACAAUCCAAGGCGACUUUAGUUCUCUUUGUUAAUAAACUAUAAGGUAAUCAUCAAUUUGAGUGCUCACAAGUUAAAAGGAAACCACUUUACUCCUUUGUGCUGUUCAAAAUUAAGCAAAUAAGAAUAAUUAAAGGGGAUGGUAAUUAUUUUCAUUAAAAGAAAAGUAAUAUGAAUAUCUGUAAAUCCACAAUUGGUUGAAUCUAAAAAGUUAAUUUUUUAACAAAAAUAAUUAAAAUUGUUUUAUAUUGUUCUUAUUUAUUUACUUUCGAAUAAUAUAUAAAUAAAUAACAAGCGCUAACCAAAAUAUAUAUUUUUUAAUAGUAAGGAUAGGUGAAGGGGGUGUACUUGGGAUACAGCACAAGUUUUCAUGCCAACAACACAAACAUUUUACUAUUAAGCUAAAAAGUUUAAUUUUUUUAAGGUACUAUAUUUCCGAUAGAAAUAAAUCAUUAAAAGCAUAGAACUAAACAACUAACUCUAACCCUAACUAACUAUACUAAGUUACUAACUAAAUCUGGAAAAGAUGGGACUUGAACUCGAGAUUUCAAAUUUUCCAAAGACUUAACUUUUCCAUUGAGCCAAGACCUCAUUGGCUAAGCUAAAAAAGUUGUUGGUUGAGAAAGAGAUUGAAUACUUUCAACUUGUUUCUUUAUAAUUUUAUAAACUUGUCAAUUUUUGUUAGAACAUGAAAAUCGGACUCUAUCAAUUUGAAUUUGAACUUGAUUCAACUUGAUUUGAUUAUAAAAAUUCAACAACUUGAAUCAGCGCAACCUGAAUUAAAAAAUGAUCGAAAUUCAAAAUAAAAUUUAGACCCAAGUAUCAAAUUUAAAAUGAUACAAACCCUAAAUAACUUAAACUUGAAAGAACUCAAAUCUAGACUUAUAAUCCAAAAAAUUUAAUAUUAGAAUUGGGUGGCAUCUAUUCAAAGACCUCAUUCAGUACAUUCCCAUGAGAUCCUUUUACAUCAACGAUUGAAAUAAAAAAGGAAAAAAGAAACACAAAUCCAUCAUUGAUCAUGCUAGGUAAGAUUUACAUUGAAAACUGUGAGUUUAUCUUUAAACUAAUUCAAUCGGUUUCAACAAUAAAAAAGAGAGAAAGAAAACGAUUUUCAAAUAAAAGCAUGCAAUCAGUAACCGAUUUAAUAUAUUUUAAAUUACCGACACAAUUUCUUAAUUUCUAACAUAACAUAAUCAAACAGUUAUAAUCUCCUCAUUUUUAUCAUUAAAAAGAAUAUUACGAAAUCUCACUAUAAUAAACCUUCACUCUAAAUUUAAGGAUUCUAUAUCAAAAUUGACCUGAAUCACCCAAUUUACAAAAAUAACCCUUUCCGAGUGAUUACGAGAAAGUUGACAGCUUUUCAACUUUGUCUUUGAAUAAACACCAUCGUUUUAUGGGGGUCUUAGGGAAUUAAACUUUUUCUUUUCUUUUGCCUCAAUUAUUACCUGCUUUUCCACUUGCUUUCACCUUGUAAUUUGCAACCCUAUUUUUCCAUUUUUUUCCUGAUCGUUUUUUAGUCGUGAAGACAUGUGCAGCUGAUGCAUAUACUCCAUCAUGUUCCAAUUUCCAUGCAUGCAGACUCUAAACCCACACACAAACUUUUUUGAAAAACUAGGACUAUUGCUACACAUUCCUACAUCAAGACCCCUUUUUCUUAUGUAAAACUGUUCAUUAGCAUCAAUUUGGGCUGAAACAAUUUUUUUUCUUUUUACGAAUAUAUGCAGGUGGGAAGUUUAAAAUAAAUUGUUUUGGAGCUAGAAAUUAAUUAUUAAAUUUUUAGGGAGUUAAAAAGUAUGGUUUUAUGAUCAUUUUAACUUGUAAUUUUACAACAUUUGAAGGAUAUGAAUUUUACCAUUUUCGAGGAUUAAGGUCCCUGUUUUUUUUUUUUCUGAAUAAAUGUGAUUAUGUUUGAAGAGCAUAUAGAUAAUACUGCCAACACAAGAUAGAUUGAUCUGAACCCCUAGCUUUUAGUUUAGCAGCAUUUAGUGUUCAUUUAAAAUAAAAUUUAAAUUAUGAGUUCGAAUCACAACAAAAAUUAUAUUUGUGGUGUGUGAGUUAGUAGUAUUUUAUUCUGAGUCCAUUGACUAUUGUAAAUGUCAAAAAAAUCAAUAGAUUUUUAUUAUUUAUUAUAUUAUUAAAUUUACAUAAUAAAAAUAAUUUAUCGAUAUAUUAGAAAUUAUUAUUUGAUGAUUAAUAUUAUAUUAAUAAUAAAUAUGAUAUUAAUUAUUGAUGUAAUAUUAAUCGAGUUUACCUCCACUCCAUUAUUUUCUCAUCCAUUAAUAUCUAAUGCAUGUUUAAUCAUCGUACACAAGUUGAUUUUAACAUUUAAUAGAUAAAUCAUACAUGGGUCCUACACAUUUGAAUGUUGGUGAUCAAUGUAUUAGAUAUUAAUGAAUGAAAAAGUAAUGGAGUAUAUCUUAACUUAUAUGGUAUGUACCAAAAAACCUGUAUAUAGAGAAAUUAUUUUAUGAAUUCUUCCCACCACAUCAUCUAUAAUCCAUUUCUAAUUAUUUAAUGACAUUUUAGCAAUUUUUUCCAUCUCAUUGACACAUAAUUUUGGUAAUUUUUUUUACUUUGGACCAUGAACCUUGAACCCUUAAUCUUGAAACUUGAACUCUAAACCUAAACUUGAACCUUAAACCUUAAACCCCUAAACUUAGGUUAAGAAUUCCAGGUUCAUGGUUCAAGGUAAAAAUUAUCAAAAUUAUGUGUCAAUGACAUGGAAAAUAUUGUUAAAAUAUUAAUAAAUAAUUAAAAAUGGGCCAUGAAUAAUGUAGUGGGAAGGGCCCAUAAAAUAAAUUUUCUUAUAUAUAAAAUAAAUAUAACUAGAUAAAUUAAAAAUAAUAAAAAUUUAAACUCUAUCACUAAAUAAAUAUAAAAUAAUAAAAAUCUAAUUUCUAUCAACUCUUUGAUUUUCACUUCUUUAAAUCCCAUUACGAUAAAUAAGACAUAAAAUUAUAUACAUGAUUCAAACUCAAAUUAUUUUUAAAAUAAAUAAAUACUCUAUUAAUAAGUCACAACUUGAUAUAAAUUACUAAGUGGUAACUAUUUUUUAUGUUAGCUACCAUCAUGUUUUCAUUAUCACAUACAAGAAAAGAAACGAUAAGGAGAUAAAGUUUUUCAUAUAACUAAUUUUUAAUGUCAUGUGCGUUACAUUUUAUUUUAUAUAUUUUAAUUUAUUAAAUAUAUAUAUGUGCUAAUUAAAUGGGGAUUAAUUCAAUAAAAAAUAAUUGAGAGAUAAAAUAAUGUUUUAAAAAUCAUGAAAAUAAAAAAAUGAAUUAAUCCAUAUUAAUAUAAUAUACAAAUUUAGAACUAUAUAAGAAAGUAGAUAUAAAAGAUAUUUACAUCAAUUUAAGUAUCAUAUUUAAUAAUAACAAUUUAAAAUAAUCAUUGAAAUUUGAAUUUCUUUUACGAAAAAAUCCACAAAACGUUUUUCACCUGCACUAAACAAAUAUUGGAUAAAUAAAAAAACAGAUUUAAGAUUGCUUGCUUCGUAUAGUAUAAACAACUUGCAAAAGAAUAAAAAUAAAAAAGAUAUCAUAAUAUUAUAUUGCCUCAUCAUCAAUUAAAUAAUAUUUUAUCUCUCUUCGGUGUCAUUGUUGUUCGAAUAUGAUUCAUAUUGCCUCUUCAAAGAACUAUUGCAUUAAUACUUCAUGCUUUUUUAUAGGCUUAAUGAUAAAUUUGGCCACUAACUUUUGCAUGAUUUGUCAAAAUGGCCCUAAUUGUAUUUUUGAGUCUUUUUUCUUUUUUUUUUCAAUUUGUUUUUUCUAAUAACUUUAAUGAAUAAAUUCAACAUUUUAAUCUUUCUUUUCUUUCAAAAGGUUUCAAUCUUUCAUACGUUUGUUUACUGAGAAGUUUUUCAACUAAGUUAAUUUUUUUAGAUAAUUACGUUUAUUUUCUUUAAAUUAAGAUUUUUUUAAUUUAAUGUAUUAUUUAUUUUAUUUUAUUAUUUUCCGCAUGUAAUUAUCUUAUUGAGUUAUCUAAGUAAUAAAUUAUAUCUCAUUAAAAAUAUUCCACAUAUGAAAUUUCACAUCAUUCCCGUUAACUUUUUUAACGAUACUUUCAUUAAGUCUGUUUGAAAAAGCAAAUUGAAAAAAAAAUAAAGGUUGAUGGCAAAAAAAGGUUCAAAAAUAGAACUAGGGUCAUUUUGACAAAACAUGCAAACUUUAAUUGCCAAAUUUGUCAUUAAGCCUUUUUUUUUAUAUAAUUCUAACUUAUUAUUGCUAACAAUCUCCAUUUUUUUACAAACAUUUUUUUAAAAGUUAUUUGAUUGAAUAUACCUAACUAGGGCUGAGCAAGAAAAACCAAAAACGCGAAAGCCGACCCGAACCAAGGUGUUUGGAUGGUUUAUAGAAUGCAAGUUUAAAAAUCGUACGUGAUUACCCAAAACUGAACCAAAUUCUAUUUUUAUUUAAUAUAUAAUUAAUUUUAAUUUUUAUGAUAUAAAAAUAAGUAUUUUAUACUUAAAAUAGUGAAAAUAGUUUAAAAUUUUUUGAAUUUGUUUUUGUUUUUAAGUAAUAUUUAUGAAAAAGACUUUGAUAUUUUGUCAAAUAAUAUUCAUAAUCUAUAAAACAAAACUCAUUUUGUCAAAAUAAGAUUAAAUCCAAAACAAAAAAUUAAUAUAAAAAAGGGACAACCGAACCAAUCAUGAUAAACAAUUCCAAAAAUCCAAAAAAUCUGACCAAACUGAACUGACAUCACCCCGACACCUAACUACCGAAUGCUAUUUAUAAAGCUAAAUUUAAAUUUGAAUUAAUAUAUGCUUAGAGCUCUAUUCAAUUAUUAACUCUAUUUUACAUAAAUAAAAUUAGCACAAUUUUUAAAAAAAUAUUUUUAUAAAAAUAUCAAAAUUAAAUUAGCACAAAUUUUCUUAUAUUUUAUGCUAAGAAUUCUAUUCAAGUAAUAAUUUUAUUUUAAAAUUAGCAAAGCAUUGCUUAAAUUAUUUUUAAAAAAAAUAAUUAUUAAUUAUAAUUAUAAUUAUUUUUAAAAUUAUAAUUAUUUUUCAAUAUGUAAUUAUAAUUAUUUUUAAUGUAUAAUUAUCACAACUUUUAUUUUAACUAAUAAUUAUAAAUUAAAUAUUAUAAAUAUUUUUAAAUUUCAAAUUAGUAAUAUGAUAGAAAAUAAAUGGUAUUUUUGUUGGUUUAUUCUACAAGCAGGAUUGAAAUUUUGUUACAUGUGUUAUUUAUUUUUUAAAUAUAACUUAAGGACACAUGAUAAAAUCCUAACCCCGUUGUGGAACAAAAACUUCCCACAUUAGUGUAUCAAAUAAUUAUCCUUUAUUGAAGGUUAGUAUUUAGUGUAUUGGUGGUGAAUUUUUUAAACUCCCACAAGCAGCAUUAAAAAAAAUUAUCAUGUGUCUCAUUUUUAUAUGUAUUUAAAACUUUUUUUUUUUAUGUUUUAUCAUUCCCAACAAUCACAUGUCACCCUCUCAACCCUACUCGUACAAUUUUAAAACAUCAUUACUAGAAUAUCAAGUAAUUGCAAUUAUAAUUAUCAAAUAUAAAAUUUAUAAAAUCAAUCCUUAUUAAAUUUAAUUAUCACUUAAUUAAAAUUACAAUUAUAAAUUAAAACUAAGAUUUAGAAAUAUAAAUUAAAUCAUCGACAUAAUGUUCAGAAAUUCUCAUUCAUGUACCAUUCGAAGAAAAUCAUUUAAAAAAAUUUAAUAUAUUUUUUUGGACGAUUUUUUUUUUAACUAUAUAGUAUCGUUGAAUUUGUUUUUUCGAUAUACCUACCAAAUCCACUAGGCUAUUUUUAAAUAUUAAUGGAAAUUAAAUUUAAAAAAAAAAGAAGUAAAAGCGAUCAAAAUCUGAAUACUGAAUGUAUCAAGAAAAUCUGAAUUCUGUAUGAUAUUAUGAUCGUCACAUUACAGUAUUAAAGUGCACAAUUAAUUAACAACUAUGAUUGAGAUUCUAAUACUUUCCUUAAGCUUUGGCAUCACCCCCAGGGCUCCAAAUGUUGGUCAAAAGUGAAUUAUUUGUUUAUUUAACUAAUGGGUUGGGUUGUAAAUUUAAAAUUUGUUGAGGGUGAAUUGAUUUUGUUAGGAUAAAUUUGUAAAGUGUUUUCCGUCCAGAGUUGAUGGACCUCUCAAUUGGCUAAUAUUAUCUUUAGUGGAGGAUUUUGUUUCUCAACUUUGUCAAGGGUUGAAUGCCUAAAGAGGUAAUGAGUUUAUAGAAUAAGAGCCUCUUAUCGAGUGCCUUAUAAGGCAAAUCAUAUGUGUUAGCAUGAUUAGACUCUCAUUCAUGUCCUAUAGCAUACAUCGUAAGUGGAGUGGUAGCAUUGUGGCCUAUGCUAUAGACGUGUUUAAACUGCAACAAACACAAAUAUGAUAUUUCCUUCUUUUAGUGGGUGGUCGUCUUCAUAAGUACCGGAAGAAGCACUCUCACUCUGUGAAUCUAUUGUCUUUUCGGACACUUUGGUUUUCAGUAGAGUUGAGAGAUAAAACCUCCACCGAGGGCAAUAUAAACCCAUUGAGGGAUCCACCAACUCUCAAUGGACAACAGUUCAAUGAAUUCUUUUGAUAAAGUUAACUUCCACUCAAUAAAGUUCUAGGUCCUUAAUUACUUAGAUUUGAAUUUUGCCAUACAUAAUUACCAUUUAAGUCUAGCAUGCAUGAGUUGGAUCGGGGCCAGCCCUAGGGCUUGUUUAGAGGUGCAACCGCCCAGGGCCCAAGGCUAAAAGGGGCCAAAAAAAUUUUUUAUUCAGCUUUCAAUGUGGGAAAAAAAAUUCCAAACUAAAAUAAAAUAAUUAAAUGCUUAGGGUUUUCAAUUCUUAGCCAUAAAUAUUUCAUCUUCAACUCCUUAGCUUCUUCAAACCUCCUCUUAUUCCCAAAUUCCAUAACCAUAACCAUAGCAAUGGGAAAAAUUUUCUACAAAUUAAAUAAGACAAAAUUUGAUUUGAGUAAUACAUCAUUCAUCCGUCAUUAGCAUCAUUCAAUUGAAGUUAUUAAUUUUUACUUUAUAUUUGAGAGAUUAAGAGCCUCACAUCCAUGAUCUGCUGGAUCUACCAUUGUUGCAGGUGUAAUUCUCCUGCCUUUCUCUUCUUUCAUUCUUAAUUUGAUGAUAUUUUUUGGUUUUAACUAAUAAAAUCAUUAAGUCAUCCUUAUAUUUAGCUUCUCCCCUAAUUCCUUUUUUGAUGACAUAGGAAUAGGUUAAAUGAAACAUAUAUAUAUAUAUAUAUAUAUUUAAUUUUGUUAGAAAAUAUCUUCAAUUAAGAAUGACUUAAUGAUAUUUUGUUAGAAAAAAUUCCCCUAAUUCCAAACGUAAUGAAAUUACUAAUAUAUGAUUUUAUUUUAUUAUAUUACAUUUAUAAUUUUUAAAAAAGAGUCUGAUUUAUUGUUUUGUCUAGGGUUCCAAAAAUUUCAAGAACAUACCUAAACUAAAUUAUGUUUUAAUUAUUUGAAUAUAUAUAAUUCGUAAAAUUGUAUUAGUAAAAGCUACCUUAAAAGAAUUACAAUUGUGUCUCAUAAAACCCACGUCAAUUAUGUUACUUCCCACAUUUUUCAUAUGAAAAGUUGAAAAAAGUGGUUCCAGUGAGAAAAAAAUUUGAUCCGAAGAGGAAAAGAAAUAAAUAAAUCCUUCAUUGGAAUGUUUGUUUAGGCUACUUUUUCACUUUAAUUUUGGGCGGAAAACAAUGCUUAAAAUAUGCAAAAUGGACAUGUAUGAACAUCAUUGUCCUUUUACCUUUUAAAGAAAUUUGAGUUUACACAAAAUUAUACAACAAUUAGCUUUUUAGAAGGUGUAGGAUUUGGGUUCUACAUUUAAAAUUUAAACAUAAAUAUUUUAUUACCUUCACUUUAAAACUUUAAUUAAGAACGAUGGGUUUUAUUGGUUCCGAAUUUGGUUUAUUUUAAGGAUUAUUUUUGGGUUUGAAUAAUUUUUUAUUCAAGAUUAUUUUGAAUUCAAAUUGUUUUUCUAUUCGAGUUGUUUCAGGUUUAGGACAUUUGAAGCUUAGAUUAUGUUGAGAACCAACUUUUCAAGUUUAGUGAUUUUAGAUUAUUUUUAGUUCGGAAUCAUUUUUGGGUUGAAAUUAGAUAAGUUCAAAUUGCUAUUUUUUAUAGUGACAACUCUAAUAAGAACUUUUAAAAUGAUAAUCAUAAUAAUCAAAAUAAUUUUAACCAUUAAAUCAAAAUAAAUGGUUUUAAGUAUUAAAUUUUAUAUUUAUCCUACAUUGUUGAAAUAAAACUGACAACACCUAAUUUUUCUCUUUUUUUUUCUUUUCACUGUGUAAUUAAUGUAUCAAUGUGAACAAAAUUUUGUAUAAUUUAGACUUAUUUAAUUUUUUUUAAAAAUAAAAUAAAAAGCAAAAUAUUAAAAUUAUUAAGAUUAAUCAAAUUUUUAAUAAAAUACCUAAUACGAAAGAAACACACAAAUUUAACACUUUUCUUUCUAUUUUAUUAGUAAAUACACACAAAAAAAAAAGGUGGGUUUCCUUGCAUAAAAUAAAAAAAUAAUAAAGCAAUUUGAUUUUUUAAAUAAAAUAAAUUAGUCAAUUAGAGGGGAAAAGGAGGAAAAAGAAAAGUAAAAGCAAAACUAAGAUGAUUUCCGUGACUAAAACGACGCCGGCUCUGGCUCAAAAGUACCCAAACUCCAAUUACCACGCUGUUAUUUUGAUUGGCAACCAAAUUAGCACCUUUAAUUUUACACUUGCCGAUCGUACGGUUAAUUUUCAAUGAACGAAGUAAUCAACGGCUAAGAUCUUCCCUUUUGGAUCUUCUUUACUCAGCAAUAUGAUUUGCCCCCCGAAAAACAAAUAUCUGACAACUGCCCGAAGCUUUGUUCCUGUAACUGACACGGGCAGCACCCACUUCUCUUCGGGCAGCUACAAACUCCGACACAUUAAAUAGGUUCAAUUCUGUUUUUGGUCCUUCUACUGUGCUUAAAGUUUGAAUUUAGUCCUUAUGCUUUAACUUGAUGUAGUUUGAGCUUUUACUUUUAUGUUAAUUUCUCCUUUAUUAGUUUGGUUGCUAUUAACUGACAAUUAACUAGAAUGAGUGUGUUUAAGAAAAAAAAUAGAUUAUUAUUUUAACUGGCUUAAUUUAAUGAUACUAAAUAUUUGGACUAAAUAAUUAUACUAUAAAAAUAGAUAGAUAAAAUUAUGAUAAAUUGAAAUAUAUGGAUUAAAUUUUGAAUUUGGUCAUAGUAUAGGGAUCAAAACCAAAUUUGACCCUUAAAAAUGAAAACUAAAUAUUAAAUUAAAAAGGUUAAAAAAUACUCUUAAGCCUUCUACUUCAUGCAUUUGAAAUUUAGUCCAUUUACUUUUAUUUUAAGAGAUUUAAUUUCUCUACUUGUUGAAUUUGAAAAUGGAACUGUAAUUGUUAACCUUGUUAAAUUUUUUUUAUUAAAUCCAAGUUCAUUGCAACAUCAUUUUUUUAUUACAUGGUUAUAACGAGAGUAAUUUUUUAUUAUUUCAAAACGUUAUUAGAGAAUUUAACAUAAGAAUUUAGCAAAGCUGGACUUCAACUUUGAAAUUUGAAAAAUAAAAGGGUUAAAUUUCUAAAAAUAAAAAUAUAAAGACUAAAUUUCAAAUAUAAAAAUAGUACAGGGACAUGGGGCAGAUUUUAAUCAUUAAAACAUUAAUUAUUUUUUUUUCUUUUACUCGCUUUUGAAGAGCAACUACUUAAAUGUGAACUUUUGCCGAAAUUAAGAGAGAGGCCAAGCCACCACGCACCACCAACUGCCACCACCGGAGGGCCUCGCUGACGACCGGUGGUGAAAGGUAGAAGCAAAUCAAGAAAGCCUUUUGUUUCUCUUGAAAAAGAUGGGUCAGGGGCUGAGUUGUGGGGCGAGUCAAGAGAAUGGAUUGUUUAGUGCAGUUAAAGUUGGAGACUUUGAAACCGUGGAAGCUUUGUUACAGAGAGAACCCAGUCUUUUACAUCAUACAACUGUUUAUGAUCGCCAUUCUGCUCUUCAUAUAGCUGCUGCUAAUGGCCAGAUCGAGGUGGGUACUGCCUACUACUCCCUUUGGAGGUUUCUCAAGAUUUCUUCUUUUUUUGGAUUAAGUUUUGUUCUUAUUUGGUUUCAAUCCAUUGAUGUGAAAAUGUGUUUUUUUAUUGGUUCAUAGAUUUUGGCUAUGCUUUUGGAUAAAUCCAUGAACGCAGAUGCGGUGAAUCGUAACAAGCAGGUAAUUUUCAUUUUUUGGAAGUUUUUAAAGUUCUUUUUGGUUAUAUAUGUUACCUGUACUUAGUUUCUUUUUUUGUUUCUUUUUCAAUGGUUUUAGACUCCACUUAUGUUGGCUGCAAUGCAUGGGAAGAUCUCCUGUGUGAAGAAGCUCAUUGAAGCGGGGGCCAAUGUGAGCCGUUUUUCUUUGUCUUUUAAAUUCCUGGGUUUUUCUCACUUUUUCUUAAAAGCUACAAUUUAACCCAUUUUUGUGUGAUUUGCAUGAUCUGAUUUAUGCCUUUUCUCUUUCCAGAUCUUAAUGUUUGAUUCCCUCCAUGAAAGAACUUGCUUGCACUAUGCAGCCUAUUAUGGCCACUUUGACUGCCUUCAAGCCAUCCUCUCUGCUGCUCAAUCUAGCCCUGUUGCUGUUUCAUGGUGGGUGGGGGAUCAUUCAAGAUUGCUUGAUUUGCUUUGCUCAUAAUCUAUUUUUGAUUGAUUUCAAUUUUUUAAUUGAUCUCAUAUAUAUAUAUUGGAUAUGAUGAUAUCAGGGGAUAUGCACGGUUUGUGAAUAUAAGAGACGCUAGGGGAGCCACUCCUUUGCACUUAGCAGCUCGUCAAAGACGGCCCGAAUGCGUUCAUAUCCUGUUAGACAACGGUGCUCUUGUUUGUGCUUCAACCGGUGGAUACGGGUAAUAAUUCCUAUUUGAAGUUGUUCGAUGAUAAUUUUUUUUUUUUUUUUUUUGGUAUUAGUCUUCUGCAAAUGACUAUAAUGAUUGAAAUCUUGUUCUUUUCAGUUGUCCAGGAAGCACCCCUCUUCAUUUGGCUGCUAGAGGUGGAUCUCUCGAUUGUAUACGUAAGUUGUUGGCAUGGGGUGCGGAUCGUCUUCAAAGAGAUGCAACAGGGUAUGGUUUAAUUUCACUAUUUAUUUAUAUGGAUUUCCAAAUUAUUAUCUUAUUACAGAUCUUUUAUUCUUCAUGUGUUUUUUAAUUGUUUCGAGAGAUUCCUGAGUGAGUUUCAUUAUAUUCCAGUCAAUCUAUUUGUCCUACAUGGUUUGAUGUAAACUGGUGGGAAUCUAUUCCCUAGCCUUGACGCCUUUUUCUCUCUUCUUUUCUUGCCAUAUGUGAUUCAUUUCAUUUGGCUUAUGGUUUGUUUGUGUUAACACUUGCUAUGGUUAUGUUUGUGUCUUUGCAGGAGAAUACCGUAUAUAGUUGCUCUCAAGUACAAACAUGGAGCAUGUGCCGCUCUGUUAAAUCCAUCAUCUGCCGAACCUCUUGUCUGGCCAGCACCUUUAAAGUUCAUUAGUGAGCUCAAUGACGAGGCAAAGUCACUAUUAGAACAGGCCUUAAUGGAUGCAAACAGGGAAAGGGAAAAGAACAUCUUGAAAGGAACAGCUUACUCACUUCUAUCACCGUCACCUUCCCGCUCUGAUUCUGGGUUAGACGACAGUAUUUCUGAGGUAAAAAAAAUCCCUAACCAAAGCCAUGCGUUUGCCCUUGACCCUAGGUUCCAAUUGUGGUCCAUGAUGAAAUUAUUGAGUUUCAUGAUCUAGCAAUAUACAGCAUAAAUUUUUACUUUUUAACAUACUAUAAAACCUAUAUGUAGGUCACCGUAAUCCCCAUUUUUGCAUUGACCCUACUACUUAGAACCUGGCUGAUAGGUUUCAGUUAUGUGAAUAAGUUGUGGACCAUCUUGGCAAUAAUGGAACUGAUGUAUUCCCCGGGGAAUUAUUUCGAUGUAGGUUAGUGAUGCUGAACUAUGCUGCAUAUGCUUCGAGCAGAUCUGCACGAUCGAAGUCCAAGACUGUGGUCACCGGAUGUGCGCACAAUGCACAUUGGCCCUUUGCUGCCAUAACAAGCCGAACCCUACAACUGCAAGCAUAACACCCCCGGUCUGCCCCUUUUGCCGCAGCACCAUCGUCCGAUUGGCAGUAGCCAAGAUAAAAGAUUGCGACGACGAUGUUGGGGAGGAUGGUAGUUCCCCGAAGGUGAGAAGACGGAGGAAGUCGAGGAAUUUCAGCGAGGGGAGCAGCAGUUUCAAGAGCUUAUCUGCAGUUGGAUCCUUUAACAAGAUGGGGAGGAUUGCAGCAGAAAAUGAAUGGAUUGAUAAGCCUUGAAAAAAUGGGGGGGCAUUUUUGGCAGCUCAGUUUGAAACAUUCAAGUUGUUGAAUGUAGGAUAUAAUUAAAUCCCUUAUCCCAAUGGAAAAAUGCAAUGAAGAAAUUAUGAGUGAGGAGUGGACCCAUAUGGUAUAUAAGAUAGAAAAGUUGGGUCCAUUUGGUAAUUGUAGAUAGGUGAAAAUAAGCAAAAGAAAUUGCAGGUUUGGGGUUGGUGAGUGGGGUCAAUAUUGUUGUAAUAUUUGUUUUACUUGAGAUUGAAGUUGUAGCAUUGGGUCUUUAGAUUAAAUAUUUCAAACAUUUCUAAACAUUUCUUCAAUGGCUGCUUCAUGAAAAUUUGUUGAAGCAUCCCACCUCUGAAAGAGUCUUUGAUUUGGGUCAAAUCAAGAUUCUUGACCCUACUUAAGUCCCACCUAUAUAUAUAUAUAUACACAUAUAUUUUAAGGUAAUGGUAGUGAAGACUUCAAUAUAAUAUCUUUUUCAUUUCAACUAAUAUCAUUUGACUGAGAUGUAAUUAUAUAUUGUUUGAUUAUUUAUUUACAAAUGUAUGAACCAAAAUUUAAAAAGAAAGUGUUAAGGUUUCUCAUGUGAUCAUGUUCCCAUUUCUUUGUUUUUUUCAUAAGAAAAUAAGAAGAGAUGUAAACAACACCAUACACCACAGGGAUACAUAGUACAUGUUAAAAUGAGUCCAAUACUGAUAAUAUCUGCAAAAUUAACUAGAGAUACAUCAUCAUCUUUAUAGUAUUUUGACCCUCCUAACUUGAUCAUAAUUUCCGCUCAAUCAAUUAAUCAUUGUCAAAGGCUCCCAAAAGACAUUACCGCAUCGAUGAUACACAAAAACUAGUCUCAAAAUGGUUUCUCUCCUCUGAUCAUCAUAAUUUCAGAGCAUCUGACUGUGUAAAAAUGAAAGUCUAAUUAGAACCAUCACUGUUAAAAACAAAGAGUUGAUGAAAUCAGAAACACCAUAAUUUUAAGAGAAAACCAAGUGGAUUCAAUAACUGCUUUUAUAUAUAUAUAUAUAUAUUAUUUAUAAAAAAAAUAUUCGGUACAUUGUCAACGCAUUUUUUAAAUUUUACAAGCAAGGUUAAGGAUUGAUAAGUUCCUUAUAAAAGUAUAAUAAAUUAUUAAAAAAAUAUAUAUUUAAAAAAAAGGGCAAAUAUCAAUUUUUUAAAAUUGAUUAUAAAAUAAAAAAAAUGCAGUUUAUCUAAUACUCGCCUAUUGUUUACUUAUAAACUUUCAUACACUAAAGCAGUUGAAAAUGAGACUAGAAAUGUGAGAGAUAAUUUUUUUGGGGUAAAUUAUAUCCAUCGUCAUUUUUGUUUACCUCAUAUUACAUUUUAGAUAUUUAUAUUUGAAAGGUUACGUUUUAAUCAUUUAUGUUAUUAUGUUGUAAUAUUUUAAUAACUGAAUUGUUAACGGUGAAACAGUAAACUGACGUGGCACGUUAAAUCAUCAUUUCAAACAAAAAUUUUAGGUUAAAUUAUAUAAUUGGUCUCCAAAUUUUUUUGUUUUGAGCAAUCUAAUUUUUUAUUUUAUGAUCUUUUAACUCUUUUUUUUCCAUUCUCAUCUAUUUUUCCCUCUGUUUUCUUACCUUCUCCAUUUCUUUUAAUUUAUUUGGAAGUCGAAUUGGCAGUGAAGAAACAAGGAGGAAGUCGAAAUCCAUCAUUUUCUAUAACCAAAACCCACAAACCCAUACCAUCUGCUAACUAUCAAAACCCUCCACCACCACCCGUCAUCUUCGUUUCAUCUACUAACACCUUCAUUACUACCAUGCCCUCAUUUCGAAAACAUCUCAAAAAAUCUCUUGGACUACCCAAGAUCGAAUCCAUCAUUAGCUAUUAGAUCGACUCGAUUUUCUAAUAUGUGUUUCUCCUCAUCAAUACCUUCUUCUUGACUUUUAGGAUCGACAAGAAAGUUGUCGGAGUACCUUCAACUUGCUUGACAUGAAUCUAAUCCCUCUCUUUUCUCAAUUUCUCUCUCUUUUUACACUCUUUUUCUUUGUUGUAAGUCUAAUCUUUGGCUCUCUAUGAUUUUUUGGGCGUAUUAAUUGUUGUUCACUUGGAUUCUUAAUUGAUUUGAACAUGGGUUUAUUUGGUGAGGAGAUGAUAUUGUUGGGUUUGUCAUGAAUGAGGUCAUACUAGUGGUGAAGGUAUUAGUAGAUGAAAUGAAGAUAAUAGGUGAUGGUGGAGGGUUUUGAUAGUUAGCAAAUGGUAUGGAUUUAUGAGUUUUAGUUAUAGGCAAUAAUGACUUUCGACUUCCUCCUUGUUUCUUCAUUGCCAAUUCGACUUUCUGAUAAAUUAAAAGAAAUGGAGAAUGUAGGAAAACAGAGGGAGAAAUAGAAGAGAAUGAAAAAAAAAAGGAAAGUUAAAAGAUCAUAAAAGAAAAAAAUUAGAUUGCUCAAAACGAAAAAAUAUGUGGAACAAUUUUAUAAUUUAACCUAAAUUUUUUGUUUGAAAUGAUGAUUUAACGUGCCACGUCAGCUUACCGUUACACCGUUAACGACAAUUAAGGCUGAGUGACUAAAAUGUUACAACAUAAUAAUAUAAGUGACUAAAACGUAACAUUUCAAACAUAAAUGACUAAAAUAUAACAUGAAAUAAAUAAACGUGACCAUGAGUAUAGUUUACCCUUUUUUUUUAGGAAAAAUGUGAGAGAAUUAUUUUUAAAGUUUUUCAUGUAUUUCUUAUUUCUAUUAAAUAGACAAAAUUUUCAAAUGUAAUUAUUUAAUAUAUAUGCACUGAAAUUUUUUUAUUUCACAAUAAGAUUGAGAUUUUGUUUAUUUAUUUUAAAAUUUUAAAUAAACUUAAAAGGCACAUGAAAAAAUUUUAAUUUUAAUUUUAUUUACGAAAUAAAAACUUUUUACCCUUAGAAUGGCAAAUAAAUAUCUUAUUUCAAAUAUUAAUUUUUUUAAAAAAAUUUUUUUUUUUGAAAGGAUUAGUUUUCUUUUCUUUUUUCAAAAUUUUAAAAUUUAGUCCAUCUACUUAUGGUUCCAUUAAUGUGUAGUAAUUUUAUUUGUUAGGUUUAAUAAUUAAAGUGUAAACUAAUUCAUUACUUUGUUAUUAAAUUUCUUUAAAUUUAUGUAUGUGACAUUUUAAUAUUUAAAAUUUUGAUUUAAAAAAUCAAAGUUUAAUUUUAUUAUAUAUAUUCAAAUAUCACUUAGACUUUAAAUUCUUCUAGUUAAAAGUGAUUGGAUUAAUUUUGUUUUAGAGUGUUUGGUUUGUCAAAUCUUAGAUUACAUUCCGUACUAAGUAAUCAUAUUACGAGUGGAAUGUAAAAUCACUUUAUUUUGGUCAUCUGACUGGAAUGUAAGAUUGAUGUGUUUGCUUGAGGGCACAUAAGAUUACCUAGAAGUACAUUUUACUCAAUUAUCCUUGUCAUAAAUUUUGUUUUUUUUAACAAAUUUAGUUAUUUUAAUUUUUCUAGUCUUAAUUUCCAUAUUAUAAAUUAUAUAUUAAUAAGGAAAUAUAUGAUGUUGAAAUAAAUUUAUAAAUCAUAAUUAUAAUAAUUCAUGAAAAGUGAUUGCAACAUCAACCAUAAUUAUAAUUAUAACAACAAUUAAUAUAUUAGUAAACAAAUUAUUAAAUAAAAUAUAAAAAUUAUAAUUGUAAUGUAUGCCAUCUAUGGGUUCACUGUUACAGAAUUUUUUUUUUGUUUUUAAUUAGCCUUAAACUUUAUUUAAAGAAAAAAAACCUAAUUAAUUAAAAUUGGUCUAAAAUUUAAGAUUAUGCCCAUAAUAUAAGAAAACCUAUGGAAUGAACCGUAAUGAGAUUAUACCCUAUAUUACGACAUCUUGACAUUAUUCCGUAAUGUAAAAUUAUGGGAUGAUCGGAAUGUUGAUGAUCCAAACACUAUAAUCUCAUUCCGAAAUGUAACAUAACAGGUUGUAAUGUUACAUUCGGCAAACCAAACGUCCCCCUUAAAGUUUGAAGAUUAUAGAGUAUAAUUAGGAUUUUAAAAAUACGUAUUUUUAUAUUACCCUAAUAAUUGCCAAAGAUAUUUGGUGUGUACGAAUUGAUGUAGAAAUGGAAGUAAUAUUGGAGGUGUUGGAUCUAGUGCCCUAAGUGUAGUAUUUCAUCAAUAUACACUUGUAAUUUUUUCGAACAGAUUGUCUAAUAAAACAAAUUCAUUGAUUACAUUAAUAUAUUUUGUAUAAUCGUCCUCACAUAGUUUUUGCAUGCAAAGCAGGAUGGAAGCAAAUGUUGCUUAUUGUUGUCUAAAUGUUUAACUAUUACUAAGCAGUAUUACGUGGUCGGAUCAUAGUACAGACUGACAACUUGUAUUAGUAGACAAACCUAAACAUAUCCUUAGUCUAAUUGAAAAUGAGCAAACUGAUUCAAAGACUAAUAUAUUGUCUAUCAAGCCCAAUUGGGGAGAUGCCUUGCCUAAAGGUGUAUAGAGGUAUAUGUAAACGAUAUGCUGGUAAAAAACAUCACGAUGGAACAACACUUGAAUGAUUUGCAAGAGGUAUUUACAUUUUUGAGAAGGUACAACAUGAAACUCAACACUGCUAAAUGUGUAUUUAGAGUUUGAGCUAAGAAAUCAUUGGGGUUUAUGAUUUCCAACAUGGGGAUUGAGGCCAAAUUUGAAAAAAUCAAGGCCAUUUUGCAAAUGCUCAAUCCAAAAAAUGACAAGGAAGUCCAACGAGUAACGGGUAGGGUUGUUGCGCUUAAUUGAUUUGUCUUUAAAGUUGACAGACAAGUGCACACUUCUCUUUAAAACCUUAACCUUUCAAUGGUCAAAGAAGUGCCAACAAUCGUUUGAGCAACUGAAGUAGUGCCUUAGUACCUCUCUAUUGCUAGUAUCGCCACUUCCGGGUGACACCGUGUAUAUCUACUUGGUUGCUUCAGAUGAGACAGGAGGAACAGUUUAAUAAAAAGGAUGGAAGGGCAAUAACAUCCAAUGUAUUAUGUGAGUAGGAUCAUGUAGGAAUGUGAAUUAAGGUACCUUAAGGUGAAAAAAAUGUUUUUGCUUUUGUGAUAGUAGCUCAGAAGCUCUGUUCGUAUUUCCAAGCCCAUUUGAUCAUUGUUCUGUCAGACCUAUCGUUGUGAGAAAUUUUAGGAAAGAUUGAUCCUCUGGUAGAAUGGUAAAAUAGAGUGUCGAACUCAAUGAAUUUGGGCUAAACUUUUUAUUGCAUAAGGCAAUAAAAGCACAAGUUUUAACAAAGUUCAUUGUUGAGUGUUCUUCAGACAUCAACUAGAGCCAAACAUUAUAGCAAACCCUUCGAAAAGCCAAGAAAUUAAUGUAGAGCCAUCCAUAGAGAAGCCUAUCAAAAAUAGUGCCAUAUGGGUUUGACAUGUGGAUGGUUUCUGAAACAAAAUGGGUUUUGGAACAGGUAUCUCAUUAGUUGAUUCAGAUGGUAAUGAAUGGGAGUAUGGUCUUUCUUUUGUAUUUUUCUGUCCAAUAAUGCUAUUAAAUAUGAGGCGAUGGUAGAAAAAUUGGAACUGACACAGAAAUUAAGAGUUCGAAAGCUUCACGUUGAUCUAUCGUAAUUUGAUACGUCAAAUUAGGUUCUCCAUUACACUUGACGAGCUUAUUCUCGAGCAAUUUGAAGGUAUUUUUCAUGUUUUUACUUAGUUUUAGUUCUUUGCUUUAAUAAGUGAAUUAGUGUGUUUUAUACUAUUUUUGAAACUCAAGCUGGUCAAGUGUGCCAAAGGAAACCUAAUGGGUUGAUUGAGUGUUGUAGGGAGUCGAUGGCGGCCUAAACGUGAAGAAAACAUCACUUAGAAUAGGGGUAUCGUGAUAUUGAAGCAUAGAAGUCGUGAUACCCCUAACAGACUGAAACGAUGAGGAUUAAGGCCAUCUGCAGUGGUAUCGCGAUACUAGCCAUGGGUAUUGCAAUACCCAACCUCCCAAGGCUCCCCCAUUUCAAGAUUGUUGUGGGUAUCUCGGUACCAGACCAUGGUUAUCACAAUACCCCUAAUGAGAGGAGACCAAAAAAAAAACUGAUUGCAGGGGUAAUCCUUGUACAACUUUAACAUCAAUCAAAUUUAGACGUUGAGAGGCAUUUUGGUUACAAAAAUUAGGUUGUAAUCAAAUUAAACAGCCACUUGUGUCUGAGAAUUGGAGGAAAAGCUUUUAUUUAGGUUUUUUUUUUCAUAUUUUUCAUGAAGGUAUUUUUCAUGUUUUUACUUAGUUUUAGUUCUUUGCUUUAAUAAGUGAAUUAGUGUGUUUUACACUAUUUUUGAGACCCAAGUUGGUCAAGUGCGCCAAAGGAAACCUAAUGGGUUGAUUGAGUGUUGUAGGGAGUCGAUGGUGGCCUAAACGUGAAGAAAACAUCACUUAGAAUAGGGGUAUCGUGAUAUCGAAGCAAAGAAGUCGUGAUAACCCUGACAGUGCUGAAGCGAUGAGGAUUAAGGCCAUCUGUAGUGGUAUGGCGAUACUAGCCAUGGGUAUUGCAAUACCCAACCUCCCAAGGCUCCCCCAUUUCAAGAUUAUUGUGGGUAUCUCGGUACCAGACCAUGGUUAUCACAAUACCCCUAAUGAGAGGAGACAAAAAAAAACUGAUUGCAGGGGUAAUCCUUGUACAACUUUAACAUCAAUCAAAUUUAGACGUUGAGGGGCAUUUUGGUCACAAAAAUUAGGUUGUAAUCAAAUUAAAAAGCUACUUGUGUCUGAGAAUUGAAGGAAAAGCUUUUAUUUAGGUUUUUUUUUUCAUAUUUUUAGCUUAGGUUUAAAGUAGUUUUCUUUUCCAUAGUUCUAGGGUUUUAGUUAAAGCUUUUCCUGGUUUUUCUUAGUGUUAAUGGUAGUUAGUUAAGUUAGUUAUCAUUUUAACUAAGAUUUAUUUGCUUGUUUAGUACCUCAAAAUCCUUAUAUUUUCAAUUUAAUGCUUAGUAUUAAUAUAACUCAAUUUCCUUCUAGUUUUAUCAUUAAAAAUUUGAUUUUUAGGUGUUUUUUUACAUUUCCUUUUUUAUUGAGUUUGUCAUUUAUGCACAUUUUGUGUGAUUAUUGUGUUCUUGUUUGUUUAAGUAUGGUUAUGGAUAACUAAAUUUGAAGCUGGAGGUUGAUGAAAAUGUUAGCUAGUUAAUUUUUGGGUUAGGGAUUAAAUUACAAAAAUUGGACUAAAUCAAAUAAAAUUCAAAACUAAGAAUUAACACCCCUAAAGGAAAAUCGGGAUAGGUGAGACCGAGAUGAGAUCUUAUUGGACACCAAUUUGGUUGUCCUGGGUUAGUUUGGUGAGGUCGAGAGAUAAACCAGACUACUUUGUCUAACUUGGUAAAAUUGAGGCCAAGAGAAAAAGACCUACCUCCACCUCUUUUUGUUAUGAAGACUAAUUUGUCUAACAUGAUAAAUUUAGGCCAUGAGAACUUGCCCCUUUUUGUCCUCAAUCAUUGAAAUUCUUCCAAGAUUGUUCGUCGUCGUCUUAUUAGUUGUCACCGCCUUACUAUCGACAUCAAAAGAGCUACCUCCACCCCUUUACGACGAAGCCUGAUCAAUUCAUCCACUUCUCCUCGUGAGGCUAACUAUUUUUCCAAUAAACCACAAAAAAGAAGAAGAAGAAGGAAAACCCCUUUAACUAUAACCAUAGAUGAAGAAUAAAUUAAUCUUUUAGUACCCUAAAAUCAUUCUGAGCAAUUAUCUUUUUAAUUAACUUGUCUUUUGUCCUUGUUCUGGCUAUCAACCUCUUUGGGUGAACUGACUUCCUUUGUACCACCGUGAUCUCCUUUUGAAUCCUCCUUAUCCUCCUCCAUUGUUGAACCCUGUAUCAGCAUUACUAAAAAAUGAUAUCAACUAAUAAGAACAAAGCAUGUGGCACGUUCUCAUUGGACAUUAUACAUUUAAAUAAAGUAGGUCAAAAUUGAUAACGUAAGGAUCACUUGUGAUCGAAAAAAGUAUUAAGUAUCAAUUUCAAAAUUGAAGUAUAAUUUAUGAUCAAUUUACUAAUAAACCCUGUAUAUAACAUGAUCUAGAACAUUUCCACAUACGAACUAGCUUUUAUUAUUAGUUAUGGUAAUUUCUAAUUCGGUUGCAUGUAAGCUGUUGAAUGUAAAAUUGUGAAAUUUGAAAAUAGGUAGAAAUUAAGGUAAGAUAUUUUAGUAAAUUAUUUUGAGAAUAAAUAUGUAAAAUGUUUGAAAAUUUUAUUUUUAUUGCUCAAUAAAUAUUUGACAUGUGCUCUAAUAAAAAAUGUAUAGCGAUAAAGGUUAGCAUUUAAUGUUUACUUUUUUUCUUUUGUCAUUUUGAACCUUUUUUUUUUAUCACUUAGGUUCUCAACCUUUAAAUUAAUUAAAUUAUUUUUUAAAGAUGAAAAACAUUAACUAGAUUGUUAAAAUUUUAACUACACUGAUGUGGCAACUCCUGUGGUAGUCUAAGUAUACUUAAUAAAAAUUCAAAAAAUAAAAUAUUUCUAAAAAAAAUAUAAAAUGUUUUAAAAAAAAUUACCUAUGUCAACAGUGAAGUACACGUAGACUACCAUGCGAGCUAUCACACCAAUGCUAUUAAAAAUUUUAACAAUUCAAACAACUUUUUAUUAAAAACAAAGCAAUUUGACUAAAUUUGAAGUAUGAGGGCCAAGUGAUAAGAAAAGAAUUAGGUAAAAAAAUUGAAAAAGAAGUAUUAAAUUGAAAAAGAACUCAGAGUGUGUUUGAUAAAAAAAAAAUUAAGUAUUGAAUUUUUAGUACUAGAUUUUAUAUUACAAAAUUGUUUAAUAUAUUAGUAAAAAUUAAGCACUUAAUAUAAAUAUUUUGUUUGAUAAUAAUAAAUCUUGAUUUUUGAAAAUUCAUCAUUUCAUAAUUUUAAUCUUAUUAAUAUGAUUUUAUUUAUUUCAUUUUAAAUAGCUUUGGCUAAAAAUUAAAGAUAAAAUUUUGAUUAUUUUAUUUUUAAUAAAAUGAGAAAUAAUUUAUCUCAAAAAUAAAAUUUUAAAAAAUAUAGUUAACUUAAUAUCUUGCACAUUAAGUGAUAAGUGUCUAUUAAGUUAAGAUAAAAUUUGAUUAUUUUUUACUGAAAACUUUAUAUUAAUUAAAAAAUUAAUAUGAUUAUUAUACACAAUUUUUAAGAAAAAAUCAAAGAUUUUCAUUUAUAAUGCUUUAUUAAACACACCAUCAUAUACUAAAAUGAAUAUUAAAGUUAAACUUAAUUACUAAAUUCGAACAAAAAAAACUUAAAUACUAAACUGAACACUAAAAUCAAGUCGAUAUAAUAAUUAUUAUAAAAAAAUAAAAUAUAUAAACACAAUAUAUAUAAUAUUAAAUUAACUAUGAAUCUUGUAUGAUGAUGCAUGGAUGGUGAUAGGAUUGAUGGGCCCAUGGCAACAUCCCAUACACCCAAUCCUUCAAUUUUUUGUAUUAUUAUUUUUCUUUUACAUCUUGAUUUAUACGCGUUAUUUGACUAAUGAGUGUUUAUAUAUAUAUAUAUAUAUAUUUAAAACAUCCUCUCUGGGUUCUCAUUUACAAUUUUAGACCACUUCUGGAUUACGUUAUUUUAUAUGUAAGGUGAAUUUGGAUGAAUAAUAUAUUUAUUUAUAGUUAGUAUAAAAAAAUAAUAAUAAUAAAAUUUGAUAUUAUAAUAAUAUUAUAAUAUAAAAUAAAAAAUAAAUUAAACAUGUCGCAUCCUUCUUUUAAACUCACCUUUAUGUUUUAAAUAUUAUGUUAAUGAAAACUAAAUAUUACUUUAUAAAUUUUUUAAAAAGAGAUUAUUUCAUUAUAAAAAAGUUAAACUCAAAAUUUUAUUGCACAUAUGAAUCACGCCCUUACUUUUUAUCUUUAUUUGUGUGCGUGUACGCGAUGUGCAUUAGCACCUUGUUUUAUAAAUUUUUUUUGAUUUAAAGAUUUGAUAUUUUUUCAUAAAUUAAAUAUUUUUUUAAAGGAAAAAUAUUUCACAUAUUAUCAGUAAGGUUUAAAAUUUUCAUGAGUUAAGUGAAAUAAUAAUGGUUUCUCUUAACUUAACAAGUGGUUGAGGAUUUGAUUUUCACCCUAGAUAUGAAGAAACUUUAAAAUUUUUAGGUUAGUUUUUAAACUUAAUGGUGUUUUUAGGUUAGUUUUUCAAAAAAUGAAAAGAUUUCAUUGGACAAUGAAACAUGUCAAACUUAUUAAUAUUUUAAAAUCAUAAUAUUAAAUUAUAUGCAACAUGAUAUUAAAAAUUAACUUCUUCUUUUUUUGUAAAAUAUCAAACAUUAGAGAAAAUAUCUACCUGAUAUUAAUUAAAUUAUUAUUUUUCAUAAUAAAAAAAUCAUUUAAUAAGAAGAAUAAACAAGUGGCAUACAGUUACGUCCAGAACAAGAGUCGAGGUUGGAAAACAUGAGAUCACGCGUAAAAAUAUCUAUAUAAAACUAUCUGAACCCAAAAAUAAAUGUCAAAUUUUGUUACUAGUCCCUAUACUAUGUUAAUCUGUAGACUUUUAAAAUUUUAUAAUUUAAGUAUUAUGUGAAAAAUAAAUCUAACGACUGUGAUUAAAAUUGAAAUUUAAAUUUUUUAAAAAGAUAAUAAAACUAAAAUUGAUUAAAUUAAAGUAAAGGGACUAAAUAUAUAAAUUGUGUAUAGUAGAAAGACUUGUAAGAAAAUUCGAUCAAAAAUAAAAGAGAUAAAUUAGAGUUUGAUGGGUAAACGAAGUUGACUUCGCCUCGAUUGCAGUACUUUGUAAUUAAGAGAUUACACCGACAAUAAAUUUUUUUAUUAUUUUUUAAACAUUGGAACGUCAAUGUUGAAAUAUUUUACAUUCUCAAAUACAAAAAUGUUUUGAAGACAUUAAAAUUUAAAAACAAAAAUGUUGUGAAGUAGUGUAUAUAUUAGGUUGCGUAUUUAAGUGUUAUUCCAGUUAGUAAAUGAUGUGUGCAUAUACAUUACAUUUUUAAGGGAAUAAUUCGAAUUAUAAUUUUAAAAAUAUUAUUAUUAGAAAAAAUAAUCAUAAAUUUUAAAAAUUUAAUUUUUAUAAUCCAUAAAAUUUACAUAAAAAGUAUUAUUAUAGGUUAGAGUUCAAAUUUUGUGCAAUGAUUUGACCUAAUUUUUAAGGUGUGAUAAUAUGGUUUUUUUUUUCAGUGCAGUAUUAUUGUUUGAAAAUUCGGAAAAUCUCAAAAUAAAUGUGGCGAAAAGCGGAAAUCAAAAUGGAUAAACCUUUGUAUGGAUUGAUAGUUUGGUACAAGCAGAGAGGGUUGCUUAAACCACCCAUUAUCAAAACAACUCAAUGCUAGGAUUCAAGAUGUAAGGGCAUGCUUAGGACUUUAGGAGGGUUGUCCACACAGGCAUCAACAUCUGCACCAAGAAACCUACUAGUUCGAGGAGAAAUGACGCAAGUUCAUAAGGUCCAUAGGUUCCAUUAGGACUGUGUGGCUCCUGCUCGCAGCUCCUCCUCCCACCACAAGGAAGUGACCGAGCAACGGAACACCGAUCAUGUUAUCACUCUGCAUCAACAUUAUCCCUUGAGCAUAAAGGAAAGAACCAAACUUUUUGACCUCUUGUCGUCGUAGUUCUUUUAGACAGUUCCGACGGCUUCCAAGUGUAAUGCUAUUGUCACAACAUUCAUGCAACUAUUUGUACCAUUUUGUUCACAUAGAUGGUAUGUAUGACAUCAAGUUUAGACAAUAAGACAUGAAUAUUAGUUCUAUGCUCUAAGGGCACUCUUUUUUUUGAAAAUUAAGUUAAUAAUAACAAGUGAAACCACUAGCUAAAUGUCAUUCAAAAAUGGAAUCUAUGACAUUUUUAAUCAAAUAUGUCCUCCAUAUGAUAUCUGAUCCAUGAGCAGUAAUGGUCAGUGUGGUGCUGACACUAGCAGGACAUGCACAAAAAGCCAUGCAGGCACCAAUUGUUUUUUGCUGCAAUUAUUGAGUGCUGCUGGUGUUUUCUUAACGGUUGAAGACCUCAAUGUGAAGCAAGAAAACACCUACCACCUCACUCCACCCUCCAUUAUUAUUACAAACCAUGAUGGGAAAAGCACCCAAGCAGGCUCAACAUAACAAUUCCUCAAUCCCCACAAACUGAAGCUGUAAAAAUAGUCUUUACUUUUAACUGUUUUUUUUUUUUGUCCGAGAUACUCGUAUAUCCGGUAGUUACAUUGGGUCCAAUGUCGUUUUUUAUAUCCAGAAAGACUCAAAUUCAAGACCUUACUCAACAUGGGUUUAACUUACUAUAGCAAGCAACCAAAAACCAUUGUACUCUUAUGGUGUAGCAGAGACAGGGGAUUCAAAUGCUGCAUUUAAAGACUAAUUAGCCAGCAAAAACAAAGAACUGUUUUAAUAUGGCACCAUUCAAUGUUCAUUAAGCCAUUUACCACAAUCUACAAGAAAAGAAAAGAAAGAAAAUCUGUAACAAAGUUUUAUGUAGGAGAAAACAAGUAAAAGAGAAAAAACCAAAAAGGCUACUGAGGAAAAAUACAAUCAUGGGUCAUGAGUGAUGACUUUGGAUAUGAAAACUGGAAAGAGAAAGAUGAAAUGUAGCAAUCUAAGCAAAAUCUUUUAACCAAAAUUUAUAUAUAAGCUUCCAUUGAGUCAGUCACUGACCUCAAAGAUGAAGAGGCAGUGAGUAUUGACCCUGAGUGAUCAUAGUCGCCCAAGUCUCACAUUCAGGGGCUGCAAUUCCCCGGGAGGGGGGGGGGCUAACCUUUCUUCCUACAAUCAAAUCACAAUCACAAAUAUGAUUUCAGUACCCUCCAAACAAUCACCAUCAAUUGAACUAAUAAUAUAAAAAAGAGAGGAAAGCUUAUCAUAACAGUACUGCCAUUAGAAACAAAAACAAUAUGACAAACAGGAAGUAGACACAUUACGUGAUAGAAAUUAUAAGAAAACAAUAAAAGAGAAAAAGGAAUCUGAGAAACAACCCACAAGAGAAUAAUCCAAAUGAAGUAGAGAGAAGACAAGCAUUACCAGUUGAGCCAUGUAGUAUGAUGAUGUAUCUGACUAUGUGCUUUUAAUGUUGGAUAUUCGUAUCUGAUUCAUCUUCAGUGAAAACAACUAACAUGCUGUAAACUUGCCAGUAAACUUGAAAUUAUUAGGACCCAGAAAAAUACCAUUGUUAGCCCAAGGUUUUUACUUCUUAGGACCUACAAGAACUGAUGCUUUCACUGUAUCUUCAGUGUGAUGACUCGAAAGGAAAAAAAAAAAAAACCAAAUCUUCAAUGUUUAAUUCUCAUAAUCUGGUGAACUAAUUAGAUUAUAAAAACCCAGAAAUUUUGGUCUGCAAGCCACCUUGAACUAUACAGCAGAAUUUUUUUUUUUUUUUCAUUUUCGAAAAGAGAUUUGGCAUUUGAGUAGGAUGAUGAUUCAGUUACUGCGCAGUUGUAAGAUUUAGUAACUGGAUCAAAAUAACUUUUUGGUGCAUCAUAAAGUUAGUUGGGUAUAAUUGUGGUAGAUUCGCUUUGCAGAAUUGAUAGAAUAUUUCUUCUUCUUACUAAGAACAACAAAAGGCCUGUUAAGAUGAGAUGUAAGAAAAGAACAUGUAUUUGCAGUAAAUGACAGAUCCACUGCCAAGCAGUAACUUUGAUCAGACCUCGGAAAUAUUAACCCAAUCCAUUCGAAUAUUUAUGGUUUUGAAAAUAUUUUUUAUUUUUUUAUGAUUUUAUAUAAAAUUUUUAAAAAAUUUAAAAUUUUCAAGGUCGAAAUUCAAUUGGUUAUUGCUCUGUUACAGUUUAUUUUCUCCAUGCACAAGUUUAAAUAAAUAAAUCCUAAAGUCUUGAAGUAUGAACUAGUAUCCAGCAAGAGAGCCUCAACUCAGCAAAAUUUAUAUAGUCUUAUUUUUGUUAAACUAUGACAUGUAGUUAGGUUAAAUCGAUUUUUACCUGUGAUCAGUUUCAUAAUUGAAGCUAAAAUUGGUAAUUUAGAAUUGAUCAAAUGAUUAGAUCAUGAAAUAAGAUUUGAAUCACUUGAAAAUGUUAUGUUAAGGUUUAUUUGAGUAUUUACAUAUGCUAAAUGUUGUGAAUGGUAGUGCCAUGAAAUGAGCCUAUAUAUUGAAUGGUAAUGAUGUAUGAAUAUAGUAGUUUUGUUUAGAAUUGAAUUUGUUAAGAACGUAUAUUUGGUCAGAAAUGUGGUAUAAAAAUGUGAAUUGGCUGAUUAUGUAUUUGUAGGUUGGGAUCGAAUUAGGCUUUUUAGAAUUAGAGACUUACGUUGUGAUGUCAAUUUGAGAUUUUGAAUUUUUUUUUAGUUUGGUCCUAAUUUGACAACGAAUGUGACAUGUUGUAGGUCAAAUUUGAUGAUCGGAUUAGAUAUAAAAUGUUACAUUUUUAUAAAAUGAUAAAUAUUAUUUUUGAAAGUAUUUUUAUUUUUUAUUUUUAUAUAAAAUGAAAAAGAAAACAUGAGACUCAAAUCUAAAACAUCAUAAAUUCUAGUUUUUUCAAUUUUACCAUCCUAAUUAAAUACUUAUUUAGUAUUUAUAUAAAAUUAUUAUAGAAUGAUUUUAACUUCAAAUUAAUAUUAAUGAUUUUUCCUAGAUAAUAAGUUAAGGCGAUGGGCUAAUAAUGUCCUUGUACUUGACUUUAGGCUGAUAUGCCUUUUUCAAAGGCUUAAUGCAGGCUAAGUUAUGGGCUACUUUCAUAGUCAAUAAAAAGCCUAUUUCUAAGUUUUUCAUUAAACCUUAAACCUCACAUUUUCUAAGAUAUAGUAUUGCAUGUGUCACUAAAUAUAAUUAGGAUUAACAUAAAUUAUCAUAUGGUCAGAAUUUUUUUUUGAAAAAUAUAUAUUGUGCUUUUUAAGUAUCCGGCUCAGUGAGUCUUUUCUUCCGUGAUUAAUUGUUGGCAUCAAUUUUAGUCCUACAUUACAUUUUGUCUCUAUGGACUGAGGAGAAAUGGAGCUCAACGGGAAGAGGAUUGUACCAUGAGAGAAGUAAGAAAGUCAACCUCUUUCAAAUAUGCAACAUGGAUUCUGACAAUAGAAUGGAGUUAGACUUUUAUGCGAUUCUGAAUGAAUCAUCUUUUCCACGGAGGUAAAUCUUUACCCCAUAGGCAACAGGAUAGCAAGUUACAAAUUUUGUUUCAAAAGGACAUGUAUUUCUAUUACUAUAAAAUUCAUAAAUGAAGUAUUUAAUCAUGGCGUUAGCAUUUAGGUACAUUCUUGACAUUUUUGGGCCUUAGGCAAAACAACAAAAUGAGAGUUUAGAUUCCUUAAAAAUUGGUAAAAAAAUUUGACUUUUAAAAGUUAAAAAAAAAUUUGGGCCCCUUAAAAACUAGAAAAUAAUAUUUUGGACCCUUUUUAGCCUUGGUCAUUGGGCAGUCUCACCUCCAGACUACCCCCAAGGCCGGGCCUAUUAGCAUUAUCCUGUUUGUAGUUACGAGUAUGUGUUCCUAAGAAAAGAAAAGAAAAUUAUCAAAAUUUCGAGGUCUUAACAGAUCGUGAAAACACAUAAGAACUCUUGAAUGAAACUAAAAAAGUGAUGUAACUCCAAUUCUUUAAAUCACUAAAUUUCAAACAUGAAAAAUAUGAAAUUUGGUAUAAAGAGUCUUAAUAAAAUUGGGUGCAUAAAUGGGAUAAUUUAGAUAUUCUUAUUAUUUGAACUAAAUAAUAAUAUUAAUAAUAGUAAUAAGGCUAAGUCAUAAUAAAUCAUAUGAAUAAAUUUUAAAAUUAUACAUGAACUUUAAUUUAAUGUGCAAUUUGAUAUAUGGACUUUGAUUUGGUGUAAUUGUAUACAUGAAAUUUUGAUUAUGGUUCAAAUGUAUACACAGAACUUUAAUUUUAUUCAAUCAUAUACAUUUAAAGAAAUAAAUAUAUCAAUUUAUUUUUAUAUUGGAUAAAUAUAAUUAUUUGCGUAUGCAAUAUAAAAACAUAAUAUAAUGUUAUAUUAAUAAUUAUGUUAAUAAUUUAUUAGAAUUGAAUCAAAUCAAAAUUUUAUGUAUAGAAUUACAUAAAAUCAAAAUUCAUGUAUAAAAUUAUAUAUUAAACCAAAAUUUAUAUAUAAUUUUAAGAUUUAUCACUGAAUUAUAUGUAGAGACCAAAACCAUAAUUUUUCUUAAAAAAAGAAAAACAGAACAUAUGGCAUGGAUGCUAAAUAGAAUCUACUAUGUAUAAACUAUAAGUAUGGUUGUUAGAACCAACAUGAAUUGAUUGAAUUAAAAAUUAAAUAACUGGUAACAUUAACAUAUAAUUUGAAUUACUUAUAAUUGUUUUGAACUGAUAAAAAAUAAAAAUGAGAGGAAAUUUUGGUUAAAAUAAAGGAAAAAUUGAAGUUUUAAAAAAAAAUUGAACAUUUUUCAUUAUGAUUUGGUUGAUUUUUAUUUGAAUAUUUGUACAUAUAAUCGCUUUUUUUUUUAAUUUUUAAAAUUUUAAAUUAUUUAUGUAUUUUGAAUAAUUUUUUAUUAUGUUUUACGAUUUAAUUUUUAAAUUUAAUUAUUCAAUUGAAAAUUUAAUCGAUUUGAUUUUUGAUUCCACCCUUAUAACAGUUAUCUCAAAUCAUAAAUAAAUUAAAAUAAAAAAAAUAUUUUAAUAUUUAAUUUGAGUUUUAAGAUUGAUUUGAUGAAAAUUAAUUGGUAAUAUUAUUAUAUUUGAAUUUUCUAUGAUUCUAUUAAUAGAAUAAAUUUAGUAUUUAUGGUAAAUUUGUUUGAUUUUGCAUUUAAUUUGUUAAAUUCAGUCUCAUAAAUGUGAUUUAAUUCAAAUCUUAAGGUUGAUUUAAUAAAAAUUAGUUACUAAUAUUAUUAGUUAAUUAUGAAUUUUCAUCAAAUCAAUUUUAAAACUCAAAUUAUAUAUUAAAAAAUUAACAUUAUUACUUUAGAUAUUAAAAUAUAUAACUUUUAUAUUAGAAAAAAUUGUCAAAACUCUGUUGCAGAUCGAAACUCUGUACUAAUUGGAGUAAAAAAUUCUUAUUUUCAUUCAUGGUAACCCCUUAAAAAUCUGACUAUUCCUACCUAGCCAAAGACAUGUUUCUGACACGGUUAAGACACUAGUGUCGAAAAAUAGACACAGACGAACACGGACGACUGGAGAGCAUAUGGAGAAGAAGCCGUCACGUCUUUUGAAGAUGAAAAGAGAAGUUGUUGUUGCAACUGCUGAAAGAAUUAGACAGUUUACUAAAAAAGAAAAUGAUUAAGAUGUUAAUGUUAUUAAACACCCCGAUUCAUUAAAAGAUGAGAGGUUUUUUUUUUUAGUUGAUUGAAUUUGGGUCAUUGGAACUCCAUAUGAUAGCUUGAUGGUUAAGGGUGUUCACCGUUCUAAAUGUAGUCUGGGUUCGAAUCAUAUUAGUCACAUUUGUUGUUUGAGCUUUACCUUGUUAUUGUAAUUCAUCAAAAAAAUUAAUUUCCUUCUUUAUUAAUUGAACUAUUUCAAGUCAUAACAAAUGUUAUCCUACUACAUCAAUUGGAUUAAUUCAACCAAGAGUAAAUGCACUACAUUAAUUGGAUUUAUUUAACCAAUACCAAAUGUUACAUCACAAUAUCAAUUGGAUUAUAAUAAAAUGAUUGUGAAUAAAUUAAAUUAAAUUAUUACCGCACUAUAUUAAAUGGAAUCUUAUAUUUCACUAUAGCAAUUGGAUUUACAGUAUAUUGAACGAGACUCUAGUAGAAUAAAUUCUAAAUUCGUUUAUAAAUUUAUUCAUUUGUGAUGUUUAUAGUGUGGCUUAGCUCAAUCUUAAUUAAAUACGAAUAAUGCGUGUGUGACUCGUAUAAUUUGAUGUAUUGAUAGCUUAAGUUCAAUUGGUAGUAGAGCCGAAAAUUGAUACGUUGGGUAUACGAAUUCUGCAUGAUGUAGCUUCACUUACAAUAGUGUAAUUCAUAGCCCAAUAAAGGGUAAAUGAUAUCCUCUCAUUGACAUUACAUAAUAGAUGAAAAGUAACGUAGCCAUAGGUCAUUUGUCCUAAAAUGGAUAAUUUAAUUACUAUUUGUUAGUAAUUAACUUUUCAUAAAGGAAGAUAUAAUGGUUAUCUUGAGAUAAAAUAGGAUCAUAUUCAGAGAACAAAUUUUAUCUCAAAGAAAUUAAGAAUUUUCUAUGAGGGUAAUAAACAUACGACAAACACUUAAUAUAGUAACUUUUGUAAUGGUAUAUAAUGGGUGAGCUCAAUCAAGGUACUUCAGUGAAAUAACUCCAUGACUAAAUAAUAUUGUAAUUAAUAGACGAAAAGUUAGAACUUAAUUACAAAUCAUUUGAAUCCUAUUUAUAUAUGUCAAAUCAGCCCCUCCGCUAUCUCAAUAUAACCUUGAUGGUUUGCAUUAAUCUAUAAUAUGAAAAUGUGAAAUGACGAACUAGAGAAAUAGAUCCCAUAUAUCACUAUCCGCAAUAAAUGUCUUUUUUCGCUAUGAAUAAGAGAGGACUUGAGAAUUAAAUUAAUUUUUUUAAAUUACUAUUUAAUUAUUUUAUAAUUAAAUAAUUGAAGUUCAAAGUGAAAAUUAAAUUAAUGAAUUUAUCAUAGUUUCAUGAGAACAAAUUCAUUAAAUUGAUUUACUUAUAUAUUCUAGUAUGGUAAAUUCGACAUAGUUUUAAUGCAAAUAAAUUUGGAUUGAAAAAAUAGUUUAAUUUAUUUUAUUAAUUAAUAGAGAUUAAGGGCUAGAUCAAACAUACACCAAUAUAUAUAUUAAUAUUUUGUCAAAAUAUGGUUAAAUUAUUUUUCCCAAAAUAAAUUUAUAUUUUUAUAAAGUUUGUCUUUCAUUUUUAGUUCUUGAGAGUUUCAUUAAAAUUUUCAUUGAUUUGUCAAUAAAGUACGCAUUCUAUAAAAUUAAUGUCGAGAUUAACUGAGAAGAUCAAGUGGUUGAAAGUUAAGAUUGACAAAAUUUGUCUAACUCAAAAACAUAUGUGAAAUUUGAGUAAUAGGUUUAUUGCUAUAAAACUCACAACCGAUUAAUUUUAAAGAAAAAAAUUAAAAUUUUGGCUGUGCUUACUUUUAUUGUUUUCAAAUUAAUUUUUCCAACACCUUAAUUGCUUCGUUGCAAUGCACAUAACCGAUCGAAUGAUGAUUGUGAUAUGGCUCUGGGGCCAACCCAAGUGGUUAGCUUUGUGCCUAAUAGUUUGGCCUAAUAAGGCACCCUCUUGUUUAUCUUUUUAAUUUUAUAAUGAAGUCUAUUUGAUGAAAUUGUAGAGGAGUUGGAAAUGUUGUUUUUGACAGAAACUGCAGAGAAAAUCCUGGUGUGUUGUGUCUUAUUGAAACUAAAGUUGAUUCUGGUACUUGGCUCUAGACUGGCCAAGAAGUUUAAAGUUGAAGCUUCCUUUGAAGUGGCAGCUAAUGACAUCAGGAUUGAUAUUGUUUUGGCAUCCUACUAUGAUCAAUUUACAGGUAUUGUCUGGAACAUACCAAAUUAUCCAUUGCCGAGUUUUGGAUGGAAGUACAGUUUUGAAGGUCUCUUUUGCUUAUGUACAACCGUUAGUUAUUAUAGAAGAUCAGUUCUGGAUAGAAUUACAGAAUUUUGCAACACAAAAUAUUCUCCAAUGAAUAUUAUGGGAGAAUUUAAUGACUUUGCUUCUUUUGAUGAACGUGAGGGCGGUAUUGGUAAUGGUGUUGAACGCAUGAUACAGUUCAAAGAGAGAUGGAGUAUGUGCAAUCUGAUGGAUCGGGUGCCUCUGAACCAGCAAGCUUUAACCAUAUUUCCUGAAUCAAUAGUAUUUAAUCUUCCUGAUUUAUGUUCUGAUAAUCAUGUUGGUUUAAAAAUUAAUUUUGUUGCACAGCAAAAAAUUAAAUUUUUUUUUAAAAUCAAGCAGUUGAUGUUAUUUAUGACAAUAAAUGAUAAUCAAAUUAAUAAACAUAACCUUUUUUACUAAUAUUCAACUUUAAUCUGCUUAGACAGUAGACUCUAAUUUCACAAUCCAACUACUGAGAAUAAAAUUUUUAUUAAUAUUUAGUAGUAUAUUAUUUUAUUUUAAAAGGCUAGAAAUCAGAAAGAUAAAUUCUCUCAAGAAAUAAGAUUUAUUUGAGGAAAUAAAUUACACUAGAUAUUAAGAAAAUAUCGACGCUAAAGUGGUGUACGCUCUUAAUUUAAUCAAUAAUCUCUUAUAGUGAGAAAAAUACAAGAAUCUCAAUUUUAAUAAAUAAAUAAAACAUAUAUUCCCCAAAGGGAUUACAUGGGGCAGCGACACUACCUUGAGGAAAUAGGGUAGAUGCCCCUUGCUACUCAAAUGAGAUUUUUUUUUUUUUUACAGAAUACUCAAAUGAGAUUGCAAUUCUGAGUUUUAAUUAUAUGUUUUAUUUAGUAUUUUAAUUAAUUUAUAUAAUUUUAUCAACUCAAUACUUAUUUUUCCAUUCCAAAAAAUAUUAAUUAAUUAAUUAAAAUAAAUUUAAUUAAUUCCCUAAUUAAAUUAUUUUUAAUCCAGUUUCACUUCUAAUUUAAUUAAAGUAAUUGAUAAUGAGCUUCAUUCACAAUUAUUUAUUAUUUAUUUAAAUUUGAUUUUUAUAUAAAUUUGACGUAAUUUAAUACUUAAUCAAUCAUUUUCUUUGUAGGUAUAAUUAUUUGUUCAAUAUGUAAGAAAGUGAGCGGAUAUCCAAAUUGCACGAAAAACUUGACAAGAGAACUCAAGUUGACACACAAGACUUAUAGACUUUAAAAUUAUUUUUUAUUAUUUCUAUUAAGACAUUUUUUUUAAGCUCGUCUCUUUUUAUGUUAGGGUUUUAUUAUUAUUAUUAUUAGGUUAGAAAGUUGAGGGGGUGGCGCUACAGCCAACCUUAGGUUUUAUUUAUAAUAUAUAUAUAUAUAUAUAUUACAUUAGAGGGGAGGGAAGGGGAGGGAGGCGCAUAUGCGCAAAACCAUAAAACCAUUGUUGCUUCUAUUUUUUUUUCUUUGAAUAAAAAUUCCUCCUUUUAUUUAUUUCUUUUAUUUUUCCGUAAUUUUAUGCAGUUUUAUCUAGUGUUAGUUCGAUUUUUGAUUCGGUGUUUGAACCGUGAGACUUGAAACCAUACUCAAAAUUAUUCAUUUUAAUAUUUCUUAUUUCUCCAGUUUUGGAUAUAGGCUUGAUUAUCUUACAAAUUCGUAAUAAUAUCAAGUCAAAAAAGAUUUGUUCGUUCAAUAUUGUGCAACGUACAGUUAGAAAAAUUAAUACAAUAAAAAAUUGUUGUAAUUGGUCUAUCGAAGAACAAACUGACAUGGCUAAUUGAGUGAGUGGUUAGAUCCGUCAAGGGAAGUAACAAUCAAGUUUAAAUGACCACAUGAUUGAGGUUGUGGAUUUGAGCUAAAUCAUGGACGCAUUCUUCAGGGUUAUUCUUUUUUUCUGGUAAGGGUUAUCUAUCGAGCGUUCCACAGUUAAUUUACACACAAAAGGAAUAGAAGUUUGAGGCGUCCUUGAUUAAUAUAACCGAUUUAUCGACUAGAGGAAAAAAUUCAUUGUCUGAGAUCAGUUUGAAGCCUAAGCCUAAAUUGAGCUUGAAGCUAGAGCGUUGUUUUAUCGGUUUAUUUAGUUUUAAUUUCAUUUUACUAUUUUUGCUUCAUUUUUAUCUUUAUUUAUUUAUUUUCCUAAAUUGAGCACGACUCAUAGGCACGAUAGCUGCCUACAACACACUCUAGUUAUAAGAAAAUGAAGUUUUAAAUAUCCAAUCCCUAUGGGAUCGAUCCUACUCCCUAUACUCAAAUUUAAUUUCAGUUUUAGGUGUAAGAAUUUUAUUUUUGGUGGAUUCGGCAUCCCUCAGUCAUGACGACUUUUCCAUACUAAAAUUCAUGAGUAAAUAAAUUUAAUUAACUUUUUCACUAAGAUUGCAACGACUAAUUAAUUUAAUUUCUAUAUCGAACUUUUGUUAUUUAAUUAUAAUCGAUUAAAUAAUAAUUUGAAGACGUUAAUUUAAUCUCUAAGUUAUCUCUUUUGUAUAGCAAGAAAGCAUAUUCAUUACAGAUAGUGAAUGUGAUUUAUUUUUUUGAUUCGUCGUUUUCAUUCAUUCGCUUAUUCAUUAUAUCAAUUCAAUUGCAAAUCGUUCAAAGUUGUAUCAAGCUAGCGAAAGUACCAAUUAAAUAUAUAUAAUUAGGGCACAAAAAUUAUAAUUAAGUUUUGACUCUAUAUUUAUUAGUUAUGACAUUAUUUAGUCAUUGAGUCAUUUUUUUAGAGUAAAGAUAUUCUUAAUCUCUUUAAGUUAACUCCCAUUAUUUAAUAUAAUUUUAUUUUGUGUCAUGAUAAUCCUUAUAUAUUAUUUCAUGUAAAAAACAAUUAUUAGCUCUAGAAAAUGGUGUGGAGGAGACUCACCCACUUAGCUGUUGAUUCGAGAUUGCAUGAAAUUUGUCAAUGAGAGUUGAAUGAUGGAAAUAAGAUGCUUACAUAGAGAGAGGAACCAAUGUGUUGACCAUUUGGCCAACUUGACGUAGGAGUUGGAAUUAAGGGUGAUUCACUUAUCUGCUGUAAGGCCCAAAUUAUGCCCGGGCCCAGACCACAAGAAUAGAAUAAAUAAAAUCCAAAUAACCAAAUUUCAAGUCCAUUUACAAUGUUAAACAGCCCAAAUUAAAACUCAAGACCCAAGUCACAAACCCAAUACAUACCCUAGACCCAAUAACUAAAACCCCACGGUCCAAAGACUGACCCAAUACCUGAAAUGAGCCCAAAUGGCCCAGAAAUUUUAGAAACCCUAGGGAUCCUUUCUUUCUCCUGAGCCGCAAUAGCAACCUCCCUACGCUUUCGCCUCCGUACUCCUCACGCCAAACGCCAGCACGCCUCCGUACCCCUCACGCCAAGCGCCAGCAUGACCCCCGUACACGAACGCGCACCCGUACCUAGAAGAAGGAAACAAAAACAGCAGCGAAUAGAAACAAAGACAUAUUGUAUACUUUCAUUUUUAUUUUUCUUUUCUUUCGGCUAUAAAAGCCCAACUUUUAGUCUUUGUAAAGGUUACGAACGUACACACACACUACGAAAAUUGAAUACAAAGAACGCAACAAAAAAUACGAACACACAUUUUUACGAAUACAGAGAUAAUAGCCAUCAAUCAAUAAAAAACAGAGAAGGUGAUUUUCCUUCUCCUUUCAAUCAUCUAUUCUUUUACUUGUUUCAAUCGAUUUCUUCGUUAUUUUAUACAAAAAGGGGAGCAAAAAGCAAGAGAAAGGAGAGAAACUCACCUGCAUUUCAAAGCCUUCGAAUCCCCGCUUGUUUCGCCACAAUCGAAAUUAAGUGGUGAUUUGGGGUUUGUAAGCAAGACCCUCAGUUCUUCUUGGUUCAAUGAAACCUCGAUUGACCACUCUAUGGGUCGAAAGAAGAGGCAGAGGAACAGUCAAUUGGGAGACCAACGGUUGGCCGAAUAUUAAAAGGAGGGAACUUUGGGUUUUUUUCUUCUUUCUUUUUCUUUGUGUGAGCGGCUAAUUGUUUCAUUAGGGUUAGUUUAGGCUAUUAAAAGGGGGGAUUAGGUGAUGCCGUUUUGGCCAAUGUCGAUGGCCUCAAAACGACACCAUUUGGCAGCCCAAUACCCGAUGACCCGACCCGCGCUAGGUUGAAACCCGCUCACUGGGUCUUUGAGGGGUAAUUAUGCUUCUGGUCCUCCCUAUUUGCGUAAUGACUCAAUUGGCUGCUAUUUGUUUUUUUUUCUCUUUUUAAUUCGGCCUUUAUAAUUUACGCGCAUUUCAUUUUAGUCCGUAAUGAAACGCAGCGUUUUGGGGCCUGGAAUAAUCCCCGUUUCAGUCCUUCUAUAUUUGUGUACAUUACGUGCCAGUCCUUUUGUAUUUUAACCGUUUAUUUUAUUUAAAUUUUUCUUUUUUCUUUUAAUUUAAUUUCAAUUUAGUUUCUUUUAGAUUCAUUUCAUGUUUUUUAUUCAUGUUUAUUUAUUUGUAUAAAUUGUAUCAUUAGUAUCAUUUAUUUUUUUAUUAUUUUUUAUUUAUAAUUUUGGUAAUCAUGUUUUCGCAUUCUGCAUACUAUUUUUUCUUUUAUUAUAUAAGUGUUUUUAUACAUACACAAUUACAUAUAUAUGCGCUUUGUAAUAAAGCUAAUUUUACUUCGUACAAACUAUUAAUCUCAUAUCAUUUUGUACUUAUAUUUCCUUUUAAAUUUGUUUUUAUAUUCUAUUACAUUAUCCCAUAUACAUAUAUCCAUCUAUUUAUUUUCUUUUAAAUUUGUUUGUUUAAACUCCUUUAUACAUAUAUAUAUAGGUUACUUUUAUUUUACGCAUGUUAUUAAUCUUACAUUAUUCUAUACAUAUAGUUUCUUUUAAAUACAUAUUCUUAUAUUUUAUUAUAUAAUCUUUCAUAACAUGGCUUUUAAAUUAUUAUGGUAUAUAUAUAUGUUUUUAUUAAUAUCUAUGCUUAAUCUAUUUAUAUAUGUUAUUAAAUUUAUGUAUUUAUACCCGUAGUUUUUCUUUGUGUAUAUAUAUAUAUAUAUAUGAGCACGUUCGUAAAACUAUUAUAUAGUUUAUUAAAAAAUUGAUUUAAGCAUGCAUGUAUUUCUAUGUUUCUACAAAUCAUUAUUUUUAGAAGUUAUUUAUAUAUACGUAUAAAUUGUAGAACCAUUAUGUUUUUAAAGACUAUAUCACAUUAUACAUUUUUAUUAUUAUCUGUAAUAUAUUUUACACAUAUUUUAAAAUUUUCACACUAUAAAUCCUCAUUUUUAAAACCAAUAUUAUUUAAUGUUUUGGUAUGAUAUCCGAUUAAAACAUUCAUUUUAUAAUAAGCAUCAAAUAUAUAUAUCCCUAGUUUUUUUUAGAUUUAAAGUGCCUCAAUUCAUUAAUUUGCAUGUCGUAUAAAUUAUUGGUUCAUUAGAUCGCCUCUGUUCCGGCAUCGUUUUAUACUACUUUGAAUUUUAAGUUCUAUUUUGUUUUGCAUAUAUUUUGUUGUUUUUCUAUAUCGUAACAUAUACAUUAUCAUUGCAUGGUAUUCGUUUUCUUGAUAUGUCAAUUAUUAUUCAUACGUGAUUGAAAUUAGGUCAUAAUUUUUAGAUUAAUUGUAUAUUAAUUGCAUUUAAUUGUUUAUUCUGCUAGUCGAUUAAUAUUCUUACUCAUCAAGCAUCGUAUCAUCAUAUGUGCCUUUACCCCAUGUCAUCGUAUCACUUGAUUUUUGAAAUGUGGUUCUAUAAAACCCAAACUUUAUGAUUAAUUUCGUCUUAUUUCAAAUCGAAUUAAUACGUCUUAAGCUAGCUUUAUAAUCAUUCAUUCAACAAUUCUUCAAAACAAAGACGAGAUUCGAUGUUCGGCAAUUCGCGGAAUCAUGCCCUAACGUGUUGGGUUGCAAUUUCGCACUUGCUCAAAAUAAUCGAAUAUCACUUCAAAAUUUCAUUCAUGUCUUUUAAAAUUCUUCAAAACGAAGACGAGAUUCGAUAUUUAGUAAUUCGCGGAAUCGUGCCUUAACGCGCUGGGUUGCAAUUUCGCGUUUGCUCAAAAUAAUCGAGUAUCCCUUCAAGAUUUCAUUCAUAUCUUCUAAAAAUUAUUUAAAACGAAGGCAAUAUUCGGCAUUUGACAAUUCGAGAAUCAUGCCCUAUCGUGCUGGGUUGUGAUUUCUCGUUUGCUCAAAAUGAUCGAACAUUCCUUUACAUUCUCACUCAUGUUUAUAAAAAAAUACUUAAAAACGAAGACGAUAUUCAAUAUUUGGCGAUUUGAGAAUCGAGCCCUAUCGUGCUGGGUUGCGCUUUUUCAUUUGUCCAAAAUAAUCGAAUAUCUCCACGGAAUUUCACACGUAUUUUAAGGUAAGGCAAUGGUUCGAUUUUUCGUUGGACCAAAUAGUUGGGCAUCCUUUUAUUAAUUUCAAAUUGUAGACUUUCGGACGUCGAAACAAGAAGAUUUUUGGCAACCCACUCGGGUUAUUCAAACGUUAUUAAAAAGAAUCACAUUUCAAAAACGUUUUUAAUUUUAGGCAUAAGGACAGUAUUUAAUCGAUUUGGUACCAAUUUUGGGUGUAGUGAGGGUGCUAACCCUUCCUCAUACGUAACCGACUCCCGAGCCCGUUUUCUAAAAUUUUCGUAGACCAUAAUCGGUGUUUUGGUAAACUGAAAAUGUUUUAUUAAAAUAACCAAAUCCUUAGGUGAUCCGAUCACAUCAAAACAAAAGAUCGGUGGUGACUCCAUCUUGCUAUUUUUCAAAAGUCGAUUCCCCAUUUUUCACCAAAUUUGAAAUUUCGAAGGAUGGUUUCGACAUCUGCACUGUUGGACAAAUUAAUGUCAUUGCUGCUUCAGGAUGCUACUAGCAAAAAAAUUGCUAAAUUAAACUUGUUUGCUUUGCUUUUCUUCAUUUUAUAUAAAAAUAUAUUUAAUAAAUAAAAUUCAGAGAUGUUUAUAAAAUUUUCUUGAAAUCUGAGGAAAUAAAUAGAGCUGUUUAAAACCAUAAAAGAGAAACUAUUUUACACUACACUCGACGGUGUCCUUAAUAUAUAAGAAAAACCAAACAAAGAUGGCCAACGUAAUUAGUAGGUGUAGUGGAAAUAACAAGAGUGAGGUGUACUUUGCAAAAGGGCAGAUGUUUGGGGGGCAAAAAGUAUCUUGAAUUUAUUAUGGAUAGCAUCUGGCUCUGCUCUCUACUAUUUACUGUCAUCAUCAUUUGUGUGAGCUGUGAGGGUUGGAAUAUCCCACUUUGGUUUUCUCACCCAACUGGGUGAAUCCAACCCACUAUCUGAACAUGAAUGUCUGCUUCCCUUGGGAAAGUCAAUGGCAGUCUCCCCCAUUUUCUUAUCACCAUUUACAAAGUCAAUGCAUUCCAUUCAUAUACUUUGACAGGAAACAACCCUAAGGCUGUUUAAUCUUCCUGUAUUCCAUAUAAUUAUAUGUAGCUCUAAUUAAAUUUAAAAUCAAACCUCAAAAGUUCAUCUUUUAGCUAGGUUAAGAGUGCAGCCAAAAGAAAAAGAAAGUAAAGAACCCAAUGCUAAAAUCCAUGAAUCACAUCACUCACUUUGUACUUGCUUUGAUCCAUUUUGCAAAGUCUUUGUAUGGUUUUAGAUCUGAUAGAAACACCAAAUAAAAAACACACCAAUGAAACUGAACAUAGAAGUGAUGGUCUAGGAUGAUGAAAACAAAUAACAUAAUUAAAAUUCUUCAAAUAAAUACAUGACACAUAUAUAGUUAUAUUUGUAUGUAUGUAUAUAUGUAUAUGUAUCAUGUCAUUUGAAGUCACUUCCUUGUCUGACUUUCUUAAUCUUGUUCCCUAGAUCUGCAAUAAGAGCUGGAGGGAACAAAGACUCGAUCUCUUUCGUCAAAUCAAGCAGGAUUCUCCUGCGAAGAGAUUUUCGUUUUGCUGGUGACGAUAUAAUGGGGAGGGAUUUUGGUUUCCUUGGUGCAGGUGGGCACUUGAGGAUGGCGGCGGCUGGGAUUUUAUGGUCCAAUGAAGUAGGAGUCUUGAACCCAUCGUUGGUCUUGAACCCAUCGUUGUCGUUUUCAUCUUGAUAAUCAUUAGCAGCAGCAACCACCUCAGAUUCAGAUGUACCCAUCGUCACCAACUUGCUCUUCUCUUCUUCUUCUUCCUGUUUAACAUUAGUUGCAGUUCCACAAUCUUCAUUGAAUUCUAGAGGAGGCCUAACCAAGAAACUGAGUUCCAUGGUACUUGAGACACCCAUGAAUGGAACUGGUUUUAAUUUUGAGUACAUGGAAGUCCAAAAUCAACCUAGGAUAUGAAGAAAUGGUGAAGGACAAAGAAUUUAAAGAUGAGAGAGAGGGAUCAACUUAUGAAAAUUGCAAGCAAAUGAAGGAAAAGACAGUUCAAGUACCAGCAGGAAAAAAAAGCCUAGAAAAACAAAGAGAAGAAGCUUGUUAUUUGAUAUAUAGUAAACGAAAAUGCCAAAGUUUUUUUUUUUUUUAAUUCAUCACAUCACCAUCUUCCUUGAUUGCUCUCUGAAUUUCUUUUUCUAUCUUGGAUUUUAGUUUGGAAUUUAGCUGCGAAAUGAGAAAGAGAAAGCAAAGAUGAGAGACAGAGAAAAGGGUUUGACAACCCACUUUGGCGUAGGAUCCAAUGCAACCAUAUAUAUAAACAAAAGAACCCACACACAAAUCUUUCUUGCUUUCACUCAAUUUUAUAACAAGUCUCUUUCUAUAGCUUAACCUCCUCCACCCCUCCUCUCUCUCUUACUCCUUCUAUUAUAUUAAAAUUUAAGAUUUAAUCUUUCUAUUUUAAUUUAUCGAAAUUUAAUUCCUUACUUUUAUAUGGUGAAUCCAAAGUAAUAGCACUGCUAAUUGUUACCAUAAAAAUGAUGUGUAUUUUUUAAUUGUUUAUUAAAUCACACAAUGAAUCAUAUACGAAUUACAAAAUAGAUAUUAUCAAAUUUAUCGUCAUUGUUCAUCCUUACCUUUUAUUCCGCUUUUCUAUAAAUGUUAAAACUUAAAUGCUAUUAUCACCUUUGUUACUAUUGGAUACGUUCAUAAUAAUCUGCCCCACUAUGUCUUAUUUAACAUUUAUAAGUUAUUUUUAAUAAUUUCAAUGUGAAUUUGACAUAUAAUUAUCUAUCAAUGUCUCGUUUUAAUAUUUUAGGUUUUUUUCAUAUAUUGUAUUUCCUUUUUAUCUUUUUAACAAUUAAGGGUAAAAUAAUAAUUUUAAAAUAUGUUGACAGGACAAACAAAUACUAUAAUUGUUUCAUACCUUUCUUCCAAACAAAAAAUUGCUCCAUCCCUCACUUCCAUUGUUCUAAAAAUGAUAAUCUAUAUUCGGAAUGGAUCAGAUUAAAAUCUAUCGGACAAUUCAAGUUUUGUCAACCAUGAUCAAUUAAUACUUAAAGAAAUUCCACAUUAUGUUGUACUAAAUUAGAAAGAUUAUAUCUCGAAUUGCACCACAAUAGAGGGACUAAAACCAGAAAUAUACUUUUUUAUUUUCUUGAAACGGCGAAGUCCCUUUCUUUUCACUCCUUACAAAAAGCCUCACCCAUUAACUAACUAUAUACAAAAAUCUCGCUUAAGCAAUCGCUUUUUCCUUGAUUUCUACGAACUUUGAUGUAUCAAAUCACGUGGUUUACUACAGAGGAUAUAACUAUCAUAACAUUCAUCUCUAUAUAUACUUUUUUCCAUGAUUUCUCAUUAUUGUUUGUUUGUUUUCUAAGAAAAGUAAAAAAAGAGGAAAAAACUAACAAUUACUGCAUGUUUUUAUGUUGUUGUAAGUGUUGUGUGGUUUUAAAGAUGGGGAGAAAAUGAGUUCAUGGGGUCGCUUGCAUUGGGAGGCAAGGGGACAUUGCAUGGUGUGUGGUUUAGCCGUGUAGGCCAUGAUCAAGCUUCCACUGCUUUUUGACAACUUUUUUACUGCUUUAUCAACACUUGCUGGGUCUGAGUGACAACAAAUUCGAUACCCCUUAGGAAAGGUAUCGGGUAUAAAUAUUAUGGAUGAAAUAUAUAUAAUUUUAUUUUUGUUUAAGAGUUUGACUCGACUCAAUUAUGAAUUUAAUUAAAAGAAAAAAAAAAGAGAAAAUUGUUGCUGCUUUAGGAUAUCUUCCAAGGAAGCUGCUGCCAGUAUCAAUGGUAUCUAAAUGAUUGUCGAGGAAACUUGAAAAUAUUGUUUCACAAGCAAUAUCAUUGCCUUUGAUUUUUCUUGGCUUUCUUGUUAUUUAUCAUCAAUCAUAAUUGACUCCAUCAUUAUAGAGUGUUUGACAAAAUGGGAAAGCCCAAAUCAUGAUGCUUACUCAAUUUUGUUUAUCCAAAAUUAUAUCAACUAAACAAUAAUACAUAAUUAAAAAAUUAAAAUUAAGUUUACGCAAUUUCAUUUUUAACUGUUAUAAUUUGAUUCAUUUUCCUUAAUUAAGUGAACAAAAAUUCUUUAUUGUACUCUUCUUGUGCCCCACUUAUAUGUGUCUUCUUUAUAUUUUUCCUAAUCGUUUAUUUUCAUGGAAUAUUUUAAUUAAUUUUUUUAAAAAUUACAUUCUAGCAUUUUUUUUCUUCUCUUUUCUGCACCUUCCACAACCAAAACUCCUUCAUCGAAAUUGGAUGGUUAUGGCCUUCACCACGAUGAAGUGGUCAAGGAAAUCAUUAGAGCUGUUGAGACUAUUGUUUUCUUUUGUUAACCAUGGAAUCUCUCUUCAUCUUCUUAAAUCCCUUAAAGAUAUAUUGCAGAAAAAGGGAUCUCUUAUACACUCAUCAUAUUGAUUUUUCAAACUAAGUUCUUUUCUAUGACAGUGAAAAUUCUUUUCCCCAAAUUUUACUAAUUUGGUUGAUUGAUUGUUCAAAGAUAAAAGGAAUAUUCUAUUUUCAUCUUUUUUAGCCUAUUAAUUUCUCUUGGAUUAGAAGAAUAAUUCUUUGAUAUUUCAAACUCUUUCUUUUUUUAUUUAUUUAUAAAAUUAAAAGAAAUUAUUUGUUACUAUUAGCAAAAACGUCGUUGUUAAGAGUAGAAACAACACAAAGAAAUUGAUGCCUAAGUUGGUGAUCACUUUCCCAGGCACUAAAUGAGAAAAUAAAAAAAAAUACAUAGAACAAACGGAGAUGAUUACGUAGUUUGAUUAUCCUACGUCUGCGAAGUUUAACUCAGUGAAAAGUAUGUACUUUCUUCAACAAUUACAAUGUGAACCUACUCAAUCACACACAUCAUAAUUGUUUCCCUCACCCUUGCAUUUUGAAUAUACAAAUCUUUCACCACUAUGAUCACCCCCUGUAACCACAGCAAGUAAAACCACGUCAACAGGUUUUACUUUAAGAGUAACACUUUUACUCAAGUAUUCUCUCCAGAACAGAUUAAGUGCCUGAUUAUCCGUAUAUUUUCUUAUGCAAGUCUCUCAAAUAUAUAGACUUGAUUUCGAGACUUGCUUACAAUCUAAGAUCUAAUACAAUCCUAAUAAAAUAGUAAUUCUGUUAAUAGAAAAUAAAAUAUAUGUGGACUUUUGGUAGCUCAAAAUCGUGAUUCAAUCUAAAGUCCAUAAUGAAAGGGAUUACUUUGAGAAAUUUCAAUUCAAAUCAAUUACCAAUAUUCGUACUCCAUAGCAGCAUGAUCUCCCAUGAAAAGCUAAAUGCUCACCAAGAAAUCAACAUAGCCCAAACAUAAGGUUCAAUAAAUUGUCAACAGCUAAAUAUGGAAACUGCCUCCCCACAUAUUUGGUGGGAAGGGAAGUGGGCACUCCCUCUGGCACCAAAUUGUCAGCUUCAUUUUUUUUAACAUUCUCCCCCUUUGGUAAUUUUUUUAACAAAACUCAUAAGGCAAGAAGCAAGAAUCAUCAAUCAACAUAAUCUCCCCCUUUAACAUAUACAAAUUAACUUAACCUAAGUUAUAAAAUAAUCAAACAAUCAAUCAUCAAUGCUAAAAUAAAUUUGCAUUAACAACUAACCAUAAAUAAGUAUAACUUAGUAAGUUGCAAAAGCAAUGCAUCGAUGAAACUAAACACUAUAUCAUAGAAAAAAUGAAAUCCAAGUUCAUCUCUAACAACAUAAAGAGUAGCAACAUAAAUACCUUAUAGUUAUCCAAAAGCUGUAAACAUAAAGAAGUUCAGAAAGAAAAUAAAAUAAAACUCUCCACCACCAAGCAAGGACUAACACCUUCUUCCUUCUUUCCUCCCCUUAUUUCAUCAUUUCUCUCCCCUUUUUGUUCUAUAUAGUUUCCAAACUAGGAAACAUCUUCAGACCCUCGAAUAGUUCUAGUUAAGGCCCUAUGUUUAUCAAUAAGCUUAUUAACAACCUUUGUUUUAGCCCUGAGCUUAUCUGUAACACCCCUACCCAUCUCUAUAGCUGGAAUCGGAUUAUAGAAUGCUACGGUAAUUAACAAAACAUGAUUUACUUCAAAAUUCAAAAAAUUAGUCAUCACAUCUCAAUCAUUCGAACGAACAUGUUUUUCAUACAAAUUCGAGCUUAAAUUGAGCUUACAAAAGCUCUUAAACUAACCCGGAAUCAAAUAAGGUCUUAAUUGAAAAUAUAACAAAAAGUAAGUAAAUUUUAGAAAACAAGGGUCACACGAUCAUGUAUCCAGACCGUGUGAUAGACUGUGACUUUGUGUGCCUGAGUCACAAGAUCAUGUGGCCAAGCUGUGUAACUAAUUGAAAUCAUGUGGAAGGGCGUCACAUGGCCAUAUCGCCAGGCCGUGUGGACCUAGAUGCAAAAUUUUCAACUUAAAGUCACACGGUCGUGUUUUUGGACCGUGUAACAAAUUGAGACUGUGUGGUAAAAAAAUUAGCUUCCUUUAAUGGUCAUACAAUUGUGUCACCAACCCGUAUGGAGACACAUUGCAGUGUGCUAGACCAUGUACAGCAUAAAAUGACUUUUCAUGCAAAUUACCUAAUUCAAGCAAUUACAAACACAUAUCAAUGCUUAUAAUCAAAGAUAUACCUGUUCAAAUUAUGUUAAAACACACACUAAAACAUGGCAUAAUUUUCUAACCAAUAUGCCGCAAGGCACUAUUACAACUAAUAAUCAAUACUAAAGUUCAUCUUAUUUCAUACCAACAUUGAAUGGCUAACGUAUACCUUAAAUACAAUCAUAUGCCAAUUUUCAUACACUUAUUAUGGACUCAAUCUCACCAUUUCAAAUACAUACCAAUAUAACCACCUAUAAGUUCUGACACCAAAAACCAUUUCAUAUACUAUGCCUAGAAUCUCCUAAAUCAACAUCACACUAUAAUGCCAUAUGCUCCAACCAAAAGACCACCUAACCAAGCAUACAAUAAUAUAUUCUGACUUACUAAAUAUCUAUAAUAUUCCAUCACAUACCAAUUCAAUAACCACAUACAAGGCUUCUAUUUUAAACUAUGAUCAAACAUAUCAAUAUACUAACAAGUUCACAUACUUCGAGCAAUCACAAAACAUAUUUUACAUUUACAAAACAGUUAUAUACAAUUCAACCUUAUUACAUGCCGUAUAACCGAAAUAAAAUGAUUUCAAAAUCUACCAAAAGGUGGCUAGAUAGUGUGAUCCUCGAGCUGAUCUGAUCGUCGAGUUUUGCAAAAUGAUAACUACAGGAAAACAUAAAAUGAAACAGAGUAAGCUUCAAUUAAGCUUAGUAAGUUCAUAGGUUGGAAACAAUAUAACAACCUUAACUUCCACAAUUAAAUAACAAAACAAUUAACUAACAUUUUACCUUGUUACCACAAUUCAUACCAAUAGGUGAGUUUAUCACAUUCAAUUCAUAUAACCUUCCAUUCUAGACAAGUUAAUCCAAAACCAUGCCAAGUCAUCAUAUCAAUAUCAUAAACAAAUUUUUAGAUUAUUCACUUAUCCUUUACUACAUUAAACUCGUUUACCAUUCAUUCAAUCUAUUAACAACAAUAAUUCAACCUGAUGAACCAUUAUGAACAAAUACGGAUACUCAGUUAUCCACCCAAAACAUGUUUGAAUGCUCAAACGAGCUUAACCAUCCAAGAACAUGCUUGGGCACUGAGUGCCGAGCCCGUAGGCUACACAUCCUCCCCCAGAAACAUGCCUGAAUCACUGUAAAUAUAACUCGGUAAUCUCUAAUAAAUGCUGGAUUCCAGUACAUUCAGUGAACAUAUAUUCAUAUCAUCUGUCAUCAACUCAUAUCAUAUAAAACCUGUAAAGCAUGCAAAUAACCCCAUUGGCAUGCCAAUUGAAUCCUCUCUUAUGUUCAUAUGGGCUCAAUACAUGUAACAAUCUGUCACAUUUCAAUUAAGUCAUUUUUCUGACCUUUGCAUCAAUUACAACAUUUAAGUUUACAUCCAAAUAUUCCAAUUAUAUAAUUUAACAUAAAUAUUGGGAAAAAUAAAUAGAACUAUAUCGUAUGAGCUUACCAGGAAAUAAUAGCAAUAGAAAAAGUAUCAGGGGCUAAUCUUCUAUUUUUCAUUUUCCUCGAUUAUCUAUUGGUUGAUCCAUUUCUUGAUCUAUACGACAAUUCAUUUCAAAUUAUUAGUUCUAAAUACCUUAUAACAUUUUUAUUUAAUGCAUAUGACCUCCCAUUGUCAUUUUUCACAAUUUCCUUAAAGUUUUUCAUUUUAUUCUAUUUAGUCCCUAAAACCAUAACAAACAUAUUUUUCACAAUUAAGCUCCCAAACUUUAAAAAUGAAUUCAUUAUCAUUUCUUUACAACUCUCAAGCAUCUAAAUUUACAAGAAUUUCAUUCCAAUUUCAGCAUAUUAUCAUUUCAGUCCCUAAACUCGUAACCAAUUAAAUUCACUUUACAAAAUAGUCAUAUUUCAUAACAAAGCUUUAAACUUAACCAUUAACAUCUAAAAAGCUUUAAAAACAAAAGUGGUAACUUUUCACAACUUUGACAAUAUUACAAAAUAGUCUCUUGGCUAGUUAGAUUAAGCUAUAACAAUCUUAAAAACAUAAAAAAUGGACUUUAGAAAUACCCACAUGCAAAGGUCGAACCUCAAGCUUGAAAAACAAUGGCUUCCUUUGGUUUUAGGUUGAAGAGACAGUGAAGAGAACCAUGAAAAAGAUGAUGGAUUUUGUUUUUAUGUUUUAACCCUUUUCAUAAUUACUAUUUUAACCUUAGUUUACAUAUAAAUUAAUAAAAAUAAAUAUAAAUCAUCCAUAUAAACAAUUAUGGUACGAUUUCCAUUUAAAACCAUCCAAUUAUGUUUUUAAACCUAAUUAGCCCACAUAAACUAAUACCAAUUAACUUUUAUGGUUAUUACGAUUUAGUCCUUGUACUUUAAUUAACUAUUCAAACAUCAAAUUAUCGAACCAACUUUAAUACAACACUCUAAUGACCUCAUAAGUAAUAAUAUUUAUGAACUUACUUAUCAAAAUUGUAGUACCAAAACCACUGUUUCCAACGCCAUUAAAAACAGGUUACAUUAUCACAAUGCUUUUGGAGGAAAUCAACAAAAGCUUCUAAGUCUUCAACAAUCCUAGCUUGGAUGCCUUUUGAAAUGGGAGUAGUGCCUGCGGGAGUGGGCAUAUCUUGAUUUUCUUCUUUUUCCCUUACAAAUUAAACCCUUAAAGCUUGAGCUUUGCCUGGCUCAUUGAACACAUGUUUUCCUUCUAACCACUUAUGAGAAAAAUUCCAUUUAGCACAGUUUUCUCAUAAGUUUCCUUUGGCAUGACAAUUUCAAAUUCUUGGGAGAACAAAAUUCUGAAGAUGAGGGGAAAAUAUGGCAGUAAGAACUUCUCAUAGAAAGCACCAACAAACUUAGUUAUUUCAUCAAAAAUUAUUUGACUUAAGUUAAACUCAACCAUCUUUACCACUUCGUUUAGAAGAACAACCACUUUUUUUUUGUAAUGGAAUCUCUUUAGUUAUUGAGAAGCCAAUUUCUAGUGGCAAUUGCAAAUAGAGUAGCAUACAUAGGUUCAAGUGAAGAGGCUCAAAUAGUACCUUGUUUUGGCCAAGUGGGGUGCAGAUGAUUUGUUACACCCCAAAAAUCGGGUUAGAAGAAAUUGGAUUAGUGAAACCAAGAGUGACCACGUUUUGAAUUUUUAGCUAAGAUUGUGAAAAGUAUGUCAAAUAAAUUAAUUUGGUUUCGUGGAUAGGUGUUGUGUUUUUGCGUGAGAGGUUAUGGGCUUGAAUCUUUCCUUUGAAUUUUUGUUGUUUUUGCCCUAACCUCUAUUUCUAAUCCUUUGGCAUUAAUAAUAUUUCCAUUCAACUAAUAUUAAAAAUGAGUUUAUUGGUUCUGUGGUAAGGUGCUUUUUAACUUACCAUUUGGUCUUAUGUUCAAAUCUUGUGUUGUGCAAGUUUAGAAAUAUUUUUAUUCCCUUUCUGGAAAUCUAAUGGGGAUUGGUUAGGUAAGAUUCUAUUCUAUUUUAUUUUUAUUUAUUUAUUUUAAAAAAUAAGAUAUCAAUUUUUCAAAAAUUUCUCUAAAAUUUACGCUCUUUUCCCCACUCUCUUCUCUCUUACUAUUGUCGUCCCUUUGUUUUUCCAAAAUUUUCUAUUUGCAAUUUUCUUCAUUUUUGCUUCUGUGAGUUUCUUCUGUUUUAUUAUGUUAUUAAUCAUUAUACUAUCAUUCAGUCUACCAUUGUAUUUUAGUGUUUCAUCAUUGGAGGUUGUAUCUAUUUUGGUGGGUUUUGAAGUUUUCGCUGCAACAUUAAUUUUGGUGUAAGUAUAAGUUUAUUCGUUUUGGUUAGGGGGUGCGAAUCCUUUUUAACAUCGUUUUGGUAAAGGUUCUAUUGGUUUAAUUUCUUUAUUUUUGAGUCCAUGUUUAGGCGAAUCUCGGGAAGAGAAAAAUCAUCCUCCAAUGUUGAGGGAGGCUUAAAAUCAUUUUCUUCUAUUGGAGUUUUAGGGGCAAAUCAUUUUCUUGUUUAGGCGAAUCGUUUUCUUUUGGGGGGCUAAAUGUAGGUGUUUUUUUUAUUGGAAUUUUGAUUAAGUUUCAGGUUUCGUAACUAAAAUUAGUCGUUUUAAUGAUGAUUUUAGGUUCUGAAAAUCUCAUAGUUAGAUUUGCAUCAAAAAAUGACCAUGAGUUUAUUAGAAAAUUCGAAAAACAGUGAACGACGAAAGCCAAAAUUUGAAACUAUCGACACCACACGACUGUAUGUCAAGUUGUGUGGUAGGUUGUCUGUGACACACAACCAUGUGAUAGGUCAUGUGCUAGACCAUAUGAGCCAUACGGUCUGGGCCAAUUGAGUCGUGUGGGCCAUACAGGCGUGUUUGAGUUCGUGUGGGCCCAAAUUUUGAAUUUUUUCCCUAGGGCCAUAUUCAUCGUACGAGUCGAAUGUAGGCCUUCUAUAGGGCCCAUAUUGCUUAAAUAAGACUUGAGAAUGAGGUAUCUGUUAAUAUACUUUUGUAUAUGAUGUGUUUAAGGUGUGUGAUUUAUACGUGUAUGAUCUGUAUUCUGUUAAUUCUAAUGGUAUGUUUCUAUGUUACUAUGUUGGAUGUGAGCAUGUGAUGUCAGAUUAUGUUAAUUUGAAUAUCUUUAAAUCUGUUAUAUUACCAUGCAUGUGACUUCAUGGAAAAACUGAUGUGUUUACAAUGAGAUUUGAUAAAUUUGUUUUGCGAAGUGCAGAUUCUCAUAUCUUCUGUUUUCUACUAUUGUAUGUCAGCAUGUCUUACAUGUUAAUCAUUUUAGUUUUGUAUAUGCUUGUCAUGUUACGUUGCAUGGGGUUUGGGAUGAUGUUGAAUGGAAGAAGUUUCUAGCAGUUUAAUGAUCUGCACAUUCUAGUGAUUUAACCAUAUUUUUGUCUGGCAACUUAUCUGCAAUUAUAGUGGCUCACCCACUCAUAUCUGUUCUAUCAACUUUGUUGCAAUAUAGUGACUUUACCACAUAUAUUUUUGAUCUAGUAGUUUUAACUGCAAUCUCUGGUGGUAAUGUCCACAAUUUUCUAUUGGCGUGAUUUGGUUGGACGAGUUCUAGGGAACUCUAUUCUAGUGCAUAACGGAGUUGAGUAGAAAGUUUUCUGAAAAAUCUGCAUUAUGAUUUCUGAAAAAUAUUGCAUUGGCAUAAUCAUGCAUUCUCAGUUAUAUUCAAUUGCACGUGAUGAAAUUCUUUGUGAUACUCUGAUUUGUAUAUUGUGAUAUGUGUGUUUUAUGAUUGAGUUUCGUUAUACACUAAGCUCUAAAGUUUACCCCUUUGUUUUAUCUCUGACCUUUCAGGUUAACUUUGAAUUUAGGAUCGGACGACAUGCGAGAGCUUGGAUUGAUUCUCGGUGAAUAAAAUAAAAUAGUUUGCUAUUUUAUUUUUUUAAUUAUUUUGGACUGUAAAUUUGUUUAGACUUCAUUUUUUGUUUUUGUUCUAUUUGUUUGGUUUUAAGUAUUUUAACAUGAAACUGCAAAACCUCAUGGGUUAACAAAUUUAAAAUUCGGUUUACAAAAUUAAAAAUCUAAAAGUUUUUUUUUGCUGCAAAAUUAAGUAACCCCUAAAAAGUUUUUUUUUGUAAUUAAACAAAUGGUUCUAACGAGUGUUUGUAUUUAAACUGGAAAUGAUUUGCCAAAAUACUUAUUUUCAAAACAUGAUUUUGAAUUCAAAUUUUAGGAUUGAGAUAAGUGAUUCCGAAUUUAGGUUUUUCUAAACAUUUGUGAAAGUUUUUCCAAAUUUUAUGUUUCCAAAAUGCAGUCUGAGUUUGAUUGAAACGAAAGUUUUUAAACAAGCUAAUGUAAUUCCUCAAAAUCUGGUCAUAACAUCUAAGUCAGGUUUGGGGUGUUAUAUGAUUAAGUGACUAUGACAUCUAUCGAUUCAUUAAGCUUGAGAUUUUUUGUGAAGGGACAAUACAGCAUGUUUAGAAUUUGUUCAUCUCCAAAGUUGAAUCAUCUACAACAUACAAACGCCUUGUGGUAAUAUUUGUUGGACUCAUCAUUAAUGUCACUGUUGAGGUUUGCAUAAAAUUUAUACACAACCCUUUUAACAAAAGGUUGCACAUAACAGACCGAACCAAAAACGCCAACAUUAUUUAGAACUUCAUCGAUUCCAUGUUCUACAAAAGAAUCAUCAUCGAUGUUUUGGUCAAGAAUACACCCUUUCAGAAUAAGUUUAUAGUAUCUUCUUGGGCAAUCAGGAUCCAAAAACACUUUCUUUCUCUGCACAACUAAUCUUUCUUCUUGUAUUCUAGCUGCUUCAGUAACUUCAGAUAACAGUUUGGGAAUACCUACUGUCAUCAUCUUUUCAUUAUACUUGGCAGCCGGGUAGGGAACAUUUGGCUACUUGGUUCUGGGUUGCAACACUGCACAAAGAGGCACAUUUCCUGAGGAGGAAGAGGAUUUGGAAUUAUCAAAGGAUUCAGACUCGAAUGAGCUUUCCAUCACAAUCUUUCUUUUCUUUCUUGGUUUAUCAACCACGAGGGUCUUGCACUUUCUUCAACAAUUACAUAGUUCAGUUACCCUACAUUUGUGAAGCCUAGCUCAGUGAAAAUUAUGUACUUUCUUCAACAAUUACAUUGUGAACCUACUCAAUUACAUACACCAUGAUCAUUUCCCUAACCCUUGCACUUUGAAGAUGAAAACGUCUCACGACUAUGAUCACCCCCCAAUGACCACAACAAGUAAAAUCACAGCAAUAGGUUUUACUUUAAGAACAACACUUUUAUACUAGUUUUCUCUACAGAACAAAUUAAGUUCCUAAUUAUCAGUACAUUUUCCUAUGCAUCUAUCAAAUACAUAGACUUGAUUUAGAGACUUGCUUACAAUCGAAGAUCCAAUACAAUCCCAAUAAAAUAAUAAUUCUAUUAAUAGAAUAUACGAUAUAAUAACAUAUAAGAUAUAUAUUGGCUCUCGGCAGCUCAGAAUCACGAUAAAAUCUAAAGCGCAUAUUCCAAGAGAUUACUUUGAAGAAUUUCGAUCCAAAUCAAUUACCAAUAUUCGUACUCCAUAGUAGCAUGAUCUUCUAUAACAUGCUAGAUGCUCACCAACAAAUCAAUAUAGCCUAAAUAUAAGGUUCAAUAAAUUACCAACACCUAAAGAUGGAAAUUGCCAUCACGAAGAGAAGUGGGUACUUCCUCUUACACCAAAUUGUUAAUUUCAUAUUUUUUACAUAGACAAUAAUGGUGGACUAAAGAAAAAAAAAAGAAAAGAAAUAACUUAUGAGAAAGAAGAUGAAUAGAAAAUUUGACAAUUUUUUUUAGAGAGAAUAUACACUUAAAUAUUUUAACGGGUCGUGGAUGUCAACCAGUUACUAUAUAAAUAAAAAGAAAUGUGUCAAAAUACCAUAAGUGGGCACAAAAAAGGGUGCAAUAAAGGGACAGAGAGUUUUUGUUCCAAUUAAGUAAAAAAAAAAUUCUUUUAAUAACAAAAAUGCUUAUGGUCACCCACUUAUAAUUAACUUAAUUUACAUUAAUGCAGUUAUACAACAAUGGGAUAUAACCUGUUAAAAGUAAUUACAUCAAUGAAUUAUUGGAGUGAAUCUCAAAUUUCAAAAGGGGCAAAAACAAGAUUAAGAAUGUGCAAUGAUUCCCAGAAAACAAAACCCCCAGAUCCCAUCAUGCUAUAAUAUAUAAUAUAAAAUAAUUCAAUUGAAGCCUUUUGUUUCCAAAAGAUAUCCACCAGAUAUAUAAUAUAUAUUUGGAUUCUAGAAAUAUGGCUGCCUGCCUGCCUUGGUUGCAUGUUCCCACCCACAUGGGACCCUCCCAUUGCAGGCCAUUGGUUAAACUUUUGCUUAGCCUUAGCCUUAGGAUUCCUACAUGCGCUUGCUAUGGAGGAGACUGCGCCUGCGCCUCGGUCACCAACAUGCUUGCAUAUGCUUUCAUUCCCUGCCAUUUUGCUUUCUAAUUACAUUUCAAUCUAUUUAAUCAUGUUAACCUAGUCUUUCAUCUUAAAUAGUACAACCAUGUAGGUUUUCCUGUAAUUAAGGUUUAUAAUUUCUUUUUGAAAACAAAAUGUAUAUCAGAACGUAGUAUUCUACUAAUUGUUUUGUUAUUUUGGAAACUUUUUGAUAAUGUAAAUCGAAAAAUUAUUUCAUACCUUUUAAGUAAAGUCUCGAAUUGAAACCUUAUGAAUGAAAAAGACAAUGUUGGAACAGUUUACCCCUCUUCCUUUAAAGGACUUUGACCUGACAUGAUUAUGGAUUUUUUUGAAGCCUAUAAAAUUUAAAUAUUUUCAUGUCUUUUUUUUAAUAUUCAUAUUUUUGUUACACUUAAAAUGUGAUACAUGUGGGAUUUUAGCCCAAAAUUUUGGAAUUUUUUUAGUAAACCUUUCAAAAAUUUUAAAAAUUUAAUUAUACUCUUCUAAUUCUUUUUUUAAAAAAAUCUCAUUACAUCUGUAGAAUUCUUUUAAAUGUUUCAAUUAGACACUCUAAAAUUUAAUUUCAAGAUUCACCACUGGACUAAAUCUUAUUAAUUCUAUACAAAUUAAUGAAGAGAAUAGUUAGGCACUCAACUUUAGUAAAUUUUCAUUUUAAUCACAAACAAUAAAAAUUCUUAAAUAUAGCACCAUUGUCACAGUUUUUUUUUGUCACUUGCCAUUAUUUUAGCUAACAGUGGUAUCAUUGUGCACUUGUUUAGGUCACUCAUUUAGUUAAAUUUCUCGUUUUAGUUACUCAUUUUAUUUUUUAAAAUUAAUUUUAUUUUUCCCAAAAAGGGGAAAACCUAAAUUUUUACGGGGAACUGAGUUAUUUGACUAUGGAGAUAAAGUGAAGGCUUAGGUGUUUCCCUCGCUUUUUUUUAUUAAAAAUACCAAAUGUUUUUUUCUUUUUAAUUUUCUUUAGUUUUUAAAAUUAAUUUUAUUUUUUUCGAAGGAAAACUCAAGUUAUUAGAAAAAAUUGAGUUAUUCAACUAUGAAGAUGAAACUCAAGUUUUUCCAUGUAACUCAAUUGCAUGUAAAAAUCUAGAUUUUUUCAUAAAAAAACCAGACAAUUCCCUUUAAAACCCCAAGUUUUUGCUUAUAAAUUUUUUUUAUUUUUAAUAAAAAAAGUAAAAUUAAUUAUAAAAAAGACAAAAUAAAUUAAAUAAAAAAUGAAGGGCUAAAAUUUAAAAAAAACUAAAAUAAGUGCAUAAUAUUACAAUCGUUAGCUAAAUCAACGGUAAGUGGUUAAAAUAAGAAAAUUAUCUAAUGACAGUGUUAUGUUUGAGUACUUGUGUUUCUUAAUGAUCAAAAUGAAAACUUAACAAAAUUGAGUGACUAAUUAAGAAGUUUACCCUAAUAAAAAAUAAUAGCCAUAAAUAAAAAUGUUGAUGUGAAAGUGUUGUGGGGCGAGGUGGGGACCCAAUUGGAUUGCUUGGAUUUCACCGCGUCGCGAAAAUAUAGACGGCUUUACACAUUCUUUUUCCCUUUCCACUUUGUUUUUAGUGCAUUAUAUUCUCUUUUUUAAUCCGUUAUUUUUUGAUAAAUUAUAAGAGGAGAACGUGAUUAAUACGAUUUGAAUUCAAACCAUAUUAAAGACACUGAACUCUUUAGCUAUUAAGUCACACCUAAGGUUUAAAUUUGAAUUUAACCUUUAUACUAACAUUUAUUUAGUUAAUUUGAGUUGAAUUUAUUAUUGAUAUGAAUUUAAAUAAUAUUUUAAAUGUUUAUUUUAGUUAAUUAUGAUUGGUUUAAAAUAAUUUAGUUAUAAUUUUAUGUUAACAGUAAGUUUAGAUAAAAAAAUUAUAUAUUUAUUUAGAGAUUCAGUUGUAUAAGAUUUGUAAAAUUAAAUUUUUAUUUAAUUUUUAAGACUUUAUUUUUUAAAAAAAAAUUAGCAUAUCGGAGUUUAUAAAUAUUUGACUUGAAAAAAUAUGUUUAUUUGAGUUUAAUAAACUUUGGCCAUAGGCUUUUUUUUCAAGGUUAGAGAGAUUCACUUUGUUUAUCGACGUUUACAGGUACAAGUUAUUUAGGGUUUAUAUUUAAGGAUGUGCUAGGAAAUCGUUUCAUUUAUUAUUGUUGUUACUCACAAGUUGAUUAAAUGUGUGGGAUAAAUUAUUUUCUUAUCUUUAUAUUAAAAACGUGUUGUGUGUUCUAUUAUCUAUUUGUUUAGUGCUUGUAAUAAUAAAUUAUGAUUGAAAUUAUCGAUAUAAUUUUAACUUAAAAAUAACUAAAUUAGGUCACAUGAAUCAACACAAUUUAUAUAAAAAUAUAUUUAUAAAUUUUAUAUAAAAAUCAAAUAAGGGUAAAAUUGAAGCUUUAAGGAUAUUAGGGUUUUACGUUUAGCCUCACUGAUUUUGGAUUUGCUUUGAAUUUAAAUUGUUUUUUUUAUUAUAAAUUUUAUAUAAAAUAUAAAAAGAUAAAAAUACUCUCGUGAUAAGAUUUGUACGAUGUUAAGUCAUUUUUAAUUGAGUUAGUGUCUAAUUUUUUGUAAAAAAACAUUUAUAAAAAAUUAUAUUAGAAUCGAAUGAGAUCUUGGUUGAAAUGGUUAUCGAUAUCAAGAUUUGAACACAAAAUGACCUAAACCUGACGAGGAAGACAAACCAAAGCUAGAUCUUUACUAUACCAUAAUGACUUUAAUAUAAUGUCUUUACUAUCUUCGUUGCUCUUUCUUUUGGCUCCACCAGAUAUGAAGUUUGUUUUUGUUUAUAUAAUGUAAUCUCCAUGUAGCAGAAUCGUAAAAGAAGAUAUAGAACUUUUAUUUUUAUGUGAAAUGUAUUAAGUUGUUGUUGUUGUUGUUGUUAUUAUUAUUAUUAUUAUUAUUAUUAUUAUUAUUAUUAUUAUUAUUAUUAUUAUGUAAUCACCAUUGAUUCCUUUGCACUCCAAUCAAAGUCGGUGAAAUCCUACAAUAUAAAAUAUCUCCAGUAAUUUGUGAUCCCAUGCCGUACUGCUCAUCUUCUUCCUCCCCUUACAAACAAAAAACGCCAAACACACAAUUAUCACUAAGAUUCAAAAAAUCUAAUAUCUUAUAUAAAAUGGAAAAGAAUGAAAAUGAACAUUAAGGACAAAAAGGAAAGAAGGUACGUAGCAUAGGUGAAGAAAGGUGAAGAAGGGAGCAGCAAUUGUCUGCUCAACGGGGUCCUUAGAGAUACUUGCCUUUUCAAGUAAAUAUUUCAUGCAAUUUCAAAAUUGUAUCAUAGUCCUCUGUGGAAAUUAUUUUUGGUGUGGAAAUUAUUAUUAUGUAAUCUCCGUUGAUUCAUUUACAUUGCAAUCACAGUCAGUUACAAUCCGAUAUAUGGUUAGUCAAGUGGUUAGUUUUUGUUACCAAGUGGUUAGUGUUUGUUAUCACUCACUAGUGUAUUUAAGUAUCAUUUCUGUACAGGUUCAUCAAAGCUAAUGAUACUAAGAAUAUUCAGCAAAUACUAUUCUCUGUAUUUCGUUCAUUAUCGUUUCUUCAGUAUACUUCUAACAAGGACGAAAAGGAAAGAAGGGAGCAGCACAGGGUCUUUAGAGAUACUUGCAGGUGAAGAAGGAGCAGCACAGGGUCCUUAGAGAUACUUGCAGGUGAAGAAUGGAGCAGCACGUGGUCCUUUUCAAAUAAAUAUUUCAUGCGAUUUCAAGUAAAGACUUUUAAAUCAAAUUGAUGGAAUUAAUAAUUUAAAAGAUAUUAAUAAAUGAGAAAGUAAAAAAAUUGAUUUGAUAAUGAUACGUUAUUUUAUUAUUAUUUUAAAUUUAAGAAUACAAAAGAACGUAAAAGAGAAAGAAUAAUAAAAAAACAAGUAAGGAUAUAAAUGAAAAAGAAAAAAUAUUAGUGGUCAAUGUGUUGAUAAAGACUUUCAUUGUAAUACUCAUACAAUGCUGGUUGUGUAAAUUAAGCAUCAGUUUGACACAAUGUUCACCGUAAUCAUGUUCUAAACUUUUUUUCAACUCCAUAAGUAAUUUUUUUAUUAUUCAUUUAUUAUAAAAUAUGAUAAACAUUUAUAUAUAUAAAUUAAGUUUUUUUCUAAUUGAGACAAAAAAUUGGGUUAUAUAUAUUAUGUUCAUGAGCUUGGUUGAUUUGUUGCAUGAUGGAUUGUGAUGAUGAGUGUGAAUUUUGAUCAAAACCCGUGUCCUUUGUUUGAGUAUGAUUGCACAUGCUUUUGUUUACUCUCAUUGCAUGGAAAGGAGGAGGAAAAUCAGUUCCAUAAUCUAAUUUCAGUUUUACAAAUUUCAAUAUCUAGGGUUGUGUAACGCCACUAAUAAUAGGUUCAAUUUGAAAUGAAAAUGCCAUUGUUUUCUAUGCUUGCAUCCCUUGAUGUGAAGAGUAACAGGGAUUUCAAGAAAGAGUCUUGAAGUUUAGGAUGAUUCUAGUGAUUGUCAGAUGGACUAUUUUCCUAAACUAUAGCAAAUCGUGAGAUGACUUCCAGGCAAAUGUCGGACCUGAUAUUACUGAGGAUUAGAUAGAAUAUUAUUUCCAUAUGUUAUAGUCGCAUGUACCAUUAAUUGCACCGAAAAUGUGUCUGCGUUGUUCCUUGCUUGGAAAUUUUUACCGGCGUACUGUUCAUCUAAUUUGGGUAACAUCUAGGCAUCCACGCAACUAUCACUUAGACUUACAAACCAAAAAACACCAAACACACAGCCAAUUAUCACUAGAAUUCAAAAACUAGAAUUAAUUUUUUGUACGGUGGUUUUCGGAAGGGGGACGGUAAGUAAGGCAGUGGCGUGACCCUGCCCCAAAAUGGAAAGUGUUAUAUUUAGGUCCUGAAUUUUUUUUAAAAAUUUUAAAUUAGUAAAGGUAAAAUUAUACUUUGACUAUUCUUAAAAAUGAUAAAAAAUUGAUUUAAUCAUUUAUAAAUGAUAAAGAUAUAGGCUAUUAAAAUGAUGAAAUUGUAUUUUUAUUAUUGUAAAAAUUAUAAUUUAAUUUUGGACCUCCCUAAAAGAAUUUUCUAGCUUCGACCAUGUGUAGCUGUCGUUACUUCAUGAUCAUCAUUAUCGAGUUUUUUAUAUUUUUCUCUAUAUUGAAUUUCAAAUCUGUUAAUUAUUGUUUUCUCAUUGUGUAAUGUAACAUUAGAUCAUCACAUUUGUAAUUCAAGUAGGCUUAAUCUUUGAACAAGAUUUUCAUGUAUUGUUAUCAUUCAAGCCAAAUACUUGAAUGCAAUGAAACUUUAGUUCAUGUCAAUGUUUGAGUAUUGAUGAGUAACUGAUGAUAUUUAUGCAUGCAUCUAUUCCUUCAGUUAAAUGAUGAUGAUCAUCAUCAUAGUAAUCAUCAAUCUAUGCUCAUUGUGAGCAAAAUUAAGGUACAAGUGUAGCCAUCUUAGAGAGUUAGCAAAUGUAAACUCUAAAGUCGUUUCAAUAUCAGAAUUUUUAACAGUUUUCACCAUGAAUUCAGCUUCCCACGAAAACCUCCAAGAAGUUCUCUUGAUCUUUCUAAACUAUGUGUUUUUAUUUUACAGAAUACUUACCCACCACCAUUUCCUCGAAAUGUUAACCCACCACCUAAAUGUUUAACUCCUGAAAGUAAUAAAAAUGCGUUAGUCGUCGUUGCAAAGAUGAUAACCUCGGGUUUGUUUCGUAGUCCUGCUGCUUCAUAUAAUGUGAUUAAAAUAUUGUGUACAUCAAGAAAUUUUCUUCUGGCCAUGAGGUAUCUAACAUGGAUGGAAUUUGAAAAUGAUAUGGAGACCUAAUUUAUGGUCAUGGUAUCUCUUUCGGAGGGGAGAAUGUUGAACACAGCAAUGGCUCUGGGCGCUGACCUCAUAAAAAAAGUGCUCCACCGUAAAACUAUUUACUAUAAUGGCGAGGAAGACAAACCUAAGCCAAAUCUUUACUAUACUAUAAUGACUCUAAUAUAAUGUCUUUACUAUCUUCGUUGCUCUCUCAUUUGGCUCCAACAAGUAUAAAGUUUGUUUUUGUUUAUGUAAUGUAAUCUCAAUGUAGCAGAAUCAUAAAAGAAGAUAUAGAACUUUUAUUAUUAUGUGAAAUGUAUUAAGUUAUUAUUAUUAUGUAAUCUCCGUUGAUUCCUUUGCACUGCAAUCAAAGUCGGUGGAAUCCUACAAUAUAAAACAUCUCCAACAAUUUGUGAUCCCAUGCCGUACUGUUUAUCUUCUUCCUCCCCUUACAAACAAAAAAGGCCAAACACACAAUUAUCACUAGGAUUCAAAAACUCUAAUAUCUUAUAUAAAAUGGAAAAGAAUGAAAAUGAGCAUUAAGGACAAAAAGGAAAGAAGGUAUGUAGCAUAGGUGAAGAAAGGUGAAGAAGGAAGCAGCAAUUGUCUGCUCAACGGGGUCCUUAGAGAUACUUGCCUUUUCAAGUAAAUAUUUCAUGCGAUUUCAAAAUUGUAUCAUAGUCCUCUGUGGAAAUUAUUUUUGGUGUGGAAAUUAUUAUUAUUAUGUAAUCUCCGUUGAUUCCUUUGCACUGUAAUCACAGUCAGUUACAAUCCGGUAUAUGGUUAGUCAAGUGGUUAGUAUUUGUUACCAAGUGGUUAGUGUUUGUUAUCACUCACUAGUGUAUUUAAGUAUCAUUUCUGUACAGGUUCACCAAAGCUAAUGAUAAUAAGAAUAUUCAGCAAAUACUAUUCUCUGUAUUUCGUUCAUUAUCGUUUCUUCAGUAUACUUCUAACAAGGACGAAAAGGAAAGAAGGGAGCAGCACAAGGUCCUUAGAGAUACUUACAAGUGAAGAAUGGAGCAGCACGGGGUCCUUUUCAAAUAAAUAUUUCAUGCGAUUUCAAGUAAAGACUUUUAAAUCAAAUUGAUGGAAUUAAUAAUUUAAAAUAUAUUAAUAAAUGAGAAAGUAAAAAAAUUGAUUUGAUAAUGAUACGUUAUUUUAUUAUUAUUUUAAAUUUAAGAAUACAAAAGAACGUAAAAGAGAAAAAAUGAUAAAAAAACAAGUAAGGAUAUAAAUGAAAAAGAAAAAAUAUUAGUGGUCAAUGUGUUGAUAAAGACUUUCAUUAUAAUACUCAUGCAAUGCUGGUUGUGUAAAUUAAGCAUCAGUUUGACACAAUCUUCACCGUAAUCAUGUUCUAAACUUUUUUUCAACUUUAUAAGUAAUUUUUUUAUUAUUCAUUUAUUAUAAAAUAUGAUAAACAUUUAUAUGUAUAUAUAUUAAGUUUUUUUCUAAUUGAGAUAAAAAAAUUAGGUUAUUUGGAAUCAAAUCCACUGAUAAAAAAUUGGGUUAUAUAUAUAUUAUGUUCAUGAGCUUGGUUGAUUUGUUGCAUGAUAGAUUGUGAUGAUGAGUGUGAAUUUUGAUCAAAACCCAUGUCCGUUGUUUGAGUAUGAUUGCACAGGCUUUCGUUUACUCUCAUUGCAUGGAAAGGAGGAGGAAAAUUAGUUCCAUAAUCUAAUUUCAGUUUUACAAAUAUCAAUAUCUAGGGUUGUGUAACGCCACUAAUAAUAGGUUAAAUUUGAAAUGAAAAUGUCAUUGUUUUCUAUGCUUGCAUCCCUUGAUGUGAAGAGUAACAAGGAUUUCAGGAAAGAGUCUUGAAGCUUAGAAUGAUUCUAAUAUUGCCAGAUGGACUAUUUUCCUAAACUAUAGCAAAUCGUGAGAUGACUUCCAAGCAAAUGAGUCAGACCUAAUAUUACUGAGGAUUAGAUAGAAUAUUAUUUCCAUAUGUUAUAGUCGCCUGUAUCAUUAAUUGCACCAAAAAUGUGUCUGCGUUGUUCCUUGCAUGGAAAUUUUUACUAGCGUACUGUUAAUCUAAUUUGGGUAACAUCUAGGCUUCCAUGCAGCUAUCACUUAGACUUACAAACCAAAAAACACCAAACACACAGCCAAUUAUCACUAGAAUUCAAAAACUAGAAUUAAUUUUUUGUACGGUGGCUUUCGGAGGGGGGGACAGAAAGUAAGGCAAUGGCGUGGCCCUGCCCCAAAAUGGAAAAUAUUGUAUUUAGGUCCUGAAAUUUUUUUAAAAUUUUAAAUUAGUAAAGGUAAAAUUACACUUUGACUCUUCUUAAAAAUGAUAAAAAUUUGAUUUAAUCAUUUAUAAAUGAUAAAGAUAUAGGCUAUUAAAAUGAUGAAAUUGUAUUUUUACUAUUGUAAAAAUUAUAAUUUAAUUUCGGCCCUCCCUAAAAGAAUUUUCUAGCUUCGACCAUGCGUAGCUGUUGUUGCUUCAUGAUCAUCAUUAUCGAGUUUUUUCUACUUUUCUCUACAUUGAAUUGCAAAUCUGUUAAUUAUUGUUUGCUCAUCGUGUAAUGUAACAUUGGAUCAUCAUAAUUGUAAUUCAAGUAGGCUUAAUCUUUGAACAAGAUUUUCAUGUAUUCUUAUCAUUCAAGACAAAUGCUUGAAUGCAAUGAAACUUUAGUUCAUGUCAAUGUUUGAGUAUUGAUGAGUAACUGAUGAUAUGUACACAUGCAUCUAUUCCUUCAAUUAAAUGAUGAUGAUCAUCAUCAUAGUAAUCAUCAAUCUAUGCUCAUUGUGAGCAAAAUUAAGGUAAAAGUGGAGCCAUCUUAGAGAGUUUGCAAAUGUAAUCUCUAAAGUCGUUUCAAUAUCAAAAUUUUUAACAGUCUUUCACUAUGAAUUUCAGCUUCCCACAAAAACCUCCAAGAAGUUCUCUUGAUCUUUCUAAACUAUGCGCUUUUAUUUUACAGAAUACUUACCCACCACACUUUCCUCAAAAUGUUAACCCUCCACCUAAACGUUUAACUUCUGAAAGUAAUAAAAAUACGUUAGUCGUAGUUGGAAAGAUGAUAACCCCGGGUUUGUUUCGUAGUCCUACUGCUUCAUAUAAGGUGAUUAAAGCAUUGUGUACAUCAGGAAAUUUUCUUCUGGCCGUGAGGCAUCUAACCCGGAUGGAAUUUGAAAAUGAUCUGGAGACCUAAUUUAUGGUCAUGGUAUCUCUUUUAGAGGGGAGAAUGUUGAACACAGUAAUGGCUCUGGGCGUCGACCUUAUAAAGAAAGGGCUCCACCAUAAAACUAUUUUCUAUAAUGGCAAGGAAGACAAACUUAAACCUGACAAGGAAGACAAACCUAAGCCAAAUCUUUACUAUACCAUAAUGACUCUAAUAUAGUGUCUUUACUAUCUUCGUUGCUCUCUCGUUUGGCCCCACUAGGUAUAAAGUUUGGUUUUGUUUAUGUAAUGUAAUCUCCAUGUAGCAGAAUUCUAAAAGAAGAUAUAGAACUUUUAUUAUUAUGUGAAAUGUAUUAUUAUUAUUCUUAUCAUUAUCAUUAUCAUUAUUAUUAUUAUUAUUAUGUAAUCUCCGUUGAUUCCUUUGCACUGCAAUCAAAGUCGGUGGAAUCCUACAAUAUAAAACAUUUCCAGCAAUUUGUGAUCCCAUGCCAUACUGUUCAUCUUCUUUCUCCCCUUACAAACAAAAACGCCAAACACACAAUUAUCACUAGGAUUCAAAAACUCUAAUAUCUUAUAUAAAAUGGAAAAGAAUAAAAAUGAGCAUUAAGGACAAAAAGGAAAGAAGGUACGUAGCAUAGGUGAAGAAAAGUGAAGAAGGGAGCGGCAAUUGUCUGCUCAACAGGGUCCUUAGAGAUACUUGCCUUUUCAAGUAAAUAUUUCAUGCGAUUUCAAAAUUGUAUCAUAGUCCUCUGUGGAAAUUAUUUUUAGUGUGAAAAUUAUUAUAUUAUGUAAUCUCCGUUGAUUCAUUUGCACUACAAUCACAGUCAGUUACAAUCUGGUAUAUGGUUAUUCAAGUGGUUAGUAUUUGUUAUCAAGUGGUUAGUGUUUAUUAUCACUCACUAAUGUAUACAAGUAUCAUUUCUGUAUAGGUCUACCAAAGCUAAUGAUACUAAGGAUAUUCAGCAAAUACUAUUCUUUGUAUUUCGUUCAUUAUCGUUUCUUCAGUAUACUUCUAACAAGGACGAAAAGGAAAGAAGGGAGCAGCAUAGGGUCCUUAGAUAUACUUACAAGUGAAGAAGGGAGCAGCCCAAGGUCCUUAGAGAAACUUGCAGGUGAAGAAUGGAGCAGUAUGUGGUCCUUUUCAAAUAAAUAUUUUAUGUGAUUUCAAGUAAAGACUUUUAAAUCAAAUUGAUGGAAUUAAUAAUUUAAAAGAUAUUAAUAAAUGGGAAAGUAAAAAAUUUGAUUUGAUAAUGAUACAUUAUUUUUUUAUUAUUUUAAAUUUAAGAAUACAAAAGAACGUAAAAGAGAAAGCAUAAUAAAAAAAAGUAAUGGUAUAAAUGAAAAAGAAAAAACAUUAGUGGUCAAUGUGUUGAUAAGACUUUCAUUGUAAUACUCAUGCAAUGCUGGUUGUGUAAAUUAAGCAUCUAUUUAACAAAAUGUUCACCGUAAUCAUGUUCUAAAAUUUUUUUUAACUCUAUAAGUAAUUUUUUUAUUAUUCAUUUAUUAUAAAAUAUGAUAAACAUUUAUAUGUAUAUAUAUUAAGUUUUUUUCUACUUGAGAUAAAAAAAAUUGGGUUAUUUGGAAUCAAAUCCACUGAUAAGAAAUUGGGUUAUAUAUAUAUCAUGUUCAUGAGCUUGGUUGAUUUGUUGCAUGAUGGAUUUUGAUGAUGAGUGUGAAUUUUGAUCAAAACCCAUGUCCUUUGUUUGAGUAUGAUUGCACAGGCUUUUGUUUACUUUGAUUGCAUUGAAAGGAGGAGGAAAAUCAGUUCCAUAAUCUAAUUUCAGUUUUACAAAUUUCAAUAUCUAGGGUUGUGUAACACCACUAGUAAUAGGUUCAAUUUGAAAUGAGAAUGCCUUUGUUUUCUAUGCUUGGAUCCCUUGAUGUGAAGAGUAACAAGGAUUUUAGGAAAGAGCCUUGAAGUUUAGAAUGAUUCUAAUGAUUGUCAGAUGGACUAUUUUUCUAAACUAUAGCAAAUCGUGAGAUGACUUGCAAGCAAAUGAGUCGGACCUAAUAUUACUGAGGAUUAGAUAGAAUAUUAUUUCCAUAUAAUCCUCCCUAAAAACAUGCACAAAAACAAUAACAUUGAGACUCGUACAAAUAUUUCUUAGCAGUUUAAAGCAAUCCCAAUAUUUUCAUGGUCUUUAUUCAAUACCCGUGCACCGCGAAACAACCAUCUUAAAAUUUACUCCACAAUGAUUUUUUUUUUACAUUUUUCUAUUUUGAUUCAAUAAUCAUAUGAAAAGCCAAUAUAAUUGUUCUCAUGGAGCAGUCUAGAGAGAGGGACUGUGGAAACAGUUUUCGUUUACAACAUUUCGAACACUAUGCAUUGGAAAGGAUUGUGGGCUUUAUUUGGAUACCAUGGUGAUGUUGUUGAUGCCUUUAUUCCAUAUAAAAGGUGCAGAAAUGAUAAAAGGUUUAGGUUUGUGAGAUUCUCUAAUGGAAGGGACGCGCUAUGGGCGAUAAUGAGGUUAAAUGGUUUCUUUUUAUUGGGGAAGAGAAUCGGGGUGAAAAUGGCUAUAGUUAUAAUAGUAAAAGAAAGUUUUGGAGGAUUGGUUCGGAUCGAAAGGAUAAGGAACUGAGUGUUGAAACAGACUGAGAAGAAAAAUGUGAGGAAAGGAAUGAUAAUUGCGCUAGAGGAGGUAUGAAAACCUAGACCAGAAAAGUCAAAAGUCAUGUUGAAGAUAAACGAUUAUAGAAUCUACAGAAAUGCUUGGUGUGCGAAUCGAUUUUGGUAUGUGAUUCAAAAAGCAUCAACGAUCGUUUAGCAAAAAUUGGUCUUAGGGAAAUAACAGUAAUAAGGAUUCAAGGAAGACAUUUCUUGGCUGAUAUUCCGGAUGAAGAAUUGAUGGAAUUGUUAAGGCAAAUUAAGUGGUCAUAUUUGAAAGACUUUUUCAUUAACAUUGUGCCAUGGUCGGAGAAAUUGAAGUUAGAAGAAAGGGUAUCGUGGAUUGAAGUUUCUGGAGUGCCAUUGCGUUGCUGGAAUUAUGAAACAUGUAAAAGACUUACAGGGGUAUAAGGGAAGUUGGUGUCAGUAGGGGAAAAUCUAACUAAAGUUCACAAUUUUGAAAAACUUGAGCUACUGAUUUCUAUUUCAGAAAUGAACAUGACUGAUGAAGUUGUUAGUUUGGAAGUUGGCGAUGUUAUUUUUUCGAUCAGAGUAAGGGAAAUGGGACUAUCGAAGCUGAAAGAAGAUAACGAUAUCAGUAAGGCCAGCCGGAAGAAAAAAGAAGAAGUUAGCACCUCAGAAGCUAGUUCGAUGGCGAGCACAAGGCCAAAAAUUCCAUCGGAGGGAAUAGAAAACGUCAAGAUUGGAGCAUUAAUGGCAGUUAAUCUAGAAAAUGGGAAGAAGAGUUAUGAAUGUCAGAAAAUGAUGGAGGAGGAAAACGAAGAGGUAGAGUUAGAGCAUAUUUUCAAAGAAAUUAAUUUGAGAAAGGCAGCUGUAACGGAUAAUGUUUUGGAAAGGGCAUUGAAUGACAUAAGGGACAUGGGAUUGAAUGUUAUUGAGGACGCUUUAGAAGUUUUAAAUGUUGGGGGCAUUAAAAAUGGAUCACUUGUGGGCUGCACAAUUGCUGAAAAUUUUAUCACUGAAGAUUUAAUUAGCCUAGAGGAAGGUAACAACAGAAGUCAGGAAAAUGAAAAAAAUAGAGAUGAAGUGAUGGAAUCAAAUUUGGAUUUAGAAGAAGAAUUGAACCAAAUGAUUAGUCGCAAAAAAAAAAGAGGAUUGAACAAAAAGAUUCGGUCUAUGUAUGAAAUCUAAAGCAGUCUUUUAAUGUCUAAAGAGAGGAAGAAAAGGGACAGACCAAGUUGAAGGAUAAAGGAAGGGAGUCUUGUAAGGAAGAAGAGAGGAUUGUUAAUUUUUCCCUUUCGGAUUCGGAUAUAACUAACAGAAUGAGGGUGAUUCUUAGGGAAGCUAAUAACACUUGGGCACUUGGAAAGAAAUUGGGAUUUGGUGUACAUGGAAAUGAAGAAGAAGUGAUUGAAGAAUUAAUGAGAGCAGAGAUUCAGUAGUUAUGUUUCAAAUUUUGUACGAGAGAAGAGAUAAGGUCACAGUGGUUUAUAAUCGAGUGGUUGGAAUUUUCGUUUUUAGUUUUUGGUGCUGAUAAGGGAAGGUGAUUAUGGUGAUGUUUUGGUUUUUUGGAGAAAUCAGGUGCUUUAAGAAUGUUAUCCUUUAAGAAUGUCAAUGGUGUGAAAAGAAUUAUUGUAAGUUGUAUUGGAUGUUUAAAUAGCUUUAUGGAAUGGCACAGAUUUUUUGUGAUGGGUGUUUGGGAUUGAAUUAUCUACAACGGUUCGGAUUUUUUGGGAGUGAUUAGAUGACUGGUUUCUUUAAGAUUUUUGGUUGACUUCAAUCGGUUAAGGAUGUGCAUGUAUGGCUAUAAGGAAAAAGGUUUUUGUGAUGUUGGUAGGAGUCUUUUAAGUUUGUUGGUUGUCUUUGUUAGCUGGAUUUUCUGGGGAUUGUUGUAUGAAUAGGUAUAUAUUUUCUGUCUAUCUUUUUAGCUGGUUUAUUGCUCAUGGAUGUAUUGUUCAUUAUGUUUUGGUUUUGCUUUUAAGGUAUUAGUUAGAGUUAGUAAAGAUGCCUAGUUGGAGAAUUGUUGGGUGGAUGGAAGAGGUUUGGGUUUUGAUUGGGUUUAUUCCUGGUUGGGUUGGGUUCAUUGAUUUGUUGCUGGGAUUAUUUUGAUUGUGUGUGAGUUGUGUAAUGGGGUUUUUGGCUGUGGUUCAUCUUGAAGGUGGCCUUUUUUCCUGGUUGUUUGCUGGGUUUAUUUUCUGGUUAUCGUGCAGAGGAGAUCAUGGGGUUGGUUUGGGUUCAUUGAUUUGCUGUUGGGAUUAUUUUGAUUGUGUGUGAGUUGUGUAAUGGGGUUUUUGGUUGCGGGUCAUCUUGAGGGUGGCCUUUUUUCCUGGUUGUUUGCUGGGUUUAUUUUCUGGUUAUCGUGCAGAGGAGAUCAUGGGAAGUGUAGUCUUUUUGGUAAUUUAUGCAGUUGCUGUGAGGGUUUUGGAGUUGUUUUGGAAGGAGUAUGUUUUUAUUACAAUGGUAUUCAAUCCAAUAAAUGUAUUGGAUUGGUUGUAAUUCUCGAUCGUGGUUGUUUUGGGAAUUGUUCGUGUUUUUGGGAGACUGUUUUUGUUGUGGCUAAGGUACGAAUUGAAAUCACUUGUUGAGGUUUGCUUGGUGCGAUGGUUGUUUCGUUUUUUGCUGGUCUCCCAUUGUUUAUCUUGUGUUGAGCAUUUUGGUUUCAGUGUUGGGGGAUUAUUGACGUGCUUUUUUUUAAGUUUUGGCAUAGUUUCGUUUUUGUUGUUCUAUUGUCAAUCUAGUCGGGUUGGGUGUUCCCAAUGCCAUAUUUUGUAAUCUAUUGACUGAGCAAUAUAUAUAUAUAGUGAAUAUUUGGCUGGUAAUGCAUUUUUUUAAUUCCCACAAGCAAAGUUAAAUUUGCCACAUGUCUCAUUUCUUAUAUAUAUAAUUCUUUUACUAUACCUUUAUAUACUUUUCAUCAACCCAACCCUGCUUGUGGAAUUUUUAAAUUCCACUACCAAUGUCUCAAAUAUAUUCCCUAAUAUAUAUUAGGUUAGUAUUUGGUACAUUAGUAGUGUACUUUUUUAUCUCACAAGCAGUCUUAAAAAAUUGACAUGUGUCACAUUUUUUAAAUAUUUAUUUUUUAAUAUUUUAUUAUACCUAGAUAAGAUACUUAUUAAUCACCUAACCCUACUUAUGAAAUAUCUAAAAACUAUGUUGACAAUGUACCUAAUAUUAUUCAAUGUAUAUUAUGGUUUGAUUAAACAUGAUAAAAUAUAAUGCAAUACAAACACGAUAUAGAUAUAUCAAAAUAUACAAAAUAAUAAGUAUUUAAAAUAUCAAAACUUAUAAAAUUUAUAAUACCUUAAAUAUGAUUAAGAUACAAAAAUAUAAUUAUUUGCUCAUUCUCCAAAAAAAAAAAUUCCUGUACUGUUUUUAAUUCCAUUAAUGGUGGAUAGAAUAAUUUCAUUAAUAGUUGCAAUCAAAAUAAAACAUUACAAAUAAUAAAUUAAAUAAUUAACUAAAUAACUGAUUAAUUAUAACUAAAAUAAAAGUAGAGAAAAUCCUACACAUCAACAUGAAAUGAGACUCAAAUUUGGUUCUUCCCAAAAUCUCAACUUUUCAAUUGAGUAGAGGAAUUAUUAUUAAAUAUGUUGGGAAGUAGGUUAGUCUUGACGGGUUGUUACAGGGACUAAAUCAGAAAAAAAAAAUUAGGAGUCGAAAUUAUAUUAUAAUUUUUAUGAUAGUAAAAAAAUGUAAUUUUAUAAUUUUAAUAAUUUAUAUUUUUAUAAUUUUGAAAAGAUUAAAUCAAUUUUUUAUAUUUUUAAGAGAUCAAAAUAUAAUUUUACUUUUACUAAUUAAAAAUUUUUAAAUUUUAAAUGAUCUAAAUAGAAAAUUUUCCCUUUCACAAAGGGAGAGAGGCUGAUGGCACAUACAUAAUUGCAGCAUCUUAUGCACAAAAGUCAUGCUUAAUGAUUUUGCUUCCCAUCUUGUAUCAUAAUGUCCCCAUCUCUAACAAUCAUCCAUCCCCACUCACCAUUUUUCAUCUAUCUUUCCUUUGCUUUCCCUUUUUCUUUCCUUUUUUCCUGCCAUUCAUUCAUGUUCUUUCUCUCUCUCUCUCUCCAACAUCAAUCGGAUCGGCUUUGGUAGGGUUUUGUUUCAUGACAUAAUAAUAUAAAGCACAAGUCAUGAAAAAAGGGAAAUUAUAUUUUAUAUAUGUGUGUACUAUAACCAAUUUGUUUGCAUAUUUAUAUUAGGUUAAAAUAUUUUAGUUGUUUUUUUUUAAUAUUUACUGAAAAUAUUUUAUAUAUAUAUGUACUAUAGACAAAUUUGAUUCGUGAAAAAAUGAUUUACAAAAAAUAUUUUUUGCAUUUGCUUCUUAUGUUUAAUAGAAAAAUAGUUUGUUCAAUGAAAAAUAAUUUAUUGUCAACGAAAAACAAGUUUGAAUUAAAAAAUAUUUAAUUAUAAUUUUUUGGAUUUUUUAUAUUUUUGAUAUUUUUAUUUAUAUAUAUAUUUAAGUUUAUGUGUAACGACUCGGAAGUUAGUAGUGUAAACCCUAUUUUUUGACAUCACUAACUUUCAAGUCGUUACAUUAUGUAUUUAUUUAUAAUAUAAAGAUAAGUGACCCUAAACUUACCUUGGACCAAAAAGAUUAACAAAAACAAAGUUGAGGUACCGAUAUGGGAUAAAAAAAAAUUAGGUAACAAUGCGGAAAAAUAGGUAUAAUUUGGGAGCCUAAACCGUGAAUAAAGCCAAUUAUAAAUAUUUAGUAACAAAUAUCUCCAAUAUAAAAUAUGAAUAUCUUAUAAUAUAAAUAUCAGUAUCUGCUUAAACCUUUGCUUAGCUUCAUAUAUUCCUUUUAGCUCUAAUGUGUCACUAUCAUCUUUCAUCCCUUGAUAAUAUAAGAUAAUAUAGUUAUUAUAAAAUAAUUCGAUUGUCAAAAGGCAAUACUUUGAUAAUAUUUUGUAACAAAUAGUAUUUAUGCUAUAAUUGUUUCAUUGAAAAUAGCUUUCAAAAAUUGAUUUAAGAAAAAUUUUCAAACAACAGUAUAGUUUACAUAAGAAUCAUUCAAACACUAAAAAAUAUUUUAAAAAAAAUUAUUUUUCAAAAAUUAUUUUUAAUAAAACAUACAUAAUCUUAGGUUAUUUUAACAUCUACUAGUUCCUAGUUCCAUAUUUAUUGUAUGUGUUUAUUUUUUAAAACCCUUUAAUUAGUAUAUUUUUAUUUCAUAUGGUUAAUAUAAAGUGAUUUUUUUGGUAUAUUUAACCAUUUUAAUAAUUAAAAUAUUAUAUUAAUAAAAAAUUUCAAACCAUAAUUAAUGUGUGAAUGAAAAUCAAACAUUUUUGUAUUUUUUAAGCUACUAUUUUAAUGAAAAUGCUUAAGGGUAUGUUUACAAAAUAACUUGAGUGUAAUUACUUGUAAUUGUAUAUGUGUGGCAUGUUUGAAUAACCAUUGUGAUUAAUUGGUCCCAUUGAAUUAAGUGCAAUUGGAGCACCCCAGUUACACUUUCUAAUUCUUAUAAGGGGUUGAAAAUGGAGGAAUUACACAAAUAAUUAGCCAUGAUGCCUAUACACACAAAUUUCAAGUUGAAUAUUGACAUGCUAAUGUGUCGUUGAGAGCACUAAAAAUAUCAUAUUCCCUAUAAAAUAAUAAAAAUAACAGUAAAGGGGAAGUAAGGUCGAAUCCUCAGGGACCGGAUUGUACGAAUGCUAGUUUCUUGAAAUCCUGGACAAUUUCUUGGCCAAGAAAACCUGUGUUCCUGAAAAAUAAAAAAAAUAAAAUUAAGAAUAUGAAAAAAUAAAAACAGAAUUUAAAGUGAAUUGAAAUUGCAAAAUUAAAUAGAUUGCAGAAAUUAAAAUGGAAAAAAUAAACAAAGUUUGAAAAUAGAGAAAGUUUCUUAUGUAGCGAGAUUCCAGCCUCCGAUUGUCUCGUUCCGCCUUGGGUUCAAUCCUUGACUUUUAAGUAACCCUUCUCGAGAAGGAUAAGCCAGUUAUAGUGGAAGAGGACGCCUACGACCACCAGCUCCAAGGAUUUAGACUUAAAACUAGGCAGAGCCUGACUUUAGCCAAUAAUCGCUUUUAUGGGACUAUCUUCUGCUAGAUUACCUCUUCCCAACGGCGAAUUCCACACCGUUUUGUCUCUUGGCUUCGCCAACCUCUGACGUAGAAAGCCAACGAACCGACUGUGCAACCUUCCCAAAACGUACAAAGCGGUCGUUCGUUACACAAGUUGAAAAGAUCACCUAUUAAGGGACAUGGACGAAAGCGCCAGUCCCGUAAUGCGGAGAAGCAAUGAAUACCUUGUUGAGAAGGCUAAGCGCGGAUUCUAAGCCUCAUGAACCUUUUUGGGGAAUUUUGACAACCUUCGGCUAGAUUGGUUUAGUGACUCAUGAUUUUUGGGAAAGAAAUAAAUAUAAUAGAAGUGAGAUUUUUAUUGAAGAAAAUAUGGAGAGAACAAAAAGACAGAGUUUUUGGGAGAAUGAGUGAUUACAGAAAAAGAGAUGUCCAUAUGUGCCACUCCAUCCCCUAUUUAUAGUACUAGAAAACCUAGCAUAUUCCUAAUGAAAUUUUAAAAGAUAAAUACAAAUAAAUAAAGAUAAAUGAAAAUAAAUCCUAGAAUUAAAUCUAAAUAAAAAUCAUUAAUAAUUAUCCUAAUAUAAUUGAAAUUAAAAUAGAGUCUUGUGCUAUAAAAUCUCUUCUUUUGUAUUUUAGUUCUUGGGUUUCCAUAUUUGUAUUUUCGGCAUCACUUCUCUCUUUCUUUGCAUGUUGGCCCAUUAUAUCUUCAAAUUCGCACUUUUUGCCUUUAAAUUUCCUCUUGCCUCCAAUUUAGUCCCUAAAAGAUAAAAGACCACAAAAUUAUCCAAAUUAGUAGGAUCAUACUCAAAAUAAGCAUGCAAUUAGCAUAUAAGCUAUGUCGUUCUAGAGUAUUAUCAAAUUCCCCCUACUUAGCCCAUGCUUGCCCUCAAGUAUGGUUCGUGUCUACUGUGAAAAUUAAAUCCUGCCAUGAAAGAAAUAUUACUCCAAAGUUUUAUAAAAAUUAGUCAAAAUGCAUAUGAAAAAUAAAGAGAACCCUUAGCUUGCUUUAAGUAAACUUUGAAAAAAGUAUUCCAAUUAACACACACAAAAAUUAAGAUCGACUUGGAUUAUUUAAUGAAAAUUAGGUAAUUUACCAAACCUAUCAAGACACCUUAUUUAUUUCUCUUUUAGUCCCCCAAUUUUAUUAAUACCUCAUUCUUUUUUUUUUCUUUUUUCUUUUUUUUUUUAAUUCUAUUUAUUUAUUUUUACUUGGGAAUAUAUUGAACCUUUUGACGCGAAGAGAGAUGACAGCCAAGUACCCCACCCCGAUUACUCAGCCCAACACAUUCCUAAUUUUUAUUUUUCUUAAGAACAUAUCAAACUUUUUGACGCGAAGAGAGAUGACAGCCAAGCACCUCACCCCGGUUACUCAGCCCAACACAUUCUUAAAAAUUAAUUCCGGUUAGCGGAGUUUUACCUAACACGUCACACAACCUUUUGACGCGAAAUAGGAUGACAAACCAAGCACCCUACCCCGGUUACUCAGCUAGUCACUUAUUAAAUUGCACUCAUAACCACGGAAACAUUAUUAUUAAACGAAAUUUUAAUUUUGGAGGACUUAGGAGCAAUAAUCAAGUGUCAAAAAUAAGUUUCAGCAACCACCUUAAUAGUCAUGAACAUAUUUUAAGCAUGCAAUUGUAUUAAGUGUCCUCAUUUUAUUUAUACUUAAUCAAAUUUACUAAAGCAAAAUAGGGCUAACUCUAUUAAUCAAAGUUAUUCAGCCUAAAAGAAAUAAAAUAAUGGAGAUACAAUCAAACAGGAAAAAUCAUAACUAACUCAGUAGACAAAAAUCAUGCAUGUAGGUCAAACAGUGGGCAAUUCGUGGUCAAAUUCUUGGGCAUGAAAAGAGGCAGAUUAUUCUUUAAAAAAAAUUAUAUGGGCAGCAACAACCAAGACAGCAGCAACCAAAUCAACAUCUAAAAUGACAGAAAUAAUGAGGAAUGUCUCCCUCUACUUAAAACACAUAGUCCUCGAUGUGGAAUAAAUAAAAUAGGACAAAAAGGUGUAGAGGAACUCCCCGUGUAAUUAAUGUCGUUCGCGUAUGAUUGCAAUGAGAUCCACUAGUUGCUGUUUGGCUGCAGGGUUGUCUCUCCCUAUCUUCGUUUCCGUUACCUAGAAGAAGAGAAUUUUAUUAAUAUCUGAAAAUAAUAAAUAAUAAAAUAAUAAGAUAAAAUAAAAUAAAAAUAAAAAUUGGGUUGUCUCCUAAUAAGCGCUUGUUUAACGUCGUUAGCUCGACGCCGUGAAUGGUUCUAUGGUGGCUCUAACUGAAUUUUUUCGACCGUGUGGGCUUGAAAAUUUUCGUAAAAUGGCUUCAACUGUUGGCCAUUGACUACGAACCGCGUCCUUGUUUCUUUACUCUCUAUUUUAACUGCACCAUGUGUGAAUACUUGGGUCACAAUAAAAGGUCAUUGCCACCAAGAUCGAAGCUUACCUGGGAAUAGCUUUAAUACGGAGUUAUAAAGCAAAACUUUUUGCCCUACCGAGAAAUGCUUCUGAGCUAUUUUCCUAUCAUGAAACAGUUUUGUUUUGUCUUUAUAAAUGCGAGCAUUCUCAUAGGAAUCAUUACGAAUUUCCUCCAACUCUUGAAUGUCCAAUUUUAUUGCCUUCCCUGCGGGCUCUAACUCCAUGUUACAUUGUCGAAUAGCCCAAUAAGCUUUGUGCUUCAGUUCUACUGGUAGAUGACACAUUUUGCCAAAAAUAAGUUGAUACAGGGUCAUGCCAAUUGAGCCCUUAUACGCCGUCCGAUAGGCCCAAAGCACGUCAUUGAGCCGAAGACUCUAAUCAUUUCGGUUGGGCCGAACUAUUUUUUCCAAAAUGGACUUGAUCUCCCUGUUCGAAAUCUCUGCUAGGCCGCUUGUUUGGGGAUGGUAGGCUGUUGCUAUAUGAUGAUGAACUCCAUAUUUUGAUAAUAGUGCCUUUAUGACCUUGUUGCAAAAGUGGGUACCACGAUCACUGAUCAAAGCUCGAGGUGUGCCAAACCUAGAAAAAAAUAGUUCAUUUUAGAAACUCCACAACAGUUUUAGCAUUGUCAUUGCGAGUAGGCUUUGCGUCUAUCCACUUAGAAACAUAGUCUACUGCAAGAAGUAUAUAUACGUUUCCAUACGAAGAAAUAAAAGAGGCCCAUGAAAUCGAUGCCCCAUACAUCAAAAAUCUCACAUACAUGAAUUAGGGAUAGGGGCAUUUGAUUUCGUUUAGUGAUGUUACCUGUAUGUUGGCAUUUAUCGCAAGACUUACAGAAGUUAUAUGCGUCGCAAAAAAUUGUGGGACAAUAUAGCCCACACUCUAAUACCUUGUGAGUUGUCCAUUUAGGGACGAAGUGACCUUCACAAGCUUCUGUAUGACAAAAAGUAAGGAUAGAGGUUACCUCGGUUGCUGGAACACAUCAUCUUAUUAGCUUAUCUAAACAGUGUUUCCACAAGUAUGGGUUGUCCCAAAUGUAAUACCGAGCUUCCCAUCUAAGCUUGUCCUUCACGGAACGUGUUAGCCCAGUGGGUAACGAUCUUAUGGUUAAGAGAUUAACUAUAUCAGCAUUCCAUAGAUAGUGAGCCUCGGUCGAAAAUAAGCUUUCAUCAAGAAACUCAUCCUUUAUAGGAACAUCAUCAGAUGGAGUUUUUAUCCUACUCAAGUGGUCAGCCACCAGGUUUUUACAUCCCUUUUAUCACGAAUUUCGAUGUUAAAUUCUUAGAGCAGCAGAAUCCAUUUAAUGAGCCUUGGUUUCACCCCCUUCUUUGCGAUCAAGUACAUAAGAGCUGCAUGGUUAAAAAAAAUAAUCACUUUAGAUUCCAAUAAAUAAGAUCGAAAUUUAUCUAAAGCGAAUACAACAGCUAAGAGUUCUUUUUCUGUAGUGGUGUAGUUGCUUUGUGCAGCAUUUAGGGUUUCUGAGGCAUAGCAAAUGACAUGAGGAUCUUUGUCUAUCUUUUGCCCUAACACGGCCCCCACACUGACUUCGCUUGUGUCGCACAUAAUUUCAAAAGGGUAGUUCCAAUCUGGUGCUUGCACUAUAGGAGCGGUCACCAACUUCUGCUUAAGUGUAUCAAAAGCCUCCUUACAUUUUGGGCCGAACUCAAAUUUCCUAUCUUUCUGCAAUAACUUGUAUAAUGGUUCAACCACUUUUGAGAAGUUUUUUAUGAAAUGUCUGUAAAAUCCUGCAUAGCCAAGAAAAGAACGAAUUUCCCUUACAGUGGAGGGAUAUGGCAAAGAAUUAAUAAUGUCAAUUUUGGCCUUAUCGACCUCAAUUCCCUUGGCAUAAACUAUAUAACCUAGAAUCAGACCCUUGUCUACCAUAAAAUGAAACUUUUAAUAGUUCAAGACAAGAUUAAAUUUUAUGCACCUAUUCAAAAUUAUCAUGAGGUUUUUAAGGCAUUCAUCAAAACAAUUUCCACACACAGUAAAAUCAUCCAUAAAAGCUUCAAUAAUUUUCUCCAUAUAUUCAGAAAAUAUACUCAUCAUGCAUCUCUGGAAUGUGGCUGGUGCGUUACAAAGUUCAAAUGGCAUCCUUCUGUACGCAAAAGUGCCAAAUGGGCAUGUAAAAGUGGUCUUUUCCUGAUCUUUUGGUGCGACUGGAAUUUGGAAGAAACCUGAGUACCCAUCAAGACAACAAAAGUGAGUUUUACCUGAUAAACGUUCAAGCAUUUGAUCUAUAAAAGGAAGAGGGAAAUGAUCUUUUCUAGUGUAAGAGUUUAACUUCCUGUAAUCAAUACAGACACGCCACCCAUUUUAUACUCGAGUUGGUACCAAGUCACCUUCGGCAUUUUUGUUUACUGCCACACCCAUUUUCUUGUGCACGAAUUGAACCGGACUUACCAUCUGCUGUCAGAAAUAGGGUAGAUUAUGUCAGCAUCCAGCAGCUUGAUUAUCUCUUUUUUUACCACUUCCAUCAUAUUCAGGUUUAAUUGCCUUUGGGCCUCUCACCUCGAUUUUGCAUUUUCCUCCAAGUAGAUUCUGUGUGUGCAUGUCAAGGGGCUUAUUCCUUUCAAAUCGGUAAUGGUCCAACAAGUCGCGUCCUUAUGACUUUUCAGUACCUGGAUCAAACUUUCUUCCUUGAGAUUAGAGAGUUUGUUGGAAACUAUGAUUGGUAGGGUAUUACCUUUCUCCAAAAACGCAUACUUAAGAUGUUCGGGAAACAAUUUCAAUUCCAAUUCUAGAGCCUACAUAACAGAAGGUAAAAUUUUAGUAUUUGAUGGAGACAAUAACUCAUUAACAGAUUCAUAGUCAUCAGAUAUAAAUUCAAAUUUAUCUUCAUAAAUCGACUCAAAAGUCUCAUUUGCUAAUGAGUCAAUUAUGUCGACACAAUUUACACUCAAAAUUUCGCUUGGAUGACUAAUGGGGUCAUAAACAUUAAAAUUCACGAUCUCCUCAUCAAAUUCCAUCGUAAGAGUUCCGCUUCGAACGCCGAUCUUAGUGCUAGCGAUACUAAGGAAAGGUCGGCCCAACAGGAGGUCCGAAGAUCCAGUAGUGUUAUCAUUCUCCAUCUUUAUCAUAUAAAAAUAUGCAGGGAAAAUAAGUUCGUUAACUUUUACCAGUACGUCCUCAAGGACUCCUUCAAGGAGCACAACAAACCUGUCUUCCAACUGAAUUAUAACACCUGUUUUCUUCAAAAAAACCCGCGUUAAGUUAUUCAUAAAUAGAGUAAGGCAUAACAUUUAUGUAUGCCCCUAAAUCACACAUGGCCUUCUUGAUCCUCAAAUGGCCAAUGGCCUAUUUUGCAUAGUAUAGCGAACAUACCCCUAUCUUUGCAUUUUGCCAGCAUUUUCCGCUGUAGCACUGCAGAUACACUCUCACCAACACUUACAUUUUCGUUACCUGUUAGUUUUUUUUUGUUGGUGCAAAGCUCCUUGAGGAACUUAACAUACCGCAGAAUCUGUCUGAUGGCAUCCAGCAGUGGUAAAUUGAUAUCGACAUUUCUGAAUGUUUCGAGGAUCUCUUUAUCUUCCUUACUUUUUCGACACAGAUUUAAUUGUCUUGGGAAUGGAGUUUGGAUUUUCGGCAGUGAGGGUUUCACUCAAACCUGUUCAUAGUUUUCGGGCUUUUCUUGGGCGAUUUCUUGGCCAAGAUUUCUGCCAGGAAUUGGUUCCAGUACCUUUCCACUUUGCAGCGUUACUGCAUUUUCGUUUUGCCUCGGGUUUGGUUCUGUUUGUGAUGGCAACUUCCCUUGAGAGUUUAAUCUCUCAAUUGAUAUGGUUAACUCCCUUAUGGAUGCCUCAGUUUUCUGUUGGAAAUCCUUUGUCUCUCUUUGGAAAUUAAGAGUUUGCUGUUGAAAAUAAGGACAUUAGCUGCUAAUUAAUUGACAUGGUUUAUAGCGAAUUACCUGAAUCUCGAGCCUGUUAUGGGAACCGAUUUUGGUUUGACUGGUUAAAUCGUGGGUUGGCCCCAUAACUUAAGUUAGGGUGAUCCCUCCAUCCUGGGUUGUAGGUAUUAGUGUAAGGGUCGUAUCGCCUUUGUGGUGGCCUAGGAAAAUUUCCCACAGCAUCUAAAUGAGCCAUAUUAUCAUCAUUCAAACUGGGAUAUGCAUCAGUUGUAUGUUCAGUGGUAGCACAUAUUCCAUAUAACUGGGCUGUCUUUGAUUUUUCUGCAACAAGAGAAUUCAAAAUAUUAGCAAUUCUAUCAACCUUAUUUUCUAAGGUCGAAUUACUUAGCUGGUGAACCCUUCUAGGGGGUUUAGUAUUGGCUCGAAAUUGCUGAGAAUUUGCAGCCAUUGUGUAGAUUAAAUCUCUUGCUUGUUGUGGAGUCAUGUUGACCAACGCUCCUCCACUCGCGGCAUCUACCAUAUUCAUCUCCAUGGGUUUCAAGCCUUCAUAAAAGUACUGGAGCAAAGACUGUUCCGUUAUAUCAUGUUGUGCACAACUUGCACACAACUUCUUAAAUCACUCCUAAUAGUCGUACAAAGACUCUGCGUCUUUUUGCCUUAUUCUCACAAUUUCUCUUCUUAACUCGACUGCACACGACGCUGGGAAAAACCAGUUGAGAAACAAACGAGACAAUUCAGCCCAAGUCGUUACAGAUCCAGGAGGUAAAUAAAAUAACUAUUCUGCUAAGGAAAAAAGGAAAGCACGUAGUUUAAUUUGAUCCUCAGUUACCCCCUGAGGUUUCAUACUAAGGCAAACCAUAUGAAAUUCUUUCAAAUGCUUGUGGGGAUUUUCGUUCUGUAACCCCCGAAAAGUUGGCAGCAGCUAGAUCAAGCCUGACUUUAAUUCAAAAUCAGUAUCCAUAGUAGGAUACGCGAUGCAUAGUGGCGGUUGUUUCGUCGGUGCUUCGGCCAGUUGUCGAAUUGUCUGAGCUAUAGGUUGAGGUGCUAAAUUAGGGUUUACGUUAACUCUAGCGUUAAGCACUUCUUCUGGGGAAUCGACUUCUACUUUUUCGCAUUUAAAAGUUUGAGUAGGGUUUUCAUUAACCCUAGACUCUAUUUCGUCAUCGAUUCUAAUUUCUGGCGGUGGAUUACUUUGAGUCCCAACCACUGCUGACUGCUUUUUCCUUAGCUUUGUUUCCUUACGAUUAGCUCUCGUAGUCUUUUCAAUUUCUAAAUCAAACGCAAGAGUUCCUGGAGCAGAUCUGGUCAUAAGAAACAAAAAACAAGAUUAGUAUGUUAUCGGUCCCCGGCAACAGCACCAAAAUUUGAUGUGUCGUUGAGAGCACCAAAAACAUCUUAUUCCCUGUCAAAUAGUAAAAAUAACAGUAAAGGAGAAGUAGGGUCGAAUCCUCAGGGACUGGAUUGUACGAAUGCUAGUUUCUUGAAAUCGUAGACAAUUUCUUGGCCAAGAAAACAUGCGUUCCUAAAAAAUAAAAAAAUUAGAAUUAAGAAUCUGAAAAAAAUAAAAUCAGAAUUUAAAGUGAAUUGAAAUUGCGAAAUUAAAUAGAUUGCAGAAAUUAAAAUGGAAAAAAUAAACAAAGUUUGAAAAUAGAGAAAGUUUCUUAUGUGGAGAGGUUCUAGCCUCCGGUUGUCUCGUUCCACCUUGGGUUCAAUCCUUGACUUUUAAGUAACCCUUCUCGAGCAGGAUAAGCCAGUUAUAGUGGAAGAGGAUGCCUACGACCACCAGCUCUAACAAUUUGGACUUCAAAUUUGGCGGAGCUUGACUUUAGCCAAUAAUCGCUUUUGUGGGACUAUCUUCUACUAGAUCACCUCUUCCUGAUACGAGUAACUCAGCCCAAUUCAAAGGCCAUAAUAGAGAUGAGUUUAGUUUUCCUCAAGGCCCAAUUACGUGAUCCAAAUCCAAACAAAUAAAGUCAAAACUCAACUUAGUGGUUCAAGACUUUAUCACGAAAAAAAUUCAAGAAGAAGAGUUGAAGUUUCAAGACAAUAAAUUAAGGAGUAAUGAUGAAUUAGAAGAGACUAAUUAUGUUUGUGGGCCUAAACUCUCAAUCUAUGACGACAAGCCCAUGUGGAAAAUGCUAACAAGCUUAAGCAUUUCACUUCUAGAACCCCAAUUGAUCUUACAAGCUUAGACAUUUCAUAUUGGGUUUAAGUUUUAGGCUUAAUUUUUAUUAUAUAUAAGCACAAUAUUUUGUUUAUUAUCUCUUAUUAUUUUAUUAUUAUUUUAUUCCGAAUUUUUGAUAAUUAUUAAGUAUUUUAAGUUAUUUAGGAAUUUUAUGUUAACAAGAAAGUUUAGUUUAAAACUACUUCUUGUUUAGAUUAAAUUAGAGUUCUAGUAUACUUAGGAGUUUUAUUUAGAUUUAUUUAUCUAGCCUAUAUAUAGGCCUUUGCAUUGUACACAGGGAGACAAUUGAUUAUUAUUCUAUUUCUCUUUUGAGUUAAUAAAUUCUCUUUGAGUUUUUUCUUUUCAAGAAUUUCUCUUGAGUUUCUUUUAGAAGAGUUUUAACAAUCUUUUUAGAUUGUGGGGAUCAUCUUCAAACUUUUUCUUGCCAAGGUUUUUAUCUUGGAGGGGAAAUUAGAGCCGCUUGAAGGGGGUUGUGGAUUCUUCGUGUUUCCAAGGCUUCUUAGGACUUCUACACGCCACGUUCUAUCUUUCCAUUUAUCUUCUUUAUUCACUUCCUGAAUCCUUGAUUUAUUAUUUGUUUUAAUUAUUUUAUCUAACUUGGAUUUAAUUUCGUUUCAGGUUGUGUCAAGAAAAAUCCAAGUUUCUUUCCGAACGUCUAGAGCCCUAAGUCAAAUCCGCGACUUUGACAAACUUUACGAUCCGCUUUCGCGUUCAUCCUUCUCAACCUUUAUCAUUUGGUAUCAGAUUUGGGCGUUUUAGGUGUUCUUUUUUAAAUUGAUUUCUCAAAAACAGCUUCAAAACAAAUUUUACCCCUACAGUUUUCAAAAAAAAUAUUUCUCAGUGGGUAAACGAUUUUCAAAUGAUCUAAAAUUUUGCAUACUAUUUCUUGGCACUAUUUUAAAGUAUAAAAAAUAUUUCCCACAAAAAAAAAGUGAUAAAAAAACUACAAAAAAUAAAAUACGAAAAAAAUAAAAAAAAAUUCUGUGGGUUGAAUUUUGUGCCGAAACUUUCCAGAUCAAAUCUACAUUAUUUGAGGAGGCUUCAGUUUAAAUUUUGUGAUUUUUGGAAAUCGGGAACACCUUGAACGAAGUUUGUCAAGUUGCUUCGCAGUUUUUCGGGUUUUCGGGUUUCAACAAUUUUCAUUGACUCUUAGCUUUAAGUAUUCAUUUGUUUUCCUUUUUAUUUGUUCCUUACGCAUUCUAACACUUUCUUGUUUCUUGUGUUAGUAGGUUAAAGCACGUUGCAUAUUCCUUCAUCCGUGCAACAAAAUUCUUUGAUGUCUAAGCAAAUUUUGGACUCAUAGUGCUAUUAGGUUUGCUUUGAUAGUUUGAUUCUAAAACAUCUUGAUUGAUUGAUAUAGACACUUUUAAAAGACUCACAAGAUUAAUUCUUACCUCAUUGAGAAUUUUUUUUUUUGAGUGCAUAUAGGUGAGGUUUGCUUAAUUUUUUCUUUUGAAGUGUUGUGCUUUUCCAGGCUUUCACUAUGACUCGUGACACUCGUGCCCGUAAAAACCAUGAUGAGAUACCAUCUGAUGACAAAGAACAAGAUGUUACAUUGGAGAAUAUUGUAGGGAUGGUAAAAUUGCAACAUCAACAAUUGAACGAGGUACGUGAUACAUUUGAGGCCAAUUUGACUACGUGUCGAACAGAACUACAAGAGAACAUUAAUAAGCUUUCCAAUCAUAUUCAAUUGCUUACUCAAGCUGUUGCUCGUUUGGAGACUUCUUCGAAUCGACGAUCUCGUGCUCGCUAAACCAAAGUUCAACAUUCCACCAUUCCAAGGAAAGUAUGAUCCAGAUGCAUAUUGCGAUUGGGAGGAUCAAAUGGAUGAUCAUGAUCUUCAACGGAGUAAUAUAUUCCAUUCGAGGUGUUUGAUUAAAGGUACACUUUGCUCAUUUAUCAUUGAUAGUGGAAGUUGUGCUAACGUUGUGAGCAGCUACCUUGUGGAUUCUCUUGCUUUGCCAUGUAGCAAACACCCUACACCAUACCAUCUUCAAUGGCUUAACGAAGGUUCGGAGGUCCGUGUGGUAAAACAGUGCUUGAUCACUUUUAAACUUGGGACUUACAUUGAUGAUGUUUGGUGUGAUGUCGUUCCCAUGCAUGCCGCCCACUUGUUACUUGGUAGACCAUGGCAGUACGAUCGUGAUGUUAUUCAUCAUGGUAAAUUAAAUCGAUAUUCUUUUAUUUUCAGUGGGAAAACGUACACUUUCACCCCUUUGAAUCCGAAAGAUAUUCACAAUGAUCAAAUCGACAUGAUGAAGUUUUGUAAGGAGGUUAUGGGAAGUAAGACACAAAAUUCAAAAAAGGCUGAGAGAAAAGAUGUCUCUAGUGAAAAAAGCCAAAUUAAUAAUGACCCAAUGGUGAGUGCAUCCUCUUGUGAGAAAAAAAGAGUGGUUCAUAAUUUUUAUGCGAGUGGAAAAUAUGUGCGACGAGCCUUACUCACUAAACAACCUUGCAUCAUUAUUCGAUUUAGGCAAAACUGUUUAUCUUUGACUAACCUUUAUAACUCUUUGCCUAGUGUUUUUAUGUCUUUUUUGCAAGAAUAUGAAGAUAUUUUUGAAGCAGCACCUAAAGGAUUGCCACCUUUGAGGGGUAUUGAGCAUCAAAUUGACUUAAUACCUGGGUCAACAAUUCUAAAUCGACCAGCUUAUAGAAGCAAUCCCGAUGAGACGAAGAAGUUACAAAAGCAAGUAGAUGAACUUUUGGCGAAGGGUCACAUUCGUGAAAGUUUAAGUCCUUGUACAGUGCCGGUAAUUCUGGUGCCAAAGAAAGAUGGUACGUAUAGAAUGUGCGUCGAUUGUCGACCAAUUAACCAAAUUACUAUUAAGUAUAGACAUCCUAUUCCAAGGCUUGAUGAUAUGUUUGAUGAACUUUAUGGUGCUUGUAUCUUUACAAAAAUUGAUUUAAAAAGUGGCUACCAUCAAAUUCGAAUGAAAGAGGGGGAUGAAUGGAAAACAGCAUCUAAAACUAAGUUUGGUUUAUAUGAAUGGUUAGUCAUGCCUUUCGGUUUGACUAAUGCACCUAGUACUUUCAUGCGCUUGAUGAACCAUGUUUUGAGACCUUAUUUGGGUAAAUUUGUGGUAGUAUAUUUUGAUGAUAUUCUGAUUUACUCAACUUUUUUAGAUGACCAUGUUUUUCAUGUUAAAUCAGUUUUGGAUAUUCUGCGAACUGAAAAAUUAUUUGCCAACCUUGAUAAAUGUACUUUUUGUUGUGAUAAACUAAUCUUUUUAGGUUUUAUAGUAAGUGCUCAAGGUAUUCAUGUCGAUGAGGACAAAGUAAAGGCAAUUAGAGAAUGGCCCACUCCUAAAUCAAUUACCGAGGUGAGAUCUUUCCAUGGUUUAGCAAGUUUUUAUAGACGUUUUGUAAAGGAUUUCUCCACUAUUGCUGCUCCAUUAACUGAGAUUAUUAAAAAAUCUGUGGGUUUUAAAUGGGAAGAAGUUCAGGAAAAGGCUUUUCAAACUUUAAAGGAUAAGUUAUGUUCUGCUCCGGUUCUUAAAUUACCUGAUUUUUCUAAUACUUUUGAACUUGAAUGUGAUGCUUCAGGUAUUAGAAUUGGUGCCGUGUUGAUGCAAGAAAAAAGGCCAAUUGCAUAUUUUAGUGAAAAACUGACAGGGGCACAAUUAAACUACUCAACUUAUGAUAAGGAGUUGUUGGCAUUAGUCCGAGCUCUACAAGUUUGGCAACAUUACUUGUUGCCAAAUGAGUUCGUUAUCCAUACAGAUCAUGAAUCCCUAAAAUGGUUAAAGGGACAAUGUAAGUUCAGUAAGAGACACGCUCGAUGGGUGGAAUUCAUAGAGACAUUUCCAUAUACAAUUAAGUAUAAAACAGGUAGAGAAAAUGUAGUUGCUGAUGCCUUAUCUCGUAGAUAUUCUUUGAUAACUACAUUAAAUGCUAAAGUCUUAGGGUUUGAACAUAUAAAAGAUUUAUACUUAAAUGAUAUUGAUUUUACAAAUGUUUUUUCUAAUUGUGGGAAUGGUGCCUUUAACAAGUUUUAUCUUGUAGAUGGGUUUCUUUUUCGCCUAAACAGGUUAUGUGUUCCACAAUGUUCAAUGAGAGAGUUAUUAAUUCAUGAAGCACAUAGUGGAGGCCUCAUGGGACACUUCGGUGUCGCUAAAACACUAGAUAUUCUACAUGAACAUUUUUAUUGGCCGCACAUGAAAAAGGACGUUGAAAAGGUCUGUUCUAAUUGUAUUACUUGUAAAUAAGCAAAAUCUAAGGUAAUGCCUCAUGGACUUUAUACUCCUUUACCGAUCCCUUCUUCGCCGUGGGUAGACUUAUCUAUGGAUUUCAUUCUUGGUUUACCACGAACAAAAAAGGGUUGAGAUAAUAUCUUUGUUGUUGUUGAUAGGUUUUCAAAUAUGGCUCACUUUAUUCCUUGUCACAAAACGGACGAUGCUACACAUGUGGCUGACUUGUUCUUUCGAGAGGUGGUGCGCCUACAUGGGAUACCUCACACCAUUGUAUCGGACAGAGACGUAAAGUUCCUAAGCCACUUUUGGAAAGUAUUGUGGGGUAAGCUUGGUACUAAAUUAUUAUAUUCUACUACAUGUCACCCCCAAACAGAUGGACAAACUGAGGUAGUCAAUCGAGUCUUAGGUGCUUUACUACGAACUGUUGUGGGUAAGAACCUUAAAACUUGGGAAGAAUAUUUGCCAUUUGUUGAGUUUGCAUAUAACCGAUCUAUUCACUCUACAACUGCAUAUUCCCCAUUUGAACUUGUUUAUGGUUUUAAUCCACUAACUGUACUUGAUCUUGCACCAUUGCCUAUAGAAAACAUUUCUAGUUUAGACGGUGAGAAGAAAGCUGAAUUGGUGAAAUCCAUGCAUGCGAAAGCAAGACAACGAAUCGCCAAAACAAAUGAAACAACUGCCAACAAAGCUAACAAGGGGCGCAAGCAAAUUAUCUUUAAGCCCGGUGACUGGGUUUGGGUCCACAUGAGAAAAGCGCGAUUUCCAACUAAACGCAAAACAAAAUUGGACCCACGUGGCGAUGGACCUUUUCAAGUACUCAAGCGCAUUAAUGACAAUGCAUAUCAAAUCGACCUUCCCGGUGAGUAUAAUGUUAGUGCCACUUUUAAUGUCGCUGACCUUUCUCCUUUUGAUAUUGCAGAUUCGAGGGCGAAUCCUUUUGUGGAAGAGGGGAAUGAUACGAGUAACUCAGCCCAAUUCAAAGGCCAUAAUAGAGAUGAGUUUAGUUUUCCUCAAGGCCCAAUUACGUGAUCCAAAUCUAAACAAAUAAAGUCAAAACUCAACUUAGUGGUUCAAAACUUUAUCACGAAAAAAAUUCAAGAAGAAGAGUUGAAGUUUCAAGACAAUAAAUUCUGGAGUAAUGAUGAAUUAGAAGAGACUAAUUAUGUUUGUGGGCCUAAACUCUCAAUCUAUGACGACAAGCCCAUGUGGAAAAUGCUAACAAGCUUAAGCAUUUCACUUCUAGAACCCCAAUUGAUCUUACAAGCUUAGACAUUUCAUAUUGGGUUUAAGUUUUAGGCUUAAUUUUUAUUAUAUAUAAGCACAAUAUUUUGUUUAUUAUCUCUUAUUAUUUUAUUAUUAUUUUAUUCCGAAUUUUUGAUAAUUAUUAAGUAUUUUAAGUUAUUUAGGAAUUUUAUGUUAACAAGAAAGUUUAGUUUAAAACUGCUUCUUGUUUAGAUUAAAUUAGAGUUUUAGUAUACUUAGGAGUUUUAUUUAGAUUUAUUUAUCUAGCCUAUAUAUAGGCCUUUGCAUUGUACACAGGGAGACAAUUGAUUAUUAUUCUAUUUCUCUUUUGAGUUAAUAAAUUCUCUUUGAGUUUUUUCUUUUCAAGAAUUUCUCUUGAGUUUCUUUUAGAAGAGUUUUAACAAUCUUUUUAGAUUGUGGGGAUCAUCUUCAAACUUUUUCUUGCCAAGGUUUUUAUCUUGGAGGGGAAAUUAGAGCCGCUUGAAGGGGGUUGUGGAUUCUUCGUGUUUCCAAGGCUUCUUAGGACUUCUACACGCCACGUUCUAUCUUUCCAUUUAUCUUCUUUAUUCACUUCCUGAAUCCUUGAUUUAUUAUUUGUUUUAAUUAUUUUAUCUAACUUGGAUUUAAUUUCGUUUCAGGUUGUGUCAAGAAAAAUCCAAGUUUCUUUCCGAACGUCUAGAGCCCUAAGUCAAAACCGCGACUUUGACAAACUUUACGAUCCGCUUUCGCGUUCAUCCUUCUCAACCUUUAUCACUUCCCAACGGCGAAUAACACGCCGUUUUGUCUCUUGGCUUCGCCAACCUCUGACGCAGAAAGCCAAUGAAUCGACUGUGCAACCUUCCCAAAAGUACAAAGCGGUCGUUCCUUACACAAGUUGAAAAGAUCACCUAUUAAAGGACAUAGACGGAAGCGUCAGCGGAGAAGCGAUGAAUACCUUGUUAAGAAGGCUAAGCACGGAUUCUAAGCCUUAUGAACCUUUUUGGAGUAUAUUGACAACCUUAGGCUAGAUUGGUUUAGUGGCUCAUGAUUUUCGGGAAAGAAAUAAAUAUAAUAUAAGUGAGAUUUUUAUUGAAGAAAAUAUGGAGAGAAAAAAAGACAGAGUUUUUGGAAGAGAGAGUGAUUACAGAAAAAGAGAUGUCCAAUAUGUGCCACUCCAUCCCCUAUUUAUAGUACUAGAAAACCUAGUCUAUUCCUAAUGAAAUUCUAAUAGAUAAAUACAAAUAAAUAAAGAUAUUAAAGAUAAAUAAAGAUAAAUGAAAAUUAAUCCUAGAAUUAAAUUUAAAUAAAAAUCCUUAAUAAUUAUCCUAAUAUAAUUGAAAUUAAAAUAGAGUCUUGUGCUAUAAAAUCUCUUCUUUUACAUUUUAGUCCUUGGGUUUUCCAUGUUUGCAUUUUUGGCACCACUUCUCUCUUUCUUUGCAUGUUGGCCUAUUAUAUCUUCAAAUUCGCACUUUUUGCCUUUAAAUUUCCUAUUGCCUCCAAUUUAGUCCCUAAAAGAUAAAAGACCACAAAAUAAUCCAAAUUAGUAGGAUCAUACUCAAAAUAAGCAUGCAAUUAGCACAUAAAAUAUAAUGAACCGAAAGUUACAGUAUCGAAAAUUGAGUCUUGAGUACUAUUUUCGUGAAAUUAAUUCAUGAAUAUUUAUUAGAAAUAUUUAUGAAUUAUAGUUGAGUGGUUGAUUAAUGUUUGAUUAAGUUAAGUAGCUUGAAUUUAGAAUAAGGACUAAAUUGCAUAAGGUAUAAAAGUUUAAUUAUAGAUUAAAGAUUAGUAAAGGGACUAAUCUAGCAAUUAGACCCUAAGUGACAUGUGUGUGUUAAUAUUGUAUAACAUGUGUAAUAGUUGGUAAAAAUAUUAAAUGUGUUAAAGUAGUUUUUCUUAUAGAUUAAGUUAUUUUAUUAGAAUAAUAUUAUAUUAUUAAUACUAUUAUAUUGAAUAUAGAUUUAUGAAUAAAGGAAAUGAAAAAAAAAAGAAAAAGAAAGAUAGAAAGAGUUACAGAGAGUAAAUGUGAGAAAGAAAGAAAGAAAAAGAAAAGGGAAAAUUUGAGGAUUAAGGCCUAAAGCUUGAUUGGUAAGUUGUUUUAGCUCAUUUUCUUGCGAUUUUUAUGUUUAUGGAUGCCUAAUUCAAAGUUCUACAUGCAUGAGGUUAAAAUGAAAAAAAAAUAGAGAAUUUUUAGAUAUUGAUUUAGUUGAAUAAAUUGAGGUUUUAUGGGUUAAAUUAAUAGAAAUAGAAGUUAGAAGUGAUUUGUUAAAGGAAUUUUUAAGUUAGGUUUAACUAGGGACUAAGUUGUAUAGAGCUCAAAAUUUAUGUUUUAUGAUGAUUUUUUAUGAGCUUGAAAUUGUUAAUGAGUUGAUUAAAUGAAAAUAUGAUGAUUUAGUUAAAAAAAAAGAUUAGUAAUGGGAAAAGGACGAAAUUGGAAUUUUUGUAAAAGUUUGAUAGAAAGUGAAAAUGUGUUUUAUGAAUUAGUAUAUUGAUUAUUUUUAAUUGUAUGAUUGUCCGUAGCUAACGUAGCACCGGAUACAUCAUCCAAGAAGGGAAAAGAGAAAUUGAACGAAGAUAUUGAUUAAAUUUGAUAAAUAGUGGUUUGUAUUUCUAUAAACCGAGCUUAAUCGUUAUUGCUAUAUUUGAUAUUUAUAUUGUAUGAAAAUAUGAAUGAGGUAAGUAUUCUUACCAUAUUGAAAUGAAUGUGAUUUUGAAUACCCUAUUAACAGUGUCGGGCUAGUCAGAUAUAGUUGACAUGUCAUAGGAAUUGGAAGUAUUGGGAUAUUCCGACAUUGAGUCGAUGAGACACUAUGUGUUGACUACUGUUAAAGUUCUGGAUUUGUUCCGAUGAAGCACUAUAUGCUUAUCCCGGAGUGUGGGUUGGAUCCAUGUAUCCGUCAGUGUCCGAGUUAUGUUAAUAAGGGUAAAUAAAGUAAAGAUUAUUAAAGUACUGGUUGAUUGAAUGUUAUUGAAAUGAUGAUUGAUAUUGAAUAAUAGCAAUAAUGUGUUUGAAUUACCAUGUUUUAAAGUUGAUUAAGCUAUUGUUUAUAGAAAUACCACCGAGAGUAUUCUCAGCGUACGGUUUGUUUCCGUGCACAGGCUAGGUACGAAAGUAUAAGGACUCAGUAUACAAGCUGAUCCCCGAACUCAAAUUGGUGAAGUUUCUAUCUUUUUGGAAAAUGGCAUUGUACCUAGGAUGCCUUUUGGUCAUUUUGAAAGUACCUAAGUUGUUAAGUGAUAUUUUGGUAUGUUUUGUAAAUGUUACCAAAACCUUAAGUAUGGUAUGUCUUUGAUAUGUUAGUGAAGAGAAAUAAGAGGAAGUGAUGGUAAAUAUUGUAGAGAGAAGAAAUGAAGAUGUUAUAAACUUAGUUAUCAACAUUUUAUACUAAAACAGAUUUGUAUAGUAGCAGUAGUCCAACUUUGAAAAUACACCAAAAAUAGUAGAAAGUUGAUUAGAUGAUGAAUAAAAUAUGUAAUUGAAGCUUAAUGAAUCUAUUUUUAUGUGGGAGAAACAAAAUAGGUAAAAGAGUUGUAUUUUAUGAGAUAUUUACAUUUUAGUGAAACAGGGUUAGAGAAAUUUCUGGAUUUCCUAUUUUGACUUUAGAAAUUCACCAUAAAUUGUGUAUAAAUAAUUAGGACUCACAUUUUAUAUGUAUGGAUUUCUUAUUGAGUCUAUUUUUAAUUGAAACAAACAGAAUAGUCAUUGGAUUUCUGUACAGGAAUAAAUUUGAUUUGUAGUGCACAGGGGUCAGAGUAGCCGAACCCUAAAAUAGGGGAGACUUUUACUAAUAAACUAUACUAAUUCCUGACCAAAAAUUCUAGAAAAAAAUUAGUACGUAGAUGUAUGAGUCUAGUUUCAGGGAAAAUUUACGGAAUUGGAUUUCAAGUUUUGUAACUAGAGAUAUGAUUUUUUUAGCGACUGUGACGCAGAUGGAUAGUUUACUAUACGAGAAUUGUUUGAACUUGUUUAAAUGCUAAAAUAAGUUUAGUAAUGUCUCAUGCUUGACUCCGACGACGGUCUCAGGUAAGGGGGCGUUUCAUAAAAUAUGUCGUUCUAAAGUAUUAUCACAUACAAAAUUGGAACAAAUCAAAGAAAUUUUAUUUAUAAUUUUGAGUUAUAAUCUUUGGAUAAUUAUUUGAUUUUUCUCUACUUGAUCAUGGAAAGAUGAGAUUGCUUCAAGGGUCAUAGAGAAUUGAUCUUGAAAAUAGAUCUAGAAAGAUGCUUGUGUGAGAAUUUGAUUUUAUUUAGCUUCAAUAGUCAUGAUAUUGAAAAAUUGUUUAGAAAAACAUGCCAGAGUUGGUGUUACAAAAUUUUAAAUUCUUUUCAAAAACAAACUUUUGUCAAUAUAUCUAAAGUAAGAUAACUUAUAUCAAAUAAAGUACUUAUGUUUCGAGGUUCGAGGAGAUGUCCAAAUACUAGGGGCUUUAGUAUAUGCCUAGAUUUUUUUGAUCAAUUCGAACUAUAAUCCAAAAUAUUCAAGUUUUAUAUUGAACAAUCUUCUCUGUCAUUUUCGAACUCUGGGAUACUUAGAGAGUGAGAUUUAACUCAAAUAAUCGAACACGUGAUGAAAAUUGAAACUUCCUAGAGAGGUGAAUGUCUACUACCCUAUUUGUGAAUACCUAACACCGAAAUAAAUUUCUAGACUUGAAUUAUAAUCGCUAGAUCAUUGCAAUUAUAGUUUCACAAAUCUAGAAUCAAAACUCAAGAAAAAAAAAUAUAAUUUAUCUAAAUUCAAGAAAAGCAACUCAAAUGAAUUUUCACUGAAUUUCAAUUGAGGUAUGGAAAUUGGUCUCCAGUUGGUGGUAUGUGACUCUCAUGGUAAUUGGGUGAAAGGGUUUAGAAGAGUUCUUGGAAGAGGCUCUGCUUUGAACUCUGAAUUUUAGGCAAUACUCCAUGGGUUAGAAUUAGCUUGGCAGAGGGAGCAUACUAAAAUUUUUAUUGAAAGUGAUUGUCGGAUGGCUAUAGAAAUGUUAAAGGAGAAUUUGUUGGACACUCCCUCAAUGACGGUUGUUCGAAAGAUUAAAAUGGUGUGUAGAUAUUUUCAAGUAGUCAAAUUCCAGUAUGUCCCAAGGGAAGGUAAUAUGGCGGCUGAUUGACUAGACCAAACUUGUCCAUCUAAUGAGACUAAGCAUAAUAUCAUUGAUUUUCCUAUGUCUCUUAUUAGGAAAUUGCUCUUAGAAGAUAGAAUAGGGAAUUUUCGAUCAUGUUAGAAUAAGUUGAUUUAAGGCUUAUUUACCUUCUCUUUUCUAUAUUAAAAAAAAAAACUUACGAUAUUUAUAAACAACCAUAUACAAGAGUUAUAUUCUUAUUCAAAAAAUUAAUUAAUUAUUUGAAAGAAUUCAAGUCCAAUUAGGACUUCUAAUACCUUAUGGCUGACGGCUUUCAAGGGAAAUACACUCCUACUGCUGCGACAGAAGCUAGCUUAAAUGGAUAGUUGGGUUGAUCCAAGUUCGAUUCAAUUAUUCGAGCUUACAUUUUUUUUAUUUAAAUGAAAAAAAUAAUAAUUUCAUAUAUUUAUCUAAUUCAAUAAUUAAAUAUUCUUCAAAAGUUUAAUUAUUUAAAAUAAUUAAUUUAAUUUAAUAAUUUACAUAAUUCAGUUUUAAAUUUAUUAAAAUCAUCAAAACUUUAUCCUAUUAGAAUUUAUGUCCAAAUUUAUUUAAUUAUCGGAAUAAAAUAAAACUACGAUGACUACUCAAUUUAAAUUUCAUUUUGAGCUCAAUUAUUGACUCUAUUUAUCUAAUUAAAUAAUAAUUCAAAGAAAUUAAAUUAAUCGUAAGUCAUUUUCAUCUAAUCAGUUCUUAGUAUGCAAUUUGUUUAAAGUUAUAUUGAGCCAGCAGAGGAACUGAUUGAACAUAUAUAGUUAAUGUUUAAAUAGUUUGUAAAUAAAUUAUGAAUCUUCGUCUAUUAAUUGCAAAAUUAUUUAUUCGUAGAGUUAAUCCACUAAUAGUACCACGAAUUUCUUAAUAUUUUGAAUUGUUAAAUUGUGUAAAGUAAAUUGAUUUGGUUUAGUGGUUAAAUAUUUUGAAUGUGUGCUUGGGGUCUUGUGUUCGAUUUUUUUCCCUAUAUCUAGCUAGUCACACGUAGCUUAUCUAUAAUUUUUGUUUAAUUGCUGAUAAGAAUGAGUAUACUGGUUUAGUGGUAAAACUUUAGCUUAACCAUGGGUUCUAAGUUUGAAUCAUGUUGUGUGCAAAAUUAAAAUUAUUUUUGCUCCUAUUUGUUGUGUCAGCCACAUGGUUAAUAAUUGGGUUUAAUUCAAACUAUGGGAAAAUCUAAUAGGAUAGUAACUAACUAAAAAGGUCAGUGUGAUUUGGGUAGUUUAUUUUUGUUUUAAAAAAAGAGAGAUUUUCUCCUAAAAUUUUGCUAAGUGUCGUUCCCCUAUUCCCCCUCACUUCUCACAUUCUGUUUUUUUCUUAUUUUUCUUUCCAUUGCUCUUAUUUUCUUUUCCUUUCUUUCCUACUUUUGCUACAAAAUUUUCCUCUAUUGUUUUCCCUGUUCUUCUCUUCUACCUCUGUUAUUUUGUCUUGUUUUGCUUCUUUUUGUAUUUCCACAUUAUCAAUCCUCUGCUCUUUUUGCUACUCACUCUUGUUCUCUUAUCGUUCUUGCUUCUUUUCUGCUGCUGACUUGAUCAGUACCAACAUUCUAUUUUGGUUUCGUUUUUAACGGUUUGUGAUAAGGGAAUUUAGAUUAAUCAUCAUAUAUUUAUAUUUGUGAUUUAAGUAUUGUUCGCUUGUUCUUGAGGGUGUUGUAUUCGAUUUGGUUGAGUAGUAAGUAUUUGAGCAAUUUCAUGUGUGUUAUUGCUAGGUGGGGAUUGUGUGGUGCAUACCCUUCGACGAGUUGAGUGUUGAUGAUCUUCCCUUCAAGGAUAAGUGUUCAUAUGCCAAAAUUAGGGGUUGGUGGGUGUUUGGUGGUAAUGCUCAAAUGCCUACUGUUCUUUUGGGUCAAAUACUCUAUUUGUGUAAGAGUCGAAUAAGUGUGUCGGCUAGGGGAAUUUUGUGUUAAUUGGUUAAUUGUGGGUGUCGUAUGUGCAGACUUUGGUGUGUUGUUAUUCUGCCGACAUCUCAAAAGUAAUUAGGUGUGUGACUUUAGCCUGAAAACUUUUUAAAAAAUGUGCAAAAAUCAAAUCUGCCAGAUGACGCUGUAGCGACGUAAAAAUUUUGCUUUGGUCUUUAAUUGAGGCGAUUUAUUGAAAAUUUGAAAACCGACUUUUGAUUUUAAAAAAAAGGAGUCGCCACCAAUCCUUUUUCCUAGGUGUGAUCAGACACCUAAUAAAUCCUUUUUUUUUAAAAGAAAAUUUAUUUUUUAAACAAAAAGAAGGUUGAGUUUAGGUCUACAUCAAAAGCCAGAAAAAAGUUGGGUUCAAGAGUCGGUUACGCGCGAGAAAGGUAUUAGCACCCUCGCGACGCCAAAAAUUGGUAUCUUAUUAAACACGCAUUGUCUCAAUUCUCAAAAAUACGAGUUCAAUUUAAAUUUUAAUAGUGAUCCGAUCAAAACACGAGAAUUUUUAUAAUUUCGAUUUCCUUUGAGAAUGAUGUUCCGUUUUUAACACAAGCCGAUUGAUAUUCACCCAACAUAGCGAUGAAAUUGACGACUUAAGGUUAAAUCGGUGCGUUGCCUUAUUUAUUAAAAUAAAAAAUGAACAAAAAUAAAAAGAAAACUAAUAUCGAUGUUGAAAUAAGAUGUGAUCUAAUAGGCUAAAUUCGGAACAGGCAAAUAAUAAUAAAAAGUUAAGAAUAUACGAAGCAAAUAAUAUAUAAAACAUUAACAAUGUAUAUGUGAUAAUAAUAGUCAUAAAACAAUAGUAGUGCAUAUGGUAUUAAACAUGAUAAUAAUAAUAAUAAUAAUAAUGCAAAUAUGAAAUGGUAGUGAACAUAUGUAAAUAAAACAUAUAAUACUAGAUUAAAAAAAUAGAUACAAUAUUUAUUGAAAACAGUAAUAAUAUAUAAAAAAACUAAUAAUGACGAUAUAUAAAUAUAAACAUAUAUGAGUUAAAAUAUAUACGUAAUAAUAGGAAUAAAAGGUAUAUACAUAGUAUUAUAAAUAUGUACAUAAUUUAGUUAUUAAAAAAUAUAUACAUGAUAUAUAUAAAAUAUAAUAUUAAAAAGGUAUAUAUACGUAAUAUAUAUAAAAAAUGUAUACAUAAUAUAGUAUUAAAAUAUUUACAUAAUAUAUACAUAUUAGAAAUAAUAAUAAUGUUAAAAACAACUAUUAAUAAUACUACAUAAAUAUAUACAUAUAUUUAUUAAAGAUAUAUACAUAUAUAAUAAAACAUAUACUAAUAUUAAUAACAAAUAUAAUAGGGGCAAAAAUAGAUAUAAUAAUAUGUAUAUAACGUGGUAUUAAAAAUAUGGAUAUAAUAUAGUAUUUAAAUAUGUAUACAUAAUAUAUAUAUAUUAGGAAUAAUAAUAAUAUUAAAAAAACAACUAUAAAUAUAUACAUAAAAUAUAUAUAUAAGUAUUAAUUGAAACUAAAAAUAAUAAUUCUAAUAAUAGUAAAGAUAUACUAAUAAUAAUAAUAAUAAUAACGAUAAUAAUAAAUAUAAUAAUAAAUCAUAUUAAAAAUAAAAAAUAGUGAAAAUAAUAUAAAAACCAAAUUAAAUCUGAAAAAAGGACUAAAUUCGAAACAAAAAUGAAGUUUUGGGGCCAAUUUAAAAAGAAAUAAAGGAAAAGGGAUUAAAUUGCAUGCGCGAAUAAUAAUACAGGGACCAGUGAUGCAAUAAAUCCAUUCGGCCUAAAACGCACAGCAACAGAGGGACCGAAUUACAAAGCACAAUAAAUUUCAGGUCCAAAUUUAAAACAACUAAAAAUUUGAUUGCAUAAUAGAAAAGAAGCGAAGGGGCUAAAUGCGCAAAUAGCCCCUCCAAUGAAAACACGUGGAUCCUGAAGUUGGAGCUGGUCGGGUCGCGGGUCGGCCAUGGGUUAAAGCUCAAAAAGACGCCGUUUUGGGGCUUAAGGACCUAGGCCAAAACGACGUCGUUUUCGCCCUCUAUUUAAGCAAAUUUCUCCCCAAAGAAAAUCAUUUCAACACCUUUUUUAAAAAAAAAAAACUUCUCCCUCUCCCCUUUUCUCUGAAGGGCUGAAGAUCCGGCAAGGGAUCGGACCAAUAGCCGUCGUAACCUGCCGCCGCCAUCGCUGCCGCACCGGCCACCGUACACAGUGGCCGAAAAUCGCCAAAAGGUAUUUUUUGUUUUUUUUAUUUUUAUUUUUUGUGUUUUUAAUAUAUAUAUGUGUUUAUGAAUAACUUAGGAAAGAAAAAGAAAAAUUAAAUAAAAAAGAAAAAGAAGCAACCUUUUCCCCUUGUAGAUAUUACUUUUUUCCGAAUCUGUUUUGGGGAUUUUUGGUUUGAUCUUUGAAUCUUUUCUUAUUCUUUGUAUUUAAUACUUACUAUGUUCUUGUAUUUCAAAAAAAAAAUGAAACCCCCAUACAAUGAUUUUUGCUUGGCUUAUAUAGCCUUUUUGAAGAUUAGUUUAUUAUUGUUGUCACUUCUGUCUUUGUUUCUUGCAGGUGGAUGAAUGGUGCUGACAUGGUCGGCGGAGUAGGUGGUGGUGGAAGUGGUAGGGGCGGCACACCUAGGGGGCUAGGGUUUCUGAUUUGUUUUGUGUGAUUUGGGCUAUUAGGGUUAGUUUGGGCUUGGGUUAAGAUAAGUUAAAAUGGGUUUAAGUUUUUAGUUGGGUUUAGCUAUUUGGGUCUGGGUCUUAUUGGGCUUUGAUGUAAUGGGGUCAAAAUUGGCCUACAACAGUUGCCUCUCUUUGCUCAUUGUCGUGUAACGGGAAUAGAGUAAAGACUUUAAAGAGGGCCAAUUUUGCCCGUUCUCGCCGAGUCUUGACUUCUUUGGUGCUCCUCUUCUUCCUGUAGCUUCGUCCCAGUCCACUGCGUCUUAUAGCUUUGAUCUAUCUCACCGCAACUUCAGAGAUAUGACUCGUAGCUUCACUUUGCUCGCUUCUUUAGAGGUCUGAGGUUCAUAGCUUCGAUCUACUUCACUACAACUUCAGAGUUCCGCUACAACUUCAUGGAGGUAAGAUCUGAUAUCAUCGAUCAACUCCACUGCAACUUCAGGGUGAUAAGACUUGUAACUUCGCCGUGCUCCACUGCAACUUCAGGGGGGCAAAAUCUGCAUCUUCGAUCAACUCCAAUCUUUAUCCUCGGCGUGUGACCCGAGGCUCAACUCACCUCUAGUAAUAUGAGUUGACUUUUGAAAAACAAAAAUUAAAACAGAAUUUUGAAAAUACCUCCGCAUGGAGCCCGGGGUUCAACUCACCUCUCAUAAUAUGAGUUGAUUGUUGAAACAUGAAUUGAAAAACAGGAAUUGAAAUACUUCACCGUGUGACCCGAGGCUCAACUCACCUCUUACAAUAUGAGUUGAUUUUUUGAAAAACAGAAAUUAAAAAUACCUCAGUGUGAAUUGAGGCUCAACUCACCCCUCGCAAUAUGAGUUGAUUUUUUUGAAAAAUAGAAAUUAAAAAUACCUAAGCGUGAACUGAGGCUCAACUCACCUCUAGCAAUAUGAGUUGAUUUUUUUGAAAAACAGAAAUUAAAAAUACCCCAGCGUGUCCUGAGGCUCAACUCACCUCUCACAAUAUGAGUUGAUUUUUUUGAAAAACAAAAAUUAAAAAUACCUCAGCGUGUCCUGAGGCUCAACUCACCUCUCGUAAUAUGAGUUGAUUUUUUUUAAAAAACAAAAAUUAAAAAUACCUCGGCGUAUCCUGAGGCUCAAGUCACCUCUCGUAAUACGAGUUGAUUAUUGGAAUAACUGAAAUAAAAAAUAUCAGAAUACCCAAACAUGUCAUCUGGUGGAACUCGAGUGUCUUUUUCCUUGAUUCAGUAAAGCUAUCAUCGAAACCUCUUGCUCUGCUGGAGUACCUGUAUAUGUCAUGCGUGAUGUUAUCAUGAUAUGCACAUGUUUGUCUUAAAUGCCUUUAUGCCUACAUGAUUAUGCUAUGCGCCUUGGGCUUGUCUGUCACAUAUCCCUUUUCGUUACGAUUCUUGUGAUGAUCUACGUUCAUUGCUUCGAUUCUUGACUUUCUCUUCAGGCUUUGUACCCGUCCUCAAGCUUCACGAACAAUCUGCGUUUCUCAGAUAUCACCCUUUUGCCCCUGGUUGAACUUUGUCAUUGCUUUGAGGCUCUUGUACUUAUCAGAUUCUUAUCCGGGUAAUGCUUAACAUUUUUUUUGUUCAGAGUAUGUCAUUUUACUAUUUAUUAUUUAAAUAAACCACACAAUGAGAUGCAUGAAAAUGGUCAGGUAGGUACGAAAGGGAUACCUCCAUUUAUUUAUUUCAAAGGUGACAAAUAAAGAAAAUUAACCAAGAAUAGUAAAAAGUAUAAUAAAAGAAAAGGGAUCACAUCCAGCGGAUACAAAUGCUUAGAUUUUCAACGCAUGAACUCUUUCACUUUCUUAAUCAAGAAUCAUUUCAAGCAUGGCUUCUUACAUAGAAGAUCUCGCGUUUUCAGAAAUGCUUCAAAUACUGUAGUCUUGCUAUUUGACCCACCGUUCAAAACGCCUUGCCUUUUUUUAAGCCCCGUGUUUGCUUCAUUAGAACGCCCUUUCAAGUUUUCAUCCUAAUCUUUUGUGUUAAUCAAGACGCCCUGCCCUUUUCGGGUUUUCAUCUUAAUUCCUUUUUGUUUAUCAAGACGCCCUUUUUGGGUUUUCAUCUUGAUCUCUUUUUUUUUAGACAUAAUAUUUCUUUACAGCAUCUGAGUUCACUGGGUUAGGUAACUCUUUCCUAUCCAUCUCAGUGAGAAUCAAAACCCCGCCUGAGAAAGCCUUCUUUACGACAUAUGGUUCUUCCCAAUCUGGUGCCCAUUUUCCUUGGAAGUCUUUUUGUAUUGGGAGAAUCUUUCUUAGUACGAGUUCUCAUUCGUGGAAUUCUCUUGGCCGUACUUUCUUGUCAUGGGCCGCGAUCAUUCUCCUCUAGUACAUCUGUCCAUGACAGAUUGCCUUCAAACGUUUUUCUUCGAUAAGGUUUAACUGGUCAUAUCGAGCUCGAACCCACUCUGCUUCCUCUAGUUUCGACUCUAUUAAAACUCGUAAAGAGGGGAUCACAACUUCGAUGGGUAGCACAACUUCUAUUCCAUAGACCAGAGAGAAAGAAGUUGCUGCCGUAGAUGUCCGCACAGAUGUGCGAUAUGCAUACAAAGCGAAUGGUAGCUUCUCAUGCCAAUAUUUAUAUGUCUCGGUCAUUAUCUCAAUAAUCUUCUUAAUAUUCUUGUUUGCUGCUUCAACAGCUCUGUUCAUUUUCGGGCGAUAGGGUGAUGAGCUAUGAUGCUUUAUUUAAAAUUGCUCACACUUCCUUCAUCAUCUUGUUGUUCAGAUUCAUGGCGUUAUCUAAAAUGAUUCUUUCAGGCAAACCAUAUCGACAAACGAUUUCCAUUUUCAAAAACCUGCAAACUGCAGUCUUCGUCACAUUGGCAAACGAAGCGGCUUCUAUCCAUUUUGUGAAGUAAUCAAUAACCACAAAAAUAAAUCGGUGUCCAUUAGAAGCUUUUGGGGAAAUUGGCCCUAUAACAUCCAUGCCCCACAUAGAAAAAGGCGAUAGAGAAGUCAUGACAUGAAGGGGCGAAGGGGCUACAUGAAUCUUAUUGCCAUAAAUUUGACAUUUGUGGCAUUUUCUUGCAUAACUAAUGCAGUCACUUUCCAUCGUCAGCCAGUAAUAACCGAGUCUCAUAAUCUUCCUGGUCAUAGUGAAACCAUUGGCAUGCGUCCCAAAAAUUCCUUCAUGGACAUCUUCAAGUAUUUUUCUAGCUUCAAUAUUAUCCACGCAUCUCAAAAGCACUUGAUCUUUUCUUCUUUUGUACAGGAUGUCCCCAUCAAGAACAAAUCCUACUGCCAUCCUUCUGAUUGUUCUUUUGUCAUUCUCAUUUGCUUGUUCGGGAUACCUUUGAUUCUUGACAUAUUCUAAGAUAUCAUGGAACCAUGGCCAUCCAUCUGGCUCUUUCUCAAUGCUGAAACAAUGUGCAGGGACUUCAUAUAUACUCAUUUGAAGAGGCAUUAUUUCUGUUUCUCUGUUCGCUUUGAACAUUGAGGCCAAAGUGGCCAAGGCAUCAGCCAAUUGGUUUUCUUAUCAUGGGAAGUAAUUAAAAGUUAUUUCUUUGAAUUGUUUAAUCAGUCCUGCCACUAGAUUGAUGUAUUUAACUAAUUUUGAAUCUCUCACUUCCCAAUCUCUGCAAAUUUGGUAUAUCACCAACGCUGAGUCCCCAUAUACCUCUAAGAUUUCGAUGUUUCGUUCAAUAGCUGCACGAAGUCCCAUGAUACAGGCCUCAUAUUCCGCUAUGUUGUUGGUGCAGUAGAAAUUCAGCCUAGCAGUGAACGGAUACUGGUUCCCUUGUGAUACUAAGACUGCUCCGAUCCUAUGCCCCAACGUAUUCGAUGCACCAUCAAAGCUCAUCUUCCAUGACUUCUCUUUGGAUGACUCACAUUCUUUUCCCGUAAUGCACAUCAAGUCUUUCAUCUGGAAAAUCAAAUCUCAAUGGCUCGUAUUCCUCUAUUGUUCGAGUUACUAAGAAAUCAGCUAUUGCACUCCCUUUUAUCGACUUUUGGCUCAAAUAGACGAUGUCGUAUUUUGAUAGUAGGAUCUGCCAUCGUGUCAUUCUUCCUGAGAGUGCAGGUGAUUCCAUCAUGUACUUUAUUGGGUCCAGCUUUGAAAUUAACCACGUCAUAUGAUACAACAUAUAUUGCCUGAGCCUCUGAACUACCCAAACUAAAGCGCAACAGAAUUUUUCAAUGGAUGAGUACUUUGCCUCAUAUUCUGUGAUCUUUUUGCUGAGAUAGUAAAUUGCCCUUUCUCUUUUCCCUGACUCAUCAUGUUGCCCUAGUACACAACCCAUUAAAUUUUCGAACACAGUCAGAUACAAUAUUAGCGGUCUUCCUAUGGUUGGUGGUACUAGCACCGGGGGACUAGACAAAUACUGUUUUAUCUUGUCAAAAGCCACUUGGCACUCUUCGUUCCAUUCUCCCGGAUUAUGUUUUCGAAUGAGUCAAAAAAUUGGGUCACACUGGUUGGUAAGUUGAGUGAUGAACUAAGCGAUGUAAUUCAACCUCCCUAAAAAUCCUCUGACUUCUUUUUGCGUGCACGAAGGUGGCAGUUCUUGUAUGGCUUUUAUCUUAUUUGGAUCAACUUUGAUGCCUCUUUCGCCGACGAUGAAGCCUAGCAAUUUUCCCGAGGUAGGCCCAAACAUACACUUGGCUGGAUUAAGCUUUAGCUGAAACUUUCACAGUCUUUCGAACAACUUCCUGAGGUUCCCAACAUGCUCUCUUUCCCCCUUGGAUUUGGCGAUCAUAUCAUCGACGUAGACUUCUAUUUUUUUGUGCAUCAUGUCAUGAAACAACAUCACCAUGGCCCUCUGAUAUGUUGCCCCAGCGUUCUUUAAUCUGAACGGCAUCACCUUAUAACAAAAUGCUCCCCACAUCGUUACGAAAGUAGUUUCUCCAUAUCCUCAGGAGCCAUCUUUAUCUGAUUAUAACCCGAGAAUCCAUCCAUGAACGAAAAUAAUGAAUGUUUGGCUGUAUUAUCCACCAAUGUAUCAAUGUGUGGCAAAGGAAAAUUAUUUUUAGGACUUGCUCGAUUCAGAUCGCAGUAAUCCACACACAUUCGUACCUUUCCGUCUUUAUUCGGUACUGGGACUAUAUUAGUCACCCAUUGUGGGUAUUUGGAGACUUGUAGAAAGCCAGCAUCGAAUUGUUUAUUGACUUCUUCUUUU
RNAcentral lists this long non-coding RNA (115451 nucleotides) under Gossypium barbadense (sea-island cotton). Its description in RNAcentral is "long non-coding RNA (GBAR_LNC001955)". The record is from RNAcentral. Lineage: Eukaryota; Viridiplantae; Streptophyta; Magnoliopsida; Malvales; Malvaceae.